Molecule: long non-coding RNA, 142460 nt
Filed under: Zea mays
Lineage: Eukaryota; Viridiplantae; Streptophyta; Magnoliopsida; Poales; Poaceae
Description: long non-coding RNA (ZMAY_LNC001036)
Source: RNAcentral
GGGGAGGGGGCUUAACGGCGCGGGCGGUAACAGAGGGAGGGGGAGGUCGACCGGGGUUCGACCGGCGGUGGGAAUCCGCAGCGGUUCUCCGUCGUGGGUCCGGUUCCGCGGCGGGGAGGUAGUGGUGCUCCACGGGCGGGGGCAGGCGAUCACAAGGGUGGGGUCAAUUUGACCGGCGGGGGCCUAGGGCGGCCGGUCCGCGGCGCAGUGGCGGGUGUCCACGGCGGUGAGGUCGCCAGUGAGGUUGCCGGGUGCAAUAGGAGGUGGGGAGGGGUGCCCUGUGACCGUGAGUGUGUGGCAGAGCUUCACGCACUGGUUAAUUGGACUGAUGUUCACUUGGAAGGGGGAAAUGGAGCUCACCGGAGCGACGGGGAAGCACGGCGGCGCUAGCUCGAUUGGCUCGGGGAGAAGCGGAGGAGUUGGCCGGAGCUGGUGUGGAGAGAAUGGGGCUCGGGCGGCUCCUUUUAUAGGCGCCCGGGAGAGGGGGAGGGAUGGAGGGGACGGCGAGCACCGACGAGCUCGCCAUGAUGGCGGGAAUGGAGCUAACGGCGAUUGGGACGGCUCGGGCAGACGAGGGUGAGGGGACGGCUCGGGCACAGUGGCGGGGUGGUCGCUGAGGCCGGUGCAAGCCUUAAUGGAGAGGCGACGGGGCGUGAGGCGCUCGGCGGCGAACGCGCCGGUGAGGCAUGGGCGAGACGACAGUGCUGACAGGCGAGCUCGGGCUGCCAGGGAGAGAGAGCGGCGCGAGAGGGAGGGAGUCGAGUCACUGACCGGUGAGGCUGAUCUGUCAGCGGAGGCGUGGGUGCGCGAAGUUGGGCCGCGUGGGCCGGGAGAGGGGGGGAGAAGCGCGGGCGCGACGCGGGUUGGGCCAGAAUCGGCCCAGCCGAGGGGGGGUUUCUUUUCUUUUUUUUCUGAUUUCUAUUUCUUUUCUUUUCCUUUUCUACUUUUGUUUCUUUUCACUUCUUUUUGCUUUGAAUCAAAAAUUUUCGAAAUGAUCUUGAGUGAUGAAUAUAGUCUAUGUGAGGUGCUCCUAUCAUUUCAAGUGUAUGCACAUGAUGAGAUGAUCUAAGGGUGGAGUUUUAGGGAGAAAAUAAAAUAAGAGGUGGGGGGGUUAGGAGGUUAGGGUUCCAAACCAUGGGUUGGGAUUUUUGGGAUGUUACAGCCUCGCCCGACCUUAGGCCUUGGCCUCGGAAGGAGGUCUUCGCCUCGCCCGACCCUAGGGCUCAGCCUCAACCUCGGCCUCGAAAGGUGGUCUCCGCCUCGCCCGACCCCAGGGCUCGGCCUCAACCUCGGCCUCGGGAGGAAUCGCGUCCUCACCCGACCCCGGCCUCGGCCUCAGGAGGAGUCUCCGCCUCGCCCGACCUUGGGCUCGGACCGACUGUGCCACAGGGGAUACAUCAUUACCCUACCCCUAGCUAGCUCAGGCUACGGGGGAACAAGACCGGCGUCCCAUCUGGCUCGCCCCGGUGACAAGUAAUGAUGGCUCCCCGUGUGCGUCCAUGAUGACGGUGGUUCUCAGCCCCCUACGGAAGCAAGAAGACGUCAGUAAGAUCGCAGCAGCACCGACAGCUGUGCUUCUACAGGGCUCAAGCACUUCUCCGACGGCCACGUUAUCGCCUACGCAGGGCUCAAGCACUUCUCCGAUAGCCACGUUGGCAUGUACACAGGGCUCAGGCACUUCCCUUCCAGACACGUUAGCGCCUAGCUACACCCCCAUUGUACACCUGGACCCUCUCCUUGCAUCUAUAAAAGGGAGGUCCAGGGCCUUCAUGCGAGAGGGUCGCGCGGGAGAACGAGCUAACGAACAGGCUCACUCUCUCUCGCGAACGCUUGUAACCCCUACUACGAGCACACCCCCUGGCGCGGGAUAACACGAGCCGCGUUUCCCCCUUGUGUUCCAUCUCGCGCCAACCCAUCUAGGCUAGGACACACAGCGAAAAAUUUACUCGUCGGUCUAGGGACCCCCCGGGGUCGAAACGCCGACAGUUGGCGCGCUAGGUAGGGGCCUGCUGCGUGUUAACGAACAACUUCCCGUUGAGUUCCAGAUGGGUAGUCUUCAGCAACCUCUUCAGCCCGGGAUGCCGCUCUGCUUCGGGAGCCUCAAGUUCAUGUCCCUCGACGGCAGCUACGACAUGGUACUCCUCCCCUCGCAGCGCGACAGCAACAACGAUGGCCGUCAGCUCGCCCGGCGGCGGCGAACUCGACGACGUCUUCCCCCCGUGGCGGAGGAGCAGCAUCCGGGUUUGUCCCGCCACCCUCCUCGCCGCAGAAGGAGGAGACGGGGCAACCGUGGCCAUGCAGGAGGCAGCGCCUCGUCGGCUGUCGAGCGAGUCGACGACACCGAUGCCCCAGCGAGGGACAUGUCGGGCGUUGUCCUCGCGCUUGAGACAACGACAGAUGUCGUUUCCCCGCAACGUGCCAUCCCUAAGCGGACAGAUGACGCCAGCACACUCGCGAAGGGCUUGCUGGGCGUUAGCCUCGUACCUGAGAUAACAGUGUAGUUCGUCCCCAACGCGACUUCAUCACCGUCCAUCGAUCAAGAGGUACCGUCCGUUUUCCACCCUAUGCCUUUUAGAUUCAGCUUCGAUCCACCAAGCGACUCCGCUUCGGUGAGCGCUUUCGUAAAGGCAUAUCCUAACCUUCCGGGGUACCAUAUUUGGUCAUCUUGGGACCGACUGAUGGCCGUCUCAACCUACGGGCCCCUGAGUUCCGAGGAAGAGGACGGUCCUGACUCCGGUUGGGAUUUCUCUGGGCUCCGCGAUCCUAGUGCCAUGCGAGACCUCAUGACCGCAUGUGACUACUACCUCUCCGAUUGCUCCGAUGAUGGCCACAGCCUCGACGACGAGGGUUGUGGCCCAAGUCGCGAAUGUUUCCACGUCGAUCUAGGGGGUCACGACGAAGGAAACCACCUCGGUAUGCUGGAGGAUGACGAUCCCCUGGGCCUGCGCCUCGCGUUGACAUCCUGCGGGAGCUAGCUGUGGUCCCAGUCCCUGUGGGGGGUCAGGACACACAGCUCGAGCAAAUCCGCGAGAUGCAAGCCAAGCUCGACGAGGAAGCAGGGCAACUUGUGCAACUCCGGCAAAACAUCGAGCAGGAGUGGGCAGGCCGAGCACUCGCCGGAGAAGCGCGUCAUCAGGCCCGAGACGUCUAGCACCGUAUCGUUGACGAUGCCAGGGCAAGGCUGCCCCCGGCCUCCAGCGGGGUCGGCCAGAAUCUAGCUGCAGCGGCAAUACUACUCCGAGCAAUACCGGAGCCAUCCACCACCGAGGGGCGGCGUAUCCAGGGAGAACUCAAGAAUCUCCUGGAGGAUGCCGCGGUCCGACGGGCCGAAAGCUCUGCCUCCCGAAGGCAAGGGUGCCCCCUGGAGCAUCGUGCAACGACUUCCCGACUCACGAGGGAGGCCUCAGUCCACACCGGGCGCACGCGGGACACGACGCCUGCAGCCCCGGGUCGCCUCGGCAACGAGCACCACCGCCGCGACCAUCGAGCCCGCCUUGACGAGAAGGCGCGCCGAGGCUACCACCCCAGGCGUGGGGGACACUACAACAGUGAGGAGGAUCGGAGCCCCUCGCCUGAACCACCAGGUCCGCAAGCCUUCAGCCGGGACAUACGACGGGCGUCGUUCCCAGCUCGGUUCUGGGCCCCGACUACCAUCACCAAGUACUCUGGGGAAACAAGGCCGGAGUUGUGGCUUGCGGACUACCGGCUGGCCUGCAAGCUGGGAGGGACGGACGAUGACAACCUCACCAUCCGCAACCUCCCUCUGUUCCUCUCCGACGCUGCCCGGGCCUGGCUGGAGCAUCUGCCUCCCGCGUAGAUCUCCAACUGGGACGACCUGGUCAAGGCUUUCGCUGGAAACUUCCAGGGCACGUACGUGCGCCCUGGGAACUCCUGGGAUCUCCGAAGCUGCCGCUAGCAGCCAGGGGAAUCCCUGCGAGAGUACAUCCGACGGUUUUCAAAGCAGCACACCGAGCUGCCCAACAUCACCGACUCGAAUGCCGCGACCUAGUGAGCAAACUGGGCUGCAAGACUCCCACCAAGGCGAGCGAGUUGAUGGACAUCGCCACCAAGUUCGCCUAUGGUCAGGAGGCGGUUGAAGCCAUCUUCCGGAAGGACAAGCAGCCUCAGGGACGCUAGCAGGAAGACGUCCCCGAGGCGUCCGCCCAGCGGAGCACGAAGAAGAAGGCCAAGAAGAAGGCGCAAGCAAAGCGCGACACCGCAGACGCGGAUCUCGUCGCUGCUGUCGAACACAGGAACCCACGAAAGCCUCCUGGAGGGGCCAACCUGUUCGACAAGAUGCUCAAGGAGUCGUGCCCCUACCACCAGGGUCUCGUCAAGCACACCCUUGAGGAAUGCGUCAUGCUUCGGUGCUACUUCCAUAAGGCCGGGCCACCGGCAGGAGAUGGCAAAGACCAAGACAACGACAAGAAGGAGGGCAACAAGGCAGAGGAGUUCCCCGAGGUCCAUAGCUGUUUCAUGAUCUACGGUGGGCAAGUGGCGAACGCCUCGACUCAGCACCGCAAGCAGGAGCGCCGGGAGGUCUGCUCGGUAAAGGUGGCGGCACCAACCUACCUAGACUGGUCUGACAAGCCCAUCACCUUCGACCAAGGCGACCACCCCGACUGCGUGCCGAGCCUAGGAAAGUACCGGCUCGUUGUCGACCCCGUCAUCGGCAACACCAGGCUCACCAAGGUCCUCAUGGACGGGGGCAGUAGCCUCAACAUCAUCUACGCCGAGACCCUCGGGCUCUUGGGGAUCGAUUUGUCCACGAUCCGGGCUGGUGCGGCACCCUUUCACGGGAUCAUCCCCGAGAAGCGCGCCCUGCCCCUUGGACAACUCGAUCUGCCCGUCUGCUUCGGAACUCCCUCCAACUUCCGAAAGGAAACCCUCACGUUCGAGGUGGUUCCGAGGGACCUACCACGCGGUGCUGGGUAGACCGUGCUACGCCAAGUUCAUGGCCGUCCCCAACUACACGUACCUCAAGCUCAAGAUGUCAGGCCCCAACGGGGUCAUCACCGUCGGAUCCACGUACCGACACGCGUACGAAUGCGACGUGGAGUGCGUGGAGUAUGCUGAGGCCCUCGCCGAGUCCGAGGCCCUCAUCGCCGACCUAGAGUGCCUCUCCAAGGAGGCGCCUGAUGCGAAGCGCCAUGCUGGCAACUUCGAACCGGCUGAGGCGGUUAAGUCCGUCCCCCUCGACCCCAGCAACGACGCCUGCAAGCAAGUCCGGAUCGGCUUCGAGCUCGACCCCAAAUAGGAAGCAGUGCUCAUCGACUUUCUCCGCGCAAACGCCGAAGUUUUUGCGUGGAGUCCUUCGGACAUGCCCGCCAUACCGAGGGAUGUCGCCGAGCACUCACUGGAUAUCCGAGCCGGUGCCCGACCUGUGAAGCAACCCCUGCGCCGUUUCGACAAAGAAAAGCGCAGAGCCAUAGGCGAGGAGAUCCACAAGCUGAUGGCCGCAGGGUUCAUCAAAGAGGUAUUCCAUCCCGAAUGGCUAGCUAACCCUGUGCUUGUGAAAAAGAAAGGUGGGAAAUGGAGGAUGUGCGUAGAUUACACUGGUCUAAAGAAAGCAUGUCCGAAGGUUCCCUACCCUCUGCCUCGCAUCGAUCAAAUUAUGGACUCCACUGCUGGUUGCGAAACCCUGUCAUUCCUCGACGCCUACUCAGGGUAUCACCAAAUCAAGAUGAAAGAGUCCGACCAGCUCGCGACUUCUUUCAUCACACCUUUUGGCAUGUACUGUUAUACUACUAUGCCAUUUGGCUUGAGGAAUGCAGGUGCAACAUACCAAAGGUGCAUGAACCACGUGUUCGGAGAGCACAUCGGCCGAACGGUCGAGGCUUAUGUCGAUGACAUCAUUGUCAAGACGAGGAAAGCCUCCGACCUCCUCUCUGACCUUGAAACGACAUUCAAGUGUCUGAGAGCGAAGGACGUGAAACUCAAUCCCGAGAAGUGUGUCUUCGGAGUCCCCUGAGGCAUGCUCCUAGGGUUCAUCGUCUCCGAGCGGGGCAUCGAGGCCAACCCGGAGAAAAUCGUGGCCAUCACCAACAUGGGGCCUAUCAAAGAUUUGAAAGGAGUACAAAGGGUCAUGGGAUGUCUUGCGGCUCUGAGCUGCUUCAUCUCGCGCCUCGACGAAAAAGGCCUACCCUUGUACCGCCUUUUAAGGAAGGCCGAGCGCUUCACUUGGACCCCCGAGGCCGAGGAAGCCCUAAGAAACUUAAAGGCGCUCCUUACAAACGCGCCCAUCUUGGUGCCCCUCGCUGCGGGAGAAGCCCUCUUGAUCUACGUAGCCGCAACCACUCAGGUGGUUAUCGCCGCGAUCGUAGUCGAGAGACAAGAAGAAGGGCAUGCACUGCUCGUCCAGAGGCCGGUCUACUUCAUCAGUGAAGUGCUAUCCGAGACCAAGAUCCGCUACCCGCAAAUCCAGAAGCUACUGUAUGCAGUAAUUCUGACGCGGCGAAAAUUGCGACACUACUUCGAGUCUCAUCCAGUGACUGUGGUGUCAUCCUUCCCCCUGGGGGAGAUCAUCCAGCGCCGAGAGGCCUCGGGUAGGAUAGCAAAGUGGGAAGUGGAACUCAUGGGCGAGACAAUCUCGUUCGCUCCUCGGAAGGCCAUAAAAUCCCAAGUCUUGGCGGACUUCGUGGCUGAAUGGGUCGACACCCAACUGCCAACAGCUCCGAUCCAACCCGAGCUUUGGACCAUGUACUUCGAUGGGUCGCUGAUGAAAACGGGAGCAGGUGCUGGCCUACUCUUCAUCUCACCCCUCGGGAAACAUCUCCGCUACGUGCUGCGCCUCCAUUUCCCGGCGUCAAACAACGUGGCCGAGUACGAGGCUUUGGUUAACGGGCUGCGCAUCGCCGCCGAGCUAGGGGUUUGGCGCCUCGACGCUCGCGGCGACUCGUAGCUUGUCAUUGACCAAGUCAUGAAGAACUCCCACUGCCGCGACCCGAAGAUGGAGGCCUACUGCGACGAAGUUCGACGCCUGUAAGACAAGUUCUACGGGCUGGAGCUCAACCACAUCGCUCGACGGUACAACGAGACUGCGGAUGAGCUGGCGAAAAUAGCCUCGGGGCGGACAACGGUUCCCCCUGAUGUCUUCUCCAGAGACAUACAUCAACCCUCCGUCAAGAUCGACGACACGCCCGAGCCCGAGGAGGCCUCGGCCCAGCUCGAGGUAUCCUCGGCCGCCGAGGGUGAGGCCUUGCGCAUCGAGGGAGAGCGGGAUGGGGUUGCGUCAAACCGAAACUGGCAGACCCCGUACCUGGAAUAUCUCCUCCGAGGAGAGCUACCCCUCGACAAGGCCGAAGCUCGGCGACUGGCGAGGCGUGCCAAGUCGUUCGUCUUACUGGGUGAUAAAAAGGAGCUCUACCACCGCAGCCAUUUAGGCAUUCUCCAACGAUGCAUAUCCGUCGUCGAAGGACAGGAGCUAUUGCAAGAUAUACACUCGGGGGCUUGCGGUCACCACUCAGCGCCUCGAGCCCUCGUGGGAAACGCCUUCCGACAAGGUUUCUACUGGCUGACCGCGGUGGCCGACGCCACUAGGAUUGUACGCUCUUGCCAAGGGUGUCAAUUCUACGCAAGACAGACGCACCUGCCCGCUCAGGCCCUGCAGACAAUACCCAUCACCUGGCCAUUUGCUGUGUGGGGUCUGGACCUCGUCAGUCCCUUGCAGAAGGCACCCGGGGGCUCCUCACACCUGCUGGUCGCCAUCGACAAAUUCUCCAAAUGGAUCGAGGUCCGACCCUUAACGAGCAUCAGGUCCGAGCAGGCAGUGGCGUUCUUCACCAACAUCAUCCAUCGCUUUGGGGUCUCGAACUCCAUCAUCACCGACAACAACACGCAGUUCACUAGGAAGAAGUUCCUAGACUUCUGCAAGGACCACCACAUCCGUGUGGACUGGGCCGCCGUAGCUCACCCUAUGACGAAUGGGCAGGUGGAGCGUGCCAACGGUAUGAUUCUGCAGGGACUUAAAAGAGGAUCUACAACGACCACAACAAGUUCGACAAGCGGUGGAUGAAAGAGCUACCCUCGAUGGUCUGGAGUCUGAGGACGACGCCGAGCCGAGCCACGGGUUUCUCGCCGUUCUUUCUAGUCUAUGGGGCCGAGGCUAUCUUACCCAAAGACUUAGAAUACGGUUCCCCGAGGACAAAGGCAUACGAUGACCGAGGCAACCAGGCCAGCCGAGAAGACUCACUGGACCAGCUGGAAGAGGCUCGGGACAUGGCCUUACUACACUCGACGCGGUAUCAGCAGUCUCUGCGACGCUACCACGCCCGAGGGGUUCGACCCCGAGGCUUCCAGGUGGGAGACUUAGUACUUCGGCUGCGGCAGGACGCCCGAGGGCGCCACAAACUUACUCCUCUCUGGGAAGGGCCGUUCAUCAUUGCCAAGAUUUUGAAGCCCGGAACAUACAAGCUGGCCAACGAUCAAGGCGAGGUCUACAGCAACGCUUGGAACAUCCAACAGCUAUGUCGCUUUUACCCUUAAGAUGUUUUCAAGUCGUUCAUAUACCUCACUUUUCUUUACAUACAUAAAUAAAGUCUAACCGUCAAGGAAGGAUCAGCCUUGCCUCGGCAAAGCCCGACCCUCCCUCGGGGGCUAGAAGGUGGGAACCCCCUCUGCGUCAAAAUUUUCCUCAGAAAAAGUCUUUUGCGCUUUUCGACUGCUUCGAUAGCGAGAUCCUGAAAACGACGAGAGUACACGUAAGUGGCAAGGCUGACCGAGCCGAGGGACUCCUACGCCUCCGGGAUACGGAUACCUUACUCAUCACCUUCCGCAAUAAGUAACUCACGCUCGGAUAAGCGAUUCUGCUACCGAACAAGUCCUAACGCUCGAAAACUUUUCUGCCAGAACGAUUUUCGUGCCUUCUUGACUAUAUCGAUAACAGAAUCCUGCGAACGAGUAAGAGUGCACGUAAGCGGCAAGGCCGACCGAGCCGAGGGACUCCUACGCCUCCGGGAUACGGAUACCUCACUCAUCACCUUCCGCGAAAAGUAACUCUCGCUCAAUAAGCGAUUCUGCUAUCGAUGAACAAGUCUUGAUACUCGAAACAAGAGGAAAGAAAACGUAGCUUUAUAAUACGACAAUAAGAUGUUUAGGCCUCGACGGCCGCAAAAAACAUACGCAUACUACAGACAAACUGUUCCUGCAGGUUCAGACAUCGACAGAGGGAGCAGCAACACCCUCGGCGUCGUUUCCACCCUCGCGGGACCUGGCCCAGCCUCGGACGGCGAUACGGACGGAAGGAUUUCCACCCCAUGGGAGGACGCCAGCAUCGCGCUUGGGCCCCCACGGCCAAGUUCUCCGCAAGGGUUCCAUCCCGAAGCGGACGCCUCGGCUGGCCGCUCUGUAUCCUUAGCCAGCUGUCCCCCGAGGACCUCAGCCCGGCUCACGGCCUCGGCAGCGUGACUCCGGGGUUGGUCCUGCUAGCGGACGACCUGGCCAAGCCCCAGCCGUCGCCGCUGCACCUCCUCGGCAAGGGAAGCCACGUGCUCCCGGGCCGACGAAGCCUCUUUUCGAGCCGACUCCGCCUCUGUCCAUGCUGACACUGCUGCCUCCAGCUUCGGCUCAUCGCAGAGCGGCCUAAGGUUCUAUAACUGAGCAAGAGAAGCCUUGAGCGGCAAGGCCGACCGAGCCGAGGGACUCCUACGCCUUCGGGAUACGAAUACCUCACUCGUCACCUUCCGCGCAAGGCAACUCACACUCGGUUAAGCGGUUCAGCUAGCCGACAGGCGAGUCCUAGUGCUCGAAAUGAGGAAGAAACACAUCUUCACGCCCAAAUACCCAGAUGUUCAGGCCUCGACAGCCACAAUGAACAAACACCCAUACUCAGGGUGCUAUUACAAACGGAACUCCGGUUCCACUCCCGCGGGUAUGAACUACCUCCACACCAGAGGGCCUGCGGGACAACAAACUCCAGGUGGCUCGCCGGCGACCACUGCACCAGCAGUGACAACGACCUCCGCUUCGGGCGGCUAAACAGCAGCAGCGAUGACCUCAGGGCAAGCGCUGCUAUGGAAAGGCCCUCGCCCACGCCCCCACACGAGGGGCGAGGACAAGCCAUCAAAGCCAAAGAGCCGGGGGUCCGACCGCAGGUGGCGCUGACGGUCUCGUCGGCGGAGAAACCUUCUCUGGCGGCCACCACCUCGGCACCGACGGCAGCGGCCACCUGCGUGCCAGUGCCACGCCGACGAAUGGCGGCCGCCCCAGCCUGCAGCGACAGAUCCCCACUCAAGUCCUCACGGACGGAUCAGCACCAGCCUCCACGCGGAGGCGCCAUGCUGGAGUGAGGACAAGACAAUCCAAGAACACGAACGCCGCCCUAGCGGCGUGUGACGUCUUGGACGAUCCCCCGGUGCAGUCGGCAACGCGGGGAGGGCCACAGACAUGCCCGACCUGCUCGCGGCGCGACUGUCGCCCAUGCGGUGGACGGACAGCCACGCCCGAAUCAAGCGGCAGGAGGCAGCGUCGGACGCUGCGACAGAGCCAGCUGAGCCAGCGAGCCAGGCACGCUGGAGCUGACGACGCUUGCGGCUGACCGGUCCCGCGUUGUCGAAGUUCGCCCCCUCCGUAAGGCAGGUGAGCGCCCUCUCCCCUGAAUGCUGAAGGGAGAGGCGACCUGCCGGCCCAUGCGGGAGGUAGAACCCCAGCUCAGCUUGCCCUCCGCCACAACAAGGAUGAUGAAGAUCCUUGAAGCUGAGGGCGGGGCAGAGGUCGCAGCCCGACUUGCUUCUCCCCACCACCAAACUGGUGGUCAUCAUCCUAGAUGACUAUUGGCGAGGGAAUGCAGCCGAACUGCAUGAUGAAAAUCCUUGAAGCCGAGCGAUGGCUGAAGGGUGCCAACCCCCGCGAGGUCGCGCUCCUCCAACAGCAGCAAGACGAAGGCAACGCGGGUGCCCCCCAUCCGGGGGCUCGGAAGGUGGAAGGGCACGAUGCAUGAGGGGAGUGCGAAGACAUGGCUACCGCCCGGGGGAUCGACCCCUUUUUAAAGGCGACUCUCCCCACUCGCAUCCUCAAGCGUCACGGGCAAAGUCUUCACCGACGUGCUCCGGGGUCCUCCCCCUACGACACGGGGGCUAGGUCCCACACGUCAUGCAAGCUGACCAGAAACGGAAGAAGCCAAACCACUGCGCGCGAAGCAGGAGGCGUGCAACCGCACCACGGUUGUGCACCCUUUCGGCUUCAUCGCAUCCGGUGGGUCAGCGUGAAGGCCUGGGCCCGCAUGUCAUGCAACCGGCGCAACAGUUACUGCGUGCAAGGAAACCGCACCGCUGCUCGCACCAAUGCCGCGUCUCCUCGACUGCGGAACCAGUGCCGCGACUUGAGGCAGCCCUGCACAUGACCCAACAGUGCCAAUUGAGCACAACGAUCACGAGUCAGUCAGCCGCGGGAGGAGGCGCGACAGUUGAUGUGGCCAAAAGUGGACCGACAGUAAUGGCGGCAGCAGACGAGCGAAAGCAGCGGUCAAAUCGCCUGCAGGCUCGCGUCCCCUCCUAAAGCGGCAGGGGAGCCCUCUCCCACGGCGUGAAGGCGAAACACCCGUUCCUCAAACGACUCGCGCACGCACAACGACCACCCCGCGAAUCGCCCGUCCCGUCGCAUUAACUCCUCGGCAGGGCAAGCGUCACCUUUGGCAGGCGAAGCGGGCGACGUUUCACCUCCGCCAUAAUGACCGCGUCAAAAAAGGUGCGCCACCCCAUUUAAAUUCAUAUCCUUUUCCUCUUCCCCUUUCUCUCUCUUGCUACAGGGACCGGGAAAGGGGAUAUUUCGAAAGGGAUCCUUCUCCGCGAAGGAAGCGGGCCCCGAGCCCUCCUACUGAUCAGGGGUUCGAAGGCUGGCCCCUCGGAAGGGUUCGACAGCCGCCCCAGAGCACUCGGGCUUCAAGCUCAUUACUGAUCAGGGGUUUGAAGGCUGGCCCCUCAGAAGGGUUCGAUAGCUGCCUCAGAGCACUCAGGCUCCGCGCCCACUACUGAUCAGGGGUUCGAAGGCUGGCCCCUCGGAAGGGUUCGACAGUCGCCCAGAGCAUGCAAAGCGAGGGAUGACUCUGGGUACGUCCGUUACAUGGCCGAGGCUCGGGCUACGCUCCCGAGGUACCCUAGGACAUUUCUGAGACCAGCAGGAGCAAUUUUGUAACGGAAUCCCAUCAGAGGGAGGCAUCGAGCCCUUGGACCCUAUCGAAUGGGUCCGGGUCCGGCAAAUCACCUGCAGGUACCUCUGGAGCGCGCCUCUGGGCCACUAGCCGACCCUUAUCGAACGGGGCACGGGCGUCCACUCGGAUCACCCGUUAGCAACUCACUGGAGACACCAUGUUCAGCGCCCUCCGAGGGCAACAUGGCGCUUUCCCCCCUUCCUCCUUGUGGAAAGGCGACGAAGGGGCGUAUAAUAAAAGUCGAGACAGUCCUUGAUCGUCCUCUCGCUCCGUGCAGAGGCUCGGGGGCUGCUCUCGCAAACCGGCUACAGUCAAACCGUUGACAGCGUCAACAAACCAGCCUAAAAACUCGGAACCUGACCAUGCACCCGGGCUACGACCAGGCCGCAUGAGGGAGCGACAAGGCUAGCCGAGGCAUCACGAAAGACAUUAAGGCCUCAGAGGAGUCAAACCACUCCUCCGAGGCCUCGGGGGCUACACCCGGCGGGUGCGCUCGCGCGCACCCACCGGAACAAAGUAUAACCGAGAAAGGCCGGUCCCCUCACAAAAAGUGCGGCAAAGCCUCCAAGCGAGUGCCAACACUCCCUUUGAGGCUCGGGGGCUACUGUUGGGUACCAUAAUUAGGGGUACCCCCAACACUCCUACACACGGCUGGUAACCACCAUCAGCACGAACCGCAAAGACUGAUGGGCACGAUUCAGGUCAAGGCUUCGUCUACCCAAGGGGCGCGAUCUCGCCUCGCCCGAGCCCAGCCUCGGGCAGGAACUGUAGUCCCGAACGAAGUUAUGUCUCGCCAGAGGGCCUCCUCAGGCAGUAGCCGCACCCUCGGCACGCCCGAGGCCCAACUCGAGCAGGCUUCGUCAAGAAGCAACCUUGGCCAAAUCGCCUCUCCAACCGACCAUAUCACAGGCGCAUUCAAUGCGAGGAUCGCCUGACACCUUCUCCUGACACGCGUGCCUCAGUCGGCAAGGUCGAAGUGACCGCAAUCACUUCGCCCUUUCACUGACCGACCUGACAGGAAAACAGCGCCGCUCGCCCCGCUCCGACUGCUAUGCCACCCACUAGGGUGAGGUUGACAACAGCCAAGUUCAGCCUCGGGCACAACAGGAAACUCCGCCUUGCCCGACCUUAGGCCUCGGCCUCGGAAGGAGGUCUCCGCCUCGCCCGACCCCAUGGCUCGGCCUCAACCUCGACCUCGGAAGGUGGUCUCCGCCUCGCCCGACCCCAGGGCUCGGCCUCAACCUCGGCCUCGGGAGGAAUCGCGUCCUCACCCGACCCUGGCCUCGGCCUCAGGAGGAGUCUCUGCCUCGCCCGACCGCGCCACGGGGGAUACAUCAUUACCCUACCCCUAGCUAGCUCAGGCUACGGGGGAACAAAACCGGCGUCCCAUCUGGCUCGCCCCGGUGACAAGUAAUGAUGGCUCCCCGCGUGCGUCCAUGACAACGGUGGUUCUCAGCCCCCUACGGAAGCAAGGAGACGUCAGCAAGAUCCCAGCAGUACCGACAGCUGUGCUUCUACAGGGCUCAAGCACUUCUCCGACGGCCACGUUAUCGCCUACGCAGGGCUCAAGCACUUCUCCGACAGCCACGUUGGCAUGUACACAGGGCUCAGGCACUUCCCUGCCAGACACGUUAGCGCCUAGCUACACCCCCCAUUGUACACCUGGACCCUCUCCUUGCAUCUAUAAAAGGGAGGUCUAGGGCCUUCAUGCGAGAGGGUCGCGCGGGAGAACGAGCUAACGAACAGGCUCACUCUCUCUCUCGCGAACGCUUGUAACCCCUACUACGAGCACACCCCCCCUGGCGCGGGAUAACACGAGCCGCAUUUUCCCCCUUGUGUUCCAUCUCGCGCCAACCCAUCUGGACUGGGACGCGCAACGACAAAUUUACUCGUCGGUCCAGGGACCCCCCGGGGUCGAAACGCCGACAACGAGAUACGCCUAAGUAUACUUCUUCUAGUGAUGAGGAAUCUUCUGACGAUGAGGUAGAUUACAAUGAUCUAUUUAGAGGUUUAGAUAGAUAUAAAAUAGAUAAAAUAAAUAAAUUUAUUGAUGCUCUCAAUGAAAAAGAUAGGCUUCUAUAAAAGCAAGAAGAUAUUCUUUAUGAGGAACAUGAUAAAUUCAUUAAUGUUCAAAAAUCUCUUGCUCUAGAAAUUAAGAAAAAUGAACUAUUGACCUCUGAGUUAUCUACUUGUAAUGACUCUAUCUCUAAGCUUAAGAAUUUAAAUUUUGAUUUAAAUACUAAGUUAGAAGAAGUAAAUUUUGCUAGUUCAUCUGUAGAGCAUGUUGUAAUCUACAAUAGGUGUAAAGAUUUUAAUAUUAAUGCUUGCAAUGAACAUGUCUCUACCAUUCUUAAUUUAAAUAAUGAUGUCGCAAGUCUUAAUGCUUAACUUAAGACUUGCAAGGAUAAUUAUGAAAAAUUAAAAUUUGCUAGGGAUGCCUACACCAUUGGUAGACAUCCCUUUAUUAAGGAUGGACUUUGUUUCCAAAAGGGAACCAAGAACUUAACAAGCCAAAGGGCUCCUGUUGGUCACUUGUUCUCAAAUGCUAAGAGUUAAGAACAAGGCAACACAAAAUGUUAACGGUUAAAGACCUUCGUCCUUCGAAGCAUUAUCUCCUUUAGGAUAUAAUGAUCUUUAGACGAAGGUUAUGAAGGACGUACCUUCAUAAUCUCAAUAUAUAAUAAUGAAAGUAUAAGUAUAUGAAAUAUGGAAAACAACAUGAAUAAUCAUAUGACAUUAUCAGAACAUUUUUAUUAUCUCCUCAUGAAUAAACAUGAACAAUAUCGAGUUACAUUUGUACCUUCGGCUUGACAGAAGGCGAAAAUCCAAGUGUGACGUGCGAGUGAAUACAAGUCAGCGUGAACAGUACAAUGUUAUUGUUCAUCUAUUUAUAGGCACAUGACGCAGCCUGUGUAAAAUUACAUCCAUGCCCUUUAUGUUUACUAUUGACUUAAGGACAAUCUACUGAGGACUAGAUAGCCUUUUCCUCUUUAAGUCGGUUUCAUUUUCUGCCGCUGAGCCGAAGCAUUUCUACGCGUAGCUUCGGAGCUGGUUCAACCUUCUUCCAGACCAUGCUUUUCAUAUGGUAUACAACUUCAUUCCGAGGCCGAAGGUCCCUGUAAAUGUAUUAUACUUAGAAAACAUGUUAAUUGUGUUUUUGAGGACCUUCGGAAGACGAAGGCCCCCAACAGUAGCCCCUAACAGUAUUAAUUUGUUUAAUCAAUAAAUUCAAACUGCGACGUGAACGAAGGCCUUAAGCCGAAGGUCCGAAAAACACCUUCCCUUCGCUAGAAUAGCGAAAGUCAAUGACAAACGGGGCCCGCCAAGUUGCAAAGCACUAGGCGUAUAAAUAGGAACCCACAUCGGCAACAUUUGAUGCGCCAUUUCUGCUGUUUGCGUUGUUUUCUCAAAUUUUUAGCUCUUGCUCAUCAACUCUUGUUUAAUUUUCGAGCUUCGGUUUAAAGACGUGCUUGCUCCAUGUCUGAGGAGAAGACGAUGACCAAGGAAAAGAUGACUGAGGAGAAGAAGCUCACUGAGGGGAAGAAGCUAUACGAAGAGAAGAAAGUUGCGGACCCUUUCAUUGCUGGGUUUUAUGAGUCUAUGGCAAAGACGAAUACAGAGAAAAUCACUAAAGAGAUAAUGGAGGGUUUGUCUGAAGAUUCUGAUGACAGCAAUAGUUAUGAUGUAGAGAGUGGAGAUGAAGAUUCUGAGGACCGGCCCUGGAGGCCAAGCCAUACUAUCUUCGGAAAAUCGACCAUCAAACAAAGUCAUAUUGACGCCAUGAGGGGGAGAUAUUUUCGCGACGUGUCUAUUGUCAGGGUUGGAGGAGACAACACUGCCCCUACUCCUGAGGAAAAUGAAGUUGUUAUUUACCGAAGCUUCCUGAAGGCAGGCCUUCGGUUCCCACUGAGCAAAUUUGUGGUUGAGGUAUUGAAGAUAUUCCAGAUCUUUCUUCAUCAGAUUACCCCCGAAGCUAUAAUUAGGAUGGGGAUAUUUGUCUGGGCUGUAAGAAGCCAGGGGCUGGAGCCGAGCGCAAAGUGCUUCUGCAAUACACACGAGCUUUUAUACGAGACAAAGGCUACCGACAAAGAACAAUACCACAACAACUUCGGUUGUUACGGGUUCAUUGCCCGCUCUAAUGCAAGUUACCCGGUGCCGACGUAUCGGGAAAGGUGGCCCGGGGCCUAGAUGGAGGAGUGGUUUUAUGUUAAAAAUGAUCUGAUAAAAGGGAAGACAUCAAGGAAAUUGUUGGGGACUUGUUCUCAAAUGCUAUGAGUCAAGAACAAGUCAACACAAAAUGUUAAUGAUUAAAGACCUUCGUCCUCCGAAGCAUUAUCUCCCUUAGGAUAUAAUGAUCUUCAGACGAAGGUCAUGAAGGACAUACCUUCAUCAUCGCAGUAUAUAUUAAUGAAAGAAGAAGCAUAUGAAACAUGAGAGACAACAUGAAUAAUUAUACAACAUAUUUUAUAUAUCUUUAUUAAAUUAUCAUAAAUGAAUAUGAACAAUAUUGAAUUACAUUUGUACCUUCGGCUUGACAGAAGGCAAAAGUCCAAGCGUGACGCACGAAUGAAUACAAGUCAACGUGAACAGUACGGGGGUACUGUUCAUCUAUUUAUAGGCACAGAGCGCAGCCUGUGUAAAAUUACAUUCAUGCCAUUUGUGUUUAUUAUUGACGUAAGGACAAUCUAACGAGGACUAGAUAGCCUUUUCCCCUUUAAGUCGGUUCCUUUUCCUGCCGCUGAGCCGAAGCUACCUUGCGCGUAGCUUCGGAGCUGCGUCAUCCUUCGUCUCGACCAUGCUUUUCAUAUUGUGUACAUUUUCAUUCCGAGUCCGAAGGUACCUGUACAUAUAUUACACUUGGGAAACAUUGUUAAAUCAUGUUUUUGAGGACCUUCGGAAGACGAAGGCCCCCAACAGUAGCCCCUCGCAGUAUUAAUUUGUUAUAACAACGAAUUUAGAUUGCGACAUGAACGAAGGCCUUAAGCCGAAGGAAAAAACACCUUCCCUUUGCUAGAAUAGCAAUAGUCAAUGACAGAUGGGGUCCACCAAGUUGCAAAGCACUGGGCGUAUAAAUAUGAACCCACAUCGGCAACAUUUGAUACGCCAUUUCUACCAUUUGCAUUAUUUUCUCAAACUUUUUAGCUCUUGCUCACUAGCUCUCGCCUGAUUUUCAAGCUUUGGUUUUAAAGACGUGUUUUCACCAUGUCUGGGGAACAGAUGACUGAGGAAAAGAAGAUGACUGCAGAGAUGAAGCUAACUGAGGAGACGAAGUUGUUUGAAGAAAAGAAAGUUGCGGAUCCUUUUAUCGCCGGGUUUAUUGAGUCUAUGUCAAAAACAAACACAGAGAAAAUUACUAAAGAGAUACUGGAAGGUUUGUCUGAAGAUACUGAUGAUAGUGAUAGUUAUGAUGUGGAAAGUGGGGAUGAAGAUUCUGAAGAUCGGCCCUGGCGACCAAGCCAUGCUGUCUUCGGAAAAUCGACUAUUAAACAGAGUCAUUUUGACAAUAUGAGAGGAAGGUACUUUCGUGACAUGUCUAUCGUGAGAGCUGGCGGAGACAACAUCGUCCCUGCCCUGAGGAAAAUGAAGUUGUUAUCUACCGAAGCUUUUUUAAGGCUGGUCUUCGGUUCCCUUUGAGCAAGUUUGUGGUUGAAGUGCUGAAGAUAUACCAGACCUUCCUUCAUCAGAUCACCCCUGAAGCUAUAAUGAGGAUGGGGAUUUUUGUCUGGGAUGUAAGAAGUCAGGGGCUAGAGCCAAGCGCGAAGUGCUUCUGUAGUAUGCACGAGCUUUUAUAUGAGAUGAAGGCUACUGGCAAAGAACAGUACCACAACAACUUCGGUUGUUAUGGAUUUAUUGCUUGCCCCAACGCAAGCUACCCGGUGCCAACAUUCUGGAAGAGAUGGCCCGGAGCCUAGAUGGAGGAGUGGUUUUAUGUUAAAAAUGAUUUAAAGGCAAGGGAAGACAUCAAAGAAAUCAUCCAGCGCCCCAUCUAGUCUCGCUUCGGCCUCCAAAGGCCGAAGGUGGAAAUUGAUGACGCUGUUGAAGCAUGUCAGAGGGCUUUUAGCACUGUUUGUGCCUUUAUUGGCACAAGGGAUUUGAUUCAAGAGCAUAUAUCCUUCAGGGUAUGGCCACUUGUGGAAAGCUGGGAUAUGCCGAAGGAGACAACCACCAAUUCUAGUGAUGGUAGUCUGGUCCGACUGAAGUAUACCUUCACAUUUAGGGAGAAGUUUGAUAAGCCAAACGACGACUAGCUGAAGUGUAUUGAAGCUACUAGUGAUGAGCUACUUGAAGCUUACUCCAAGACCGAAGAUAAUGCUUUUUCCACAGCCUUCGGAGGCCGGGGGAAGAAAAUACUGAACAAGGUCUUUGAUGCGAUUGGCUUCAUGUACCCCGAUUAUCGCUUCCCGCUGCGAGGGCAAGGAAAAAAGAGGAAGGCUGCCGCUUCGGCCACUACAGUUGUGCCGAAGAGCAAAAAGGUGAAGGUUCUGACCCACCGGCCGCGUUAUAUUGAACCGGUGAGAGCACCUAGAGGGGGGGGGGUGAAUAGGUGAUCCUGUAAAAACUUAACUUAUAGCCACAAAAACUUGUUAGGGGUUAGCUCAAUAAUUGCCAAGUGGCUAAAGAGGAGAUCUUGCACAAUGCGACAAUCACAGAGAAUUCAACACAAAGGAGACACGGUGAUUUAUCCCGUGGUUCGGCCAAGUACAAAACUUGCCUACUCCACGUUGUGGCGUCCCAACGGACGAGGGUUGCAAUCAACCCCUCUCAAGCGGUCCAAAGACCCACUUGAAUACCACAGUGUUUUGCCUUGCUUAUCUUUAUCCCACUCGCGAGGAAUCUCCACAAAUUGGAGUCUCUCGCCCUUACACUUAAGAUUCACAGAGAAGCACGGAGUAAGGGAGGGAAGCAACACACACAAAUCCACAGCGAAACGCGCACACACACGGCCAAGAUUCGAGCUCAAAGACUAUCUCACAGUUUCUCACAAGAACAGAGCUCGAAUCACUUAGAAUCACGAACGGAUGCGCAAAGACUUAGUGUGGAUGAUCAAGAAUGCUCAAGAGUUGCUUGGUGUCUUCCUCCAUGCGCCUAGGGGUCCCUUUUAUAGCCCCAAGGCAGCUAGGAGCCGUUGAGAGCAAAUCUGGAAGGCCAUCUUCGCCUUCUGUCGUCGGGCGCACCGGAUAGUCCGGUGCACACCGGACCGUGUCCGGUGCCCGAUUCCUUUCCUUAAAUGGCGAAGCCGACCGUUGCAGAUGCGGGAGCCGUUGGCGCACCGGACAUGUCCGGUGCACACCGGACAGUCCGGUGCCCCCUUCCGACCGUUGGCUCGGCCACGUGUCCCGCGCUGAUCGCGCGGCCGACCGUUGGCCCUGGCCGACCGUUGGCUCACCGGACAGUCCGGUGCACACCGGACAGUCCGGUGAAUUUUAGCCGUACGCCGUCAGCAAAUUCCCGAGAGCGGCCUCUUCGGCCGAGGGAGCCUGGCGCACCGGACACUGUCCGGUGCACCACCAGACAGUCCGGUGCCCCAGACCGAAACAGCCCCUUGGCUGUACACAGCCAAGUCUUCUCUUCUCUUCUUCUUUCUGUUUCUAACACUUAGACAAAUAUAUUAGUACACAAAACCAAUGUACUAAGACUUAGAAACAUACCUUUGUUGAAGAUUUGCACUUUGUUCAUCCAUGGGCAUUGAUUCACAUUUAAGCACUUGUGUUGACACUCAAUCACCAAAAUACUUAGAAAUGGCCCAAGGGCACAUUUCCCUUUCAAUCUCCCCCUUUUUGGUGAUUUAUGCCAACACAACAUAAAGCAGAUAGAACAAGUGCAAAAUCACUUCAAAUAAAAACUCAAAUUGGUUUUGAUUCAUUUUUGGCAUAUAUGGAUCAUCCUUUGCCACCACUUGGUUUGUUUUUGCAAAUUAAACUCAAAUCUCUAUCUCUAAGUCAAACACACAUGUUGAAGCAUAAAGAGAGUCAUUCCAAAAGAGAUUGAUCAAAGAUUUCAAAAACUCCCCCUAUUUCCCAUAAUCAACACUUCUCCCCGCAAGAAGCCAACCUUUGACAAGAGAGACAAUAAGAGACAAUAAAAGAGUUUGACAAAACAAAAACUCUAUUCUACUAUUUUCAAAAUCUCUCAAGUGGUAGCUGAUCCAUUUAUCGCUUUGGCCUUUAUUUUCUCCCCCUUUGGCAUCAAGCACCAAAACAGGAUCAAUCUUGGCCUUUUAACCCCAUUGCCUCACCAAAGUCUUCAAUUAAGAGCAAAUGGCAAUAAGAUUUCAUGAGAUGAACUUGGAAUUAGUUACCCUCUCAUCGGAGUGCAGUGGAAGUCUUUCAUGGUCCAAGUCCACCUUUUCCCUUUCAAUCCUUCUUCGAGACUAAAUCAUCAAACUCAAGCACAUGGUUAGUCUCAAAGGGUCAAGUUGUAACACAUCUCCCCCUAAACAUGUGCAUCACUUUGCAACGGACUUGUAAGGUCCAGGGAGUGUUUGUACAACUUGAGCACCAUAAUAAGCAAUAAAAUGCAAAAAAGGAACAUGAUCAAAAGCAUAAAUACAUGUAUGCUACAAUUCAAUCCAGGUUCCGCGAAUCUAAGACAUUUAGCUCACUACGCAACCUGCAAAAGGUCUUCUCAUCUAGAGGCUUAGUGAAGAUAUCGGCUAGCUGGUUCUCGGUGCUAACAUGAAACACUUCGAUAUCUCCCUUUUGCUGGUGGUCUCUCAAAAAGUGAUGCCGGAUGUCUAUGUGCUUUGUGCGGCUGUGUUCAACAGGAUUUUCCGCCAUGCGGAUAGCACUCUCAUUAUCACAUAGGAGUGGGACUUUGCUCAGAUUGUAGCCAAAGUCCCGGAGGGUUUGCCUCAUCCAAAGUAGUUGCGCGCAACACUGUCCUGCGGCAACAUACUCGGCCUCAGCGGUGGAUAGGGCAACGGAGGUUUGUUUCUUAGAGUUCCACGACACCAGGGACCUUCCUAAGAAUUGGCACGUCCCUGAUGUACUCUUCCUAUCGACCUUACAUCCAGCAUAGUCGGAAUCUGAGUAUCCAACUAAGUCAAAGGUAGACCCCUUUGGAUACCAGAGCCCGAAGCAAGGCGUAGCAACUAAAUAUCUAAGAAUUCGCUUUACCGCCACUAAGUGACACUCCUUAGGAUCGGAUUGAAAUCUAGCACACAUGCAUACGCUAAGCAUAAUAUCCGGUCUACUAGCACAUAAGUAAAGCAAAGAACCUAUCAUUGACCGGUAUGCUUUUUGAUCAACGGACUUACCUCCUUUGUUGAGGUCGGUGUGUCCGUCGGUCCCCAUCGGAGUCUUUGCGGGCUUGGCGUCCUUCAUCCCAAACCGCUUUAGCAGAUCUUGCGUGUACUUUGUUUGGGAGAUGAAGGUGCCGUCCUUGAGUUGCUUCACUUGGAACCCAAGGAAGUAGUUCAACUCGCCCAUCAUCGACAUCUCGAAUUUCUGCGUCAUCACCCUGCUAAACUCUUCACAAGACUUUUGGUUAGUAGAACCAAAUAUUAUGUCAUCGACAUAAAUUUGGCACACAAACAAAUCACCAUCACAUGUCUUAGUGAAAAGAGUUGGAUCGGCUUUCCCAACCUUGAAAGCAUUAGCAAUUAAAAAGUCUCUAAGGCAUUCAUACCAUGCUCUUGGGGCUUGCUUAAGUCCAUAGAGCGCCUUAGAGAGCUUACACACGUGGUCGGGGUACCGUUCAUCCUCGAAGCCAGGGGGUUGCUCCACGUACACCUCCUCCUUGAUUGGCCCGUUGAGGAAAGCGCUCUUCACAUCCAUUUGGUACAACCUGAAAGAAUGGUGAGCGGCAUAUGCUAGCAAGAUACGAAUGGACUCUAGCCUAGCCACAGGAGCGAAAGUCUCCUCAAAGUCCAAACCUGCGACUUGGGCAUAACCUUUUGCCACAAGUCGAGCCUUGUUCCUCGUCACCACCCCGUGCUCGUCCUGUUUGUUGCGGAACACCCACUUGGUUCCCACAACAUUUUGCUUCGGACGAGGCACCAGUGUCCAAACUUCAUUGCGCUUGAAAUUGUUGAGUUCCUCUUGCAUGGCCAACACCCAGUCUGGAUCUAGCAAGGCCUCCUCUACCCUGAAAGGCUCAAUAGAAGAGACAAAGGAGUAAUGCUCACAAAAAUUAGCUAAUCGAGAUCGAGUAGUUACUCCCUUGCUAAUGUCACCCAGAAUUUGAUCGACGGGAUGAUCCCUUUGAAUCAUCGCUCGAACUUGGGUUGGAGGUGCCGGUUGCGCUUCUUCCUCCAUUACUUGAUCAUCUUGUGCUCCCCCUUGAUCAAGCGCCUCCACUUGAGGUACCUGUUCGUCAUCUUCGGUUGGGGGAUGCACCAUAGUUGAGGAAGAAGGUUGAUCUCGUUCAUAUUGUUCCUGUGGCCGUACUUCUCCAAUCGCCAUGGUCCGUAUAGCGGCCGUCGGAACAUCUUCUUCAUCUACAUCAUCACAAUCAACUUGCUCUCUUGGAGAGCCAUUAGUCUCAUCAAAUACAACGUCGCUAGAGACUUCAACCAAACCCGAUGAUUUGUUGAAGACUCUAUACGCCUUUGUAUUUGAGUCAUAACCUAACAAAAACCCUUCUACAGCUUUGGGAGCAAACUUAGAAUUUCUACCUUUCUUCACUAGAAUGUAGCACUUGCUCCCAAAUACACGAAAGUAAGAUACAUUGGGUUUGUUACCGGUUAGUAGCUCAUACGAAGUCUUCUUGAGGAGGCGAUGAAGGUAGACCCUGUUGAUGGCGUGGCAAGCCGUGUUCACGGCUUCCGACCAGAAACACUCGGGUGUCUUGAAUUCUCCAAGCAUUGUCCUUGCCAUAUCGAUUAGCGUCCUGUUCUUCCUCUCUACCACACCAUUUUGCUGUGGUGUGUAGGGAGCGGAGAACUCGUGCUUGAUCCCUUCCUCCUCAAGGAACUCCUCCACUUGAAGGUUCUUGAACUCGGACCCGUUGUCGCUCCUUAUCUUCUUCACUUUGAGCUCAAACUCAUUUUGAGCUCUCCUGAGGAAGCGCUUGAGGGUCCCUUGGGUUUCAGACUUAUCCUGCAAAAAGAAUACCCAAGUGAAGCGGGAAAAGUCAUCAACAAUAACUAAACCAUACUUACUCCCUCCUAUGCUCAGAUAGGCGACAGGUCCGAAGAGGUCCAUAUGCAGCAGCUCCAGGGGUCUUGAAGUGGUCAUCACGUUCUUGCUGUGAUGCGCUCCUCCCACUUGUUUACCUGCUUGACAAGCUGCACAAGGUCUAUCUUUUUCGAAAUGCACGUUAGUCAAACCUAUCACGUGUUCUCCCUUUAGAAGCUUGUGAAGGUUCUUCAUCCCCACAUGUGCUAAGCGGCGAUGCCACAGCCAGCCCAUGCUAGUCUUAGCUAUUAAGCAUGCAUCUAGACCGGCCUCUUCUUUUGCAAAAUCAACUAAAUAAAGUUUGCCGUCUAAUACACCCUUAAAAGCUAGUGAACCAUCACUUCUUCUAAAGACAGACACAUCUACAUUUGUAAAUAGACAGUUAUACCCCAUAUGACAUAAUUGACUAACAGAUAGCAAAUUAUAUCCAAGACUCUCUACUAAAAAUACAUUAGAGAUAGAAUGCUCAUUAGAAAUUGCAAUCUUACCUAACCCUUUUACCUUGCCUUGAUUCCCAUCACCGAAUAUAAUUGAAUCCUGGGAAUCCUUAUUCUUGACGUAGGAAGUGAACAUCUUCUUCUCCCCCGUCAUAUGGUUUGUGCAUCCGCUGUCGAUAAUCCAGCUUGAUCCCCCGGAUGCAUAAACCUGCAAGGCAAAUUUAGGCUUGGGACUUAGGUACCCAACUCUUGUUGGGUCCUACAAGGUUAGUGCAAAUUUCCUUAGGGACCCAAAUGCAAGUUUUGUCUCCCUUGCAUUUUGCCCCUAACUUCCUAGCAAUUACCUUCUCACCCUUUCUACAAAUAGCAAAGGGAGCAUUGCAAGCAUAAUAAAUGGUGGAAGGUUUGUUCACAACUUUUCUAGGAACAUGAGCAAAAUUUCUCCUAGGCAUAUGCACAUCAUUUCUCCUACACAUAUCUCUAUCAUGCUUAUAGGAAGAACUAGAAGCAAACAUGGCAUGAGAAUCAUAAACAUGUGAAUCAAAAUCAUUAUAAGCAUUUCUAGCAUGUCUCCUAUCAUGGUAUAAGAAAGCAUGGUUCCUUUUAGCACUACUAGCCAUAGGGGCCUUCCCUUUCUCCUUGACGAAGAUGGGAGCCUUAUGGCUUGUUAAGCUCUUAGCCUCUCUCUUGAAGCCAAGACCAUCCUUAAUUGAGGGGUGUCUACCCACCGUGUAGGCAUCCCUUGCAAAUUUUAUUUUAUCAACUUCACUCUUGCUAGUCUUAAGUUGAGCAUUAAGACUAGCCACUUCAUCAUUUAGUUUUGAAAUUGAAACUAAGUGUUCACUACAAGCAUUAACAUCAAAAUCCUUACACCUAGUGCAAAUUGUAAUAUUUUCAACACACGAGUUACUUGCUACUUCUAGUUUAGCAGUUAAAACAUUAAUUUCACCUUUUAAAGAAGAAAUGGUUUCAUUACAAGUAGAAAGUUCACAAGAAAGUAUCCCAUUUCUUUUAACUUCUAGAGCAAGUGAAUUUUGUGCACUAACAAAUUUAUCAUGUUCUUCAUAUAGAAGGUCUUCUUGUUUCUCUAAGAUUCUAUCCUUUUCAUUUAAGGCAUCAAUCAACUCAUUAAUCUUAGCUAUCUUAGUUCUAUCCAAUCCCUUGAAUAAACUAGAGUAAUCAAUUUCAUCCUCACUAGAUUCAUCAUCACUAGAAGAAUCAUAAGUAUCAGUAUUACGAGUGAUUACCUUCUUUUCCCUUGCCAUAAGGCAAGUGUGAUGCUCGUUGGGGAAGAGAGCCGAUUUGUUGAAGGCAGUGGCGGCGAGUCCUUCGUCGUCGGAGUCGGACGAAGAGCAAUCCGAAUCCCACUCCUUUCCAAGGUGUGCUUCGCCUUUGGCCUUCUUGUAAACCUUCUUGUUCUCUCUCUUCCCAUUUUUCCCUUGCUCCUGGUCACUAUCAUUUUCGGGACAGUUAGCAAUAAAAUGACCAAGCUUACCGCAUUUGAAGCAUGAUCGCUUUCCCUUGGUCUUGGCCUUGCUUGGCUGUCCCUUUCGACCUUUUAGCGCCGUCUUGAAUCUCUUGAUGAUGAGAGCCAUCUCUUCAUCAUUGAGCCCGGCCGCCUCAACUUGCGCCACCUUGCUAGGUAGCGACUCCUUGCUCCUCGUUGCCUUUAGAGCAAUGGGUUGAGGCUCGUGGAGUGGACCGUUCAACGCGUCGUCGACGUAUCUUGCCUCCUUGAUCACCAUCCGCCCGCUCACGAAUUUUCCAAGUACUUCCUCGGGCGUCAUCAUCGUGUACCUGGGAUUCUCACGAAUAUUGUUCACGAGAUGAGGAUCAAGAACGGUAAAGGACCUGAGCAUUAGGCGGACGACGUCGUGAUCCGUCCAACGCGUGCUUCCGUAGCUCCUUAUUUUGUUGAUAAGGGUCUUGAGCCGGUUGUAAGUUUGAGUUGGCUCCUCUCCCCUUAUCAUGGCGAAUCGUCCAAGCUCGCCCUCCACCAACUCCAUCUUGGUGAGCAUGGUGAUGUCGUUCCCCUCGUGAGAGAUCUUGAGGGUGUCCCAUAUCUGCUUGGCAUUGUCCAAGCCGCUCACCUUAUUGUACUCUUCCCUGCACAAAGAUGCUAGGAGAACAGUAGUAGCUUGUGCAUUUCUAUGAAUUUGUUCAUUUAUAAGCAUAGGGCUAUCUGAGCUAUCAAAUUUCAUUCCAUUCUCCACAAUCUCCCAUAUGCUUGGAUGGAGAGAGAAUAAGUGACUACGCAUUUUGUGACUCCAAAAUCCGUAGUCCUCCCCAUCGAAGUGUGGAGGUUUGCCAAGAGGAAUGGAAAGCAAAUGCGAAUUCGAACUAUGUUGAAUACGAGAAUAAUCAAAUGAAAAGUUCGAAUUGACCGUCUUUUUGUAGUCGUUGUCAUCAUCCUUUUGGGAAGAAGUAGACUCAUCACUAUCGUCGUAGUAGAUGAUCUCCUUGAUGCGCCUUGUCUUCUUCUUCUUCCCUUCCUUCCGUCUAUGCCCCGAGCCAGAGUCGGUAGGCUUGUCGUCCUUCGGCUCGUUGACGAAGGAUUCCUUCUCUUUGUCGUUGAUCACGAUUCCCUUCCCCUUAGGAUCCAUCUCUUCGGGCGGUAAGUCCCUUUGUGAAGAGAACGACUCUGAUACCAAUUGAGAGCACCUAGAGGGGGGGGUGAAUAGGUGAUCCUGUAAAAACUUAACUUAUAGCCACAAAAACUUGUUAGGGGUUAGCUCAAUAAUUGCCAAGUGGCUAAAGAGGAGAUCUUGCACAACGCGACAAUCACAGAGAAUUCAACACAGAGGAGACACGGUGAUUUAUCCCGUGGUUCGGCCAAGUACAAAACUUGCCUACUCCACGUUGUGGCGUCCCAACGGACGAGGGUUGCAAUCAACCCCUCUCAAGCGGUCCAAAGACCCACUUGAAUACCACAGUGUUUUGCCUUGCUUAUCUUUAUCCCACUCGCGAGGAAUCUCCACAAAUUGGAGUCUCUCGCCCUUACACUUAAGAUUCACAGAGAAGCACGGAGUAAGGGAGGGAAGCAACACACACAAAUCCACAGCGAAACGCGCACACACACGGCCAAGAUUCGAGCUCAAAGACUAUCUCACAGUUUCUCACAAGAACAGAGCUCGAAUCACUUAGAAUCACGAACGGAUGCGCAAAGACUUAGUGUGGAUGAUCAAGAAUGCUCAAGAGUUGCUUGGUGUCUUCCUCCAUGCGCCUAGGGGUCCCUUUUAUAGCCCCAAGGCAGCUAGGAGCCGUUGAGAGCAAAUCUGGAAGGCCAUCUUUGCCUUCUGUCGUCGGGCGCACCGGACAGUCCGGUGCACACCGGACCGUGUCCGGUGCCCGAUUCCUUUCCUUAAAUGGCGAAGCCGACCGUUGCAGAUGCGGGAGCCGUUGGCGCACCGGACAUGUCCGGUGCACACCGGACAGUCCGGUGCCCCCUUCCGACCGUUGGCUCGGCCACGUGUCCCGCGCUGAUCGCGCGGCCGACCGUUGGCCCUGGCCGACCGUUGGCUCACCGGACAGUCCGGUGCACACCGGACAGUCCGGUGAAUUUUAGCCGUACGCCGUCAGCAAAUUCCCGAGAGCGGCCUCUUCGGCCGAGGGAGCCUGGCGCACCGGACACUGUCCGGUGCACCACCGGACAGUCCGGUGCCCCAGACCGAAACAGCCCCUUGGCUGUACACAGCCAAGUCUUCUCUUCUCUUCUUCUUUCUGUUUCUAACACUUAGACAAAUAUAUUAGUACACAAAACCAAUGUACUAAGACUUAGAAACAUACCUUUGUUGAAGAUUUGCACUUUGUUCAUCCAUGGGCAUUGAUUCACAUUUAAGCACUUGUGUUGACACUCAAUCACCAAAAUACUUAGAAAUGGCCCAAGGGCACAUUUCCCUUUCAACCGGCCGUGGUGCCUGAAUUUGCCGAAGGAGCCUCUUCAACUGCUGAAGCAAGACGAGCUGCUUCAAUUGCAUAGAGCGUUGAAGAGCCAACUGUAGUGCCGAAGAUGCCUACAGUCGGGCCAGCCGAAUCUAAAGAUGAUAAGGCCGAAGAGCCACAAGUGAAAAAGUGAUAAAAAUGCCAGAAAUCCUGAGCUCUCCAACAGAGGUAAAACUGCCUAAGGUGCAAAAGGCUUCUGCCGUGACUCCCAAGAGAAGGAGGAUGGCCAACGUGCUGGAUGCUGUGCUAGAGACUACAAAGGCCUUGAGCCCUGCUCCUACAAAGAAAAUUGCUAAAGCUGCCAAAGCGCAAGCCGAAGCCGAAACUGGGCAAGCAGAAGCCGAAGCUACGAAAACUCAGGCUGAAGCCGAAGCUGGGCCUUCAGCGCUCGUCGCGGCGAAGCCUGCCGCGCCUCAGGAAAAAACGGCAGAGCAAAUUGGACCUGAAAAGAUUGAGACUCCUGCUCCCGAAGCUCCGAUCGAAAAUGUUGACUACAUCAUUCGACACGCUUCAGGGAAGAAAUUGUCCGAAGAAGAAAUACUGGAAGCCAGACACUAUGCGUGAAAGUUGAAAUAUCCGAAGGGAGCUUUAGUGUUUAACGGCACUAACGAUGAUGGCUUCUUAUAUUGUCUCCCGGACAACAAAGAAAUAUCCGUUUGCCGGGAGAUAGGUAAGAGCAUGGGAUUUCCAAAGCUGGAAGAUGGCCUUUCGAUUUUGUCGAAGGAUGAUCUUGCUGACAGCCUAGCAUACAACAGGAUAAAGGUAUAGAAGUUAACUUUGAAUUUGAGAAUGAAGUAUUUUAUUUGUCAUGCUCAAUUCUUUCCUCCUCUUUGCAGAGCUUAAUUCUUAGUAAUGCCCUUAGGGCGCAGAAGAAUAUUGAAGACGAAAGCUAUACAAUGGCUCUUAAUAACCUUCGUUUAGAGGUGAUUGAAUUGAGAAAUGAAGGUCUGGAAAAGGACAAAAUCUUAAUUUCAUUGGUGACAAAGUAAAGGAAGACGAAGCUAAUUUCAAAGCUCAGGCUGAAGCCCAGAAAACUGAAAUUGAAGACCUUCAGAGACAACUGGCCGAAGCUAAGGAAAACUGCGCACUCGCACAGGUUAAUCAAGAAAUCAACGAAUAUUGGAAAAAUUAUCUAGAGAAAAAUCUUAAGGAACUUCGUGAAUCCAAGGAAUGGUGCUUCGAGAAAUCCUUGGAUUGCGUGAGAAAAUUAAAAACUAGCAUCGCCAAAGUGGGUGCCUACUCUGCUGAAGAAAACUUCAUACGAGGCGACCCCGAAGGCGUUAUUGAAUGGAUAAGUGGAGAAGCCGAAGCCUUCAAAGAAAUUUUGAGUGAUCGCGAUGAUGUUUGUGCGUUUUUCGGUGCGCGGGGGAUUUCAGCCAUCUUGGAGAAGGCCGGGUGUGAUCACGUGAAGACCAUGGCCCAGGCCGAAGCUGUCUUCUCCGUAGAUGAUACAAAGGAUCCUUCAGCCGAAGCAACUUUAAUAGGCGGAAAAUUUUAUAACGAUGUCUGGGUGAACGGUGGCCGGGAGCUAGCCCACGAAAUUAUUAAAAAGAGCAAAAAAGACACCCACAACGCCAGAGCAGAAGCAAAGCAAGCUGAAGAAGCUACAGAACGCGAAAUGCGUAUAGGUAUUAUUUUUUGGCUUUUUAGCUUCGGUACUUGUUUUGUGGCUUCAAACUAAUCAAUUUUUCCUACUUCAGCUGAACUACCUCCGCCGCCAGAACCGUACGAUCCCCUAGCUGAUCUAGAAAUGAAGGAAGCGCUGGACAUCAUAAACAUAACUGAAACCAUUAUCGACGAAGUCGUCAACAAAUUACUGAACGAAGUUGCAGAGAAAGUCCUUAAAGAGGAAUAAGUUUUAUUGUAAUGAUAGCUGGAAUGUAUGGAACAAUUUAAGUAAGAUUAAGUUUCUAUUGUAACAAAACUAUGUGACAUUUAAUGUAUGUAACAUUGAGUGGAAUAUGUAAAUUAUUGUAAUUUAAUUUCUUUGCGAUGCAUGAAAUAUGUACACAUACUGUUUUUGAGCUUUCGGCGAAAAAACACCUUCCCUUCUUUUUAUGCUUUGUAAAGAAAGAGAUCCCUUCUUAUGAUAAGGCUGUCAAAACUGUAUUUCCCGAAGCUCACUUCGUGCCUUAGCACAUUUUCAAUUUGACGAAGCAUUUGACGAAGGUCGGCUUCGUAUUCGAUUCUUGUGCCGUUAAUGCAAUAUGAUGUAUGAUGUAAUGUUGUGCAAAAUGAUGUGAUGGUAAGAUGCAAAAUGAUGAGGAUGCCGAAGCCACACACCCACUCGCCCACACUAGAACACACAAGCUCUGCAUCCCCUUAGGAACGACUUUUGAGCUUCUUCACCUUCUAUUUCGGUGAUAUAAGUUCUGCAUCCCCUUAGGAACGUCUUUUGAACUUCUUCGCCUUCUAUUUCGGCGGUAUAAGUUCUGCAUUCCCUUAGGAACGACUUUUGAACUUCUUCACCUUAUAUUUCUGUGGUAUUUGGCUCUGCAUUCCCUUUGGAACGACUUUUGAGCAGAAAACUUACGCUGAGCUCCCUUAGGAACGACUUUUGUAGUUUCGGCAAUUUGGGCUCUGCAUUCCCUUAGGAACGACUUUUAAGCACAAAACUUACGUUGCGCUCCCUUAGGAACGACUUUUUGUAGCUUCGGCAAUUUGGGCUCUGCAUUCCCUUAGGAAUGACUUUUGAGCACAAAACUUACGCUGCGCUCCCUCAGGAACGACUUUUUAUAGCUUCGGCAAUUUGGGCUCUGCAUUCCCUUAGGAACGACUUUUUAGCUUCGUAAAUCUGUGAAGAAGAUAUAUUUCAUUCUGAUAGAAGCAAAAUCAUUACAACAAAUUAAAACUAAGUUUUCAUUGUUUGUUCUUUAUUCAAAAAGCGAAAUAGCCUAGAAAAUAAAAGUAUUUGAGAAGCAGGAUAUUGCUCAGUAUAUGUGCUUUGAUUCUGGCACAGUACUAUUGACUGUAUGAGCUUUGGACUCCUCCCUGAAGGCACGUUGUUGUUGGGAGUGUUGGCACCCUUCUGGCUGUUGGCUUCGGGAAUAAGUAGGUUGCAGUGGUGGUGGUAGUGGGAGCUGAGGCCAAGAAGCUUGUGAAUGGCUUACCGAAGCAACAGAAGCUGCAGGUUGGUUGCCCACAUAUUCUGGUAUGUAAGGAGAGUGGCACGAAGCAGUAUGUAAAACCUGCUUCAGCAAUCUCUUUUUGCUUCAGAAUAGUGAUCUGGCACGUUCUUGUAGUAUGACCCUUGUCGUCACCACAGAAUAAGCAAUAGAUUUUCCUGGGCUAAUCACAAUAUCUUCCUCCGAAGCCCCUACCGCCUCUGCCCCUUGGAGAUGAUGGCCUGAAGGAGCUUUGCUGCUGUCCCGAAGAUUGUGAGGUGUGCUGUGGCCUCUGAAACUGGAUUCCUUUGUCAUCAUUCUGACUGGAGCUAUGGAUUGAUCUGACAUGCCUAGGAUGGAUUCUCCCUCCAAAACCCCUAGUCAUCUCAGAAAAUCUAUAAGCUUCCUCCCUUCUUUGUCGGAAGUCGUUAUCAGCUCGGAUGUACUCAUCCAUUUUCUGAAGCAGCUUCCCUAGAGUCUGGGGGGGUUCCUGGCGAAGUAUUGGGCUGUAGGUCCUGGCCGAAGACCCUUGAUCAUGGCCUCAAUGACGAUUUCAUUGGGCACUGUAGGCGCUUGUGCUCUAUCGCAAGAACCUUCGGACAUACGCCUGGAGGUAUUCCUCAUGGUCUUGUGUGCACUGGAACAAGGCCUGAGCUAUGACUGGCUUCGUCUAAAAGCCUUGAAAACUGGUAACCAGCAUGUCCUUGAGCUUCUGCCAUGACGUGAUUGUCCCUGGCCGGAGAGAAGAGUACCAUGUCUGGGCCACAUUUCGGACUGCCAUGACAAAGGACUUUGCCAUGACAGCUGUGUUGCCUCCAUAUGAGGAUAUUGUUGCCUCAUAGCUCAUCAAGAAUUGUUUUGGGUCUGAGUGCCCAUCGUACAUGGGUAGGUGAGGUGGCUUGUAGGAUUGUGGCCAUGUGAUAGCCUGCAAUUAUGCCGCCAGAGGAGAAGCAUCAUCAAAAGUAAAGCUACCAUGAUUAAAAUCAUCGUACCAUUCUUCUUUGUUGAAUGAGCCCUCUUGACGAAGCUCUUUGUGUUGGGGCCUUUGGUCACGAUCAUCUUGAGUAAGAUGAAGCACUUUCUCAGUAGCUUCGUCGAGCUUCUUCUGAAGGUCGGCUAGCCGAGCCAUUUUCUCCUUUUUCCUUUGCACCUGCUGGUGAAUGAUUUCUAGGUCCCUGAUCUCCUGGUCCAACUCCUCCUCCUGAAGUGUUGGACUGGUGGCCUUUCUCUUUUGGCUUCUGGCCUCUUGAAGAGAGAGAGAGUCUCCUGAUUUGUGUCCAGUGGCUGCAGUGCAGCCCCUGGUGCUAUUAUCUUCUUCAGCGGCAUGACGAAGGUUGAUGCUUUACCGAAGAGUGUGGGAGUGAGUACACCGGAGGUGGGCGCCAAUGUUGGGGACUUGUUCUCAAAUGCUAUGAGUCAAGAACAAGGCAACACAAAAUGUUAAUGAUUAAAGCCCUUCGUCCUCCGAAGCAUUAUCUCCCUUAGGAUAUAAUGAUCUUCAGACGAAGGUCAUGAAGGACGAACCUUCAUCGUCGCAAUAUAUAUUAAUGAAAGAAGAAACAUAUGAAACAUGAGAGACAACAUGAAUAAUUAUACAACAUCUUUUAUAUAUCUUUAUUAAAUUAUCAUAAAUGAAUAUGAACAAUAUUGAAUUACAUUUGUACCUUCGGCUUGACAGAAGGCAAAAGUCCAAGCGUGACGCACGAAUGAAUACAAGUCAGCGUGAACAGUACGAGGGUACUGUUCAUCUAUUUAUAGGCACAGAGCGCAGCCUGUGUAAAAUUACAUUCAUGCCCUUUGUGUUUAUUAUUGACGUAAGGACAAGCUAACGAGGACUAGAUAGCCUUUUCCCCUUUAAGUCGGUUCUUUUUCCUGCCGCUGAGCCGAAGCUGCCUUGCUCGUAGCUUCAGAGCUGCGUCAUCCUUCAUCUCGACCAAGCUUUUCAUAUUGUGUACAAUUUCAUUCUGAGUCCGAAGGUACCUGUACAUAUAUUACACUUGGGAAACAUUGUUAAAUCAUGUUUUUGAGGACCUUCGGAAGACGAAGGCCCCCAAUAGAAAUUAUCCAGCGCCCCAUCUGGUCUCGCUUUGGCCUUCGAAGGCCGAAGGUGGCUAUUGAAAGUGACAUCGAAGCAUGCCAGAAGGCAUUUAGCAAUGUUUGCACCUUCAUUGGUACAAGAGAUAUAGUCCAAGAGCACAUAGCCUAUAGGGUGUGGCCACUUGUGGAGAGCUAGGAUAUGCCGAAGGAGACUACUGCUGAAUCCAGUGAAAAUGGCUUAGUUCGAUUGAAGUAUACCUUCAGAUUUAGGGAGAAGUUUUAUGAACCAAAUGAUGACUGGUUGAAAUGCAUUGAAGCUACCAGCGACGAGCUACUCGGGACAUAUUUCCAAGGCCGAAGAUGAUGCCUUGUCCGCAGCCUUCGGGGGCCGGGGGAAGAAAAGAUUGAAUAGGGUAUUCGAUGCAGUUGGCUUCGUAUACCCUGAUUAUCACUACUCGCUGCAAAGGCAAGGGAAGAAGAGAAAAACUGUUGCUUCGGCUACCACUGUUGUGCCGAAGGGCAAGAAAAUGAAGGUUCUGACCCACCGGCCAUGAUAUAUUGAACCGAGCGUAGUGCCUAAAUUUGUCAAAGGGACCUCUUCAACUGCCGAAGCAAAACAAGCUGCUUCCAUGGUGCAGAGCGUUGAAGAGUCUAUUGUAAUGCCGAAGGUGCCUACAGUCAGGCCAGCCGAAGCUAAAGAUGAUACGGUCGAAGAGCCAAAGGUGGAAGAAACAGUAAAAAUGCUAGAAAUUCUGAGCCCACCGGUAGAGGCAAAUUCGUCGAAGAUGCAAAAAGGUCCUACCACAACUCCCAAGAGGAGGAGGAUGGCCAGCGUGCUAGAUGCUGUUAUGGAGACCACAAAGGCCUUGACCCCUGCUCCUAUUAAGAAAGUUGCCGAAGUUGCUAAGGUCCAGGCCGAAGCCGAAGCUGGGCCUGCAGUGCUCAUUGAGACGAAGGCUGUCGCGCCUGACGACAAAGGUGAUCAACAAACUUCAGAUACCGACAUGGCAGCAGGGCAAGGUAUGGCAGAAAAAGCAAAGUCCCCUACCCCCGAAGCUUCAGUCGAAGAUAUUGAUUACAUUUUUCGACAUGCUUCGGGGAAAAAAUUAUCCGAAGAAGAAAUCAUGGGAGCCCGACACUAUGCCCAAAAACUAAAAUAUCCGAAAGGGGCCUUAGUGUUUAAUGGCACUAACGAAGAUGAUUUCCUCUAUCUCCCAGACAACAAAGAAAUAUCUGUUUGCCGGGAGAUAGCUAAAAGUAUGGGAUUUCGAAGCUUGAGGAAGGGCUUUCGGUUAUGUCGAAGGAUGAUCUUGCUGAUAGCCUCGCGUACAACAGUAUAAAGGUAUAGAAGUUAACUUUGAAGUUGGAAACAAAGUAUUUUAUUGUCAUGCUUAAUUCUUUCUUCUUCUUUGCAGGGCUUGAUUCUUAGUAAUGCCUUGAGGACACAAAAGAGCGCCGAAGACGAAGGCUGUACAAUAGCUCUCAGCAACCUUCUCUUAGAGGUGAUUGAACAGAGAAAUGAAGGUCUAGAGAAAGACAAAAUUUUGAUUUUAUUGCUGAGUAAAAUAAAAGAAGACAAAGCUAAGUACAAUGCUCAGGCCGAAGCCCAAAAAGCCAAGGUUGAAGACCUUCGGAGACAGCUAACCGAAGCUAAUGAGAAAUGCGCGCUCGCACAGGCUAACCAAGAGAUUAGUGAAUAUUGGAAGAAUAAGCUAGAGAAAAAUGUUGAAGAACUUCGCGAAUCUAAGGAAAAGUGUUUUGAAAAAUCUUUGGAUUGUGUGAAGAAAUUAGAAACUAGCUUCUCCAAAGUGGUGCCUACUCUUCUGAAGAAAAUUUUAUCCGAGGCGACCUCGAGGGCGUUAUUGAAUGGAUAGGUGGAGAAGCCGAAGCUUUUGAGGAAAUCUUGAAUGAUCGUGGGGGGGUAUUUGUGCUUUUUCCGACACUCGGGGAAUCACAGCUAUUCUGGAGAAGGCCGGAUGUGAUCACGUUAAGGCUAUAGCCUAGGCCGAAGCUGCCUUCUCCAUAGACGACACGAAUGAUCCUUCAGCUGAAGCACCUUUAGUGGACGGGAAAUUUUAUUCUGAUGGCUGGGUGAAUGGUGGCCGAGAGCUGGGCAACGGAAUUAUAAAAAAGAAUGAAAAAGACACCCACGACGCCCAGGAAGAAGCAAAGCGAGCUGAAGAGGCUGCUGAAUGUGAAAAGCGCAUAGGUAUUGUUUUUGAUUUUUUGGCUUUAGUACUUGCUUUGUGGCUUCGAACUAACAGUUUACCUACUACAUCUGAACUAUCCCCGCCACCGGAGCCGUACAAUCCCCUAGCUGAUCCAGAGAUGAAGGAAGCACUGUAUAUUAUAAGCAUGGCGAACUCCAUUAUCGACGAAGUCGUCGAUAAACUAUUGAAUGAAGUCGCAGAGAAAGUCCUUAGAGAAGAAUAUAUUUUAUUGUAAUAAUAUUUUGAAAUGCUUGAUGUAUGGAACAAUUGAAGGAAGAUUAGGUGUCUAUUGUAACAAAACUAUGUAACAUUUGAUGUAUGUAACAUUGAAUCGAAUAUGUAAACUGUUGUAAUUUAUUUCUUUGCGAUGUAUGAAACAUACACACAUACCGCUUUUUGAGCCUUCGGCAAAAAACACCUUCCCUACUUUUCAUGCUUUGCAAAGAAGAAAGCCCCUUCUAGGGCAGAUCUGAUAGAAUUGUCACCCGAAGUUUGCUGCGUGCCUUAGCACAUUUUCAUUCAAUCGAAGUAUUUCCAAAGAUUUGCUUCGUAUUCAAUCUUUCUGUUGAUGCGAUAUGAUGUAUGAUGUGAUACUAUGCUAAAUGAUGCGAUGAUAUGAUGCAAUAUGACGAUGCUUUAACACCCACACAUACGCACACACUGGUACACGGAAGACUCUGCAUCCCCUUAGGAACGUCUUUUGAGUCUAAGCUCUACAUCCCCUUAGGAAUGACUUUUGAGAUUCUUCACCUUCUAUUUCGGUGGUAUAAGUUCUGCAUCCCCUCAGGAAUGACUUUUGAACUUCUUCGCCUUAUAUUUCGGUGGUAUUUGGCUCUGCAUUCCCUUUGGAACGACUUUUGAGCAGAAAACUUACACUGCGCUCCCUUAGGAACGACUUUUUGUAGCUUCGUCAAUUUUGGCUCUGCAUUCCCUUAGGAACGACUUUUGAGCAGAAAACUUACGCUGCGCUCCCUUAGGAACGGCUUUUGUAACUUCGUCAAUUUUUGCUCUGCGUCCCUUAGGAAAGACUUUUGAGCUUCGGAAAUUUACUCCACUUUCUUAGACAUGUCUUUUGAGCUUCGAAAACCCGUGAAGAAGAUAUAUUUCACUCUGGUGCAAGCAUGAUUAUUACAAAAAUUGAAAUUAAGCUCUUCAUUAUUUGUUUCUUACACAGAAAAUAAAAUGACAUAAAAGAUAAAAGUGCUUCAAACGUAGGAUAUUCCUCAGUAUAUGUGCUUCGAAUCUGGUACAGUGUUGUUGACUGUACGAGCUUCGGACUCCUCCCUGAAGUCACGUUGCUGUUGGGGAUGCUGGCGCCCUUCUGGCUGCUGGCUUUGGGUAUGAGUAGGUGGCAAUGGUGGUGGCAGUGGGAGCUGAGGCCAGGAUGCUUGUGAAUGGCUUGCCGAAGCGACAAAAGCUGCAGGUUGAUUGCCCACAUAUUCUGGUAUGUAGGGAGAGUAGCACGAAGCAGUAUGUAAAACCCGCUUCGGCUGAUUCUGUCGGGCUUCUGCUUCGGCAAUCUCUUUCUGCUUCUAAAUGGUAGCCUGGCAUGUUCUUGUUGUGUGGCCCUUGUCUUCACCAUAGAAUAAGCAAUAGAUUUUCCUGGGCUGAUCCCCAUAUCUUCCUCCGAAGCCCCUGCCGCCUCUGCCCCUUGGAGCUGGUGGCCUGAAGGAGCUUUGCUGCUGUCCUGAAGACUGUGAGCUGUGCUGUGGCCUCUGAAACUGGCUUCCUCUAUCAUCACUUUGACUGAAGUUGUGGAUUGAUCUGACAUGCCUAGGGUGGAUUCGUCCUCUGAAGCCCCUAGUCAUCUCAGAAAACCUAUAAGCUUCUUCCCUUCUCUGGCGAAAAUCAUUAUCGCCUCGAAUGUACUCAUCCAUCUUCUGAAGUAGCUUCUCCAGGGUCUAAGGGGUUUCCUGGCAAAAUAUUGAGCUAUAGGUCUUGGCCGAAGCCCUUUGAUCAUGGCAUCAAUGAUGAUUUCAUUGGGCACUGUGAGCGCUUGUGCUCUCAGACGCACUGGAAUAAAGCUUGAGCAGUAACCGGAAUAAAGCUUGAGCAGUAACCGGCUUCGUCUGAAACCCUUGGAAACUGGUGAUCAGCAUGUCCUUCAGCUUCUGCCAUGAUGUGAUUGUUCUUGGCCGAAGAGAGGAGUACCAGGUUUGCGCAACGUUCUUGACUGCCAUGACGAAGGAUUUCGUCAUGACUGCAGUAUUGCCCCCAUAUGAAGAUAUGGUUGCUUCGUAGCUCAUCAGAAACUGCUUCGGAUCAGAGUGCUCAUCAUACAUGGGAAGCUAGGGUGGUUUGUAUGAUGGAGGCCAUGGUGUAGCCUGUAGUUCUGCUGACAAAGGAGAAGCAUCAUGAAAAGCAAAAUUUCCAUGGUGGAAAUCAUUAUACCACUCGUCAUCAUCAUAGGAAUUGUCCUGGCGAAGCUCCCUACGUUGAGGUCGUCGGUCCUGGUCAUCUUGGGUGAGAUGACGCAUCUCCUCAGCGGCCUCGUCGAUCUUCUUCUGAAGAUCAGCAAGAUGAAGCAUCUUAUCCUUCUUCCUUUAGACCUACUGAUUGAUUACUUCGAGGUCCCUAAUUUCUUGGUCCAGCUCCUCCUCCUGAGGCGUUGGACUUGUAGCCUUCCUCUUUUGAUUUCUGGCUUCAUGCAAUGUUUCGUGAUUGACGUCCAGUGGUUGCAGUGCAGCCCCUAGCCCUGAAGCUUUCUUUGGCGGCAUGAUGAAGGUCACAGCGUGCCGAAGGUGGUCAAAUGAGUUCACCGAAGGUGGGCGCCAAUGUUGGUCACUUGUUCUCAAAUGCUAAGAGUUAAGAACAUGGCAACACAAAAUGUUAACGGUUAAAUACCUUCGUCCUUCGAAGCAUUAUCUCCUUUAGGAUAUAAUGAUCUUUAGAUGAAGGUUAUGAAGGACGUACCUUCAUAAUCUCAAUAUAUAGUAAUGAAAGUAUAAGUAUAUGAAAUAUGGAAAACAACAUGAAUAAUCAUAUGACAUAAUCAGAACAUUUUUAUUAUCUCCUCAUGAAUAAACAUGAACAAUAUCGAGUUACAUUUGUACCUUCGGUUUGACAGAAGGCAAAAAUCCAAGUGUGACGUGCGAGUGAAUACAAGUCAGCGUGAACAGUACGGUGUUACUGUUCAUCUAUUUAUAGGCACAUGAUGCAGCCUAUGUAAAAUUACAUCCAUGCCCUUUAUGUUUACUAUUGACUUAACGACAAUCUACUGAGGACUAGAUAGCCUUUUCCUCUUUAAGUCGGUUUCAUUUUCCGCCGCUGAGCCGAAGCUUUUCUACGCGUAGCUUCAGAGCUGGUUCAACCUUCUUCCAGACCAUGCUUUUCAUAUGGUAUACAACUUCAUUCCGAGGCCGAAGGUCCCUGUAAAUGUAUUAUACUUGGAAAACAUGUUAAUUGUGUUUUUGAGGACCUUCGGAAGGCGAAGGCCCCCAACAGCUCCCAAUCUCAACAAAGAGAAAGGGAAGGCUCCCAUGGCUGGUAGCUCUCAAAAGAAUCAUGCCUAUCUUUAUGAUAAGAAAGUUACGAGUAAUACUCAUCAUGAUAGGCGCCAUAAUCAUGUUGUUUAUCCUAUAUGUCAUGAUGCUGCAUUUAAUUCUCACGCCAUGUUUGCAUCUAGCUCUUCAUAUGCUCAUGGUAGAAAUAGGCCUAGGCGCCAUUAUGCUGCUUCUCAUGCGCCUAGGAGAGCAUCAACUGGACCGACUAUGCUUUAUCAAACAUGUAAUGCUUCAUUUGUUCUUACAUGCAAAAAUGAUAAAGUAGUUGCUAGAAGUGUGGGACCUAAGUGCAAGAGAGACAAAACUUGCAUCUGGGUUCCAAAGUCUGUUGUGACUAACCUUGUAGGACCCAACAAGAGUUGGGUACCUAAAACCCAAGCUUAAUUACCUUGCAGGUUUAUGCAUUCGAGGGCUCAAGCUGGAUUAUUGAUAGCGGAUGCACAAACCACAUGACGGGGGAGAAUAAAAUGUUUACCUCCUACGUCAAGAAUAGGGAUUCCCAAGACACUAUCAUCUUUGGAGAUGGGAACCAAGGCAAGGUUAAGGGCCUAGGCAAAAUAUCCAUCACAACCGAGCAUUCAAUUUCAAAUGUGUUUCUAUUAAAAUCGCUCGGGUACAAUUUAUUGUCUGUAAGCCAAUUAUGUCAUAUGAGUUAUAAUUGCUUAUUUACAAAUAUUGAUGUAUCUGUCUUUAGAAGAAGUGAUGGUUCAUUAGCUUUUAAGGGUGUAUUAGAUGACAAGCUCUAUUUAGUUGUUUUCUCAAAAGAGAAUGCCGAUAUAGAUGCAUGCUUAAUCGCUAAGACUAAUAUGGGCUGGCUUUGGCAUCGCCGUCUAGCACAUGUUGGGAUGAAGAAUCUUCAUAAACUUCUAAAGGGAGAACAUGUGUUAGGACUAACCGACGUCUGUUUUGAGGAAGACAGACCUUGUGCAGCGUGCCAAGCAGGGAAGCAGGUGGGAAGUACUCAUCAAAGCAAGAACGCGAUGACAACAUCAAGACCACUGGAACUCCUACAUAUGGAUCUCUUCGGGCUCGUUGCUUAUCUCAGCAUCGGGGGAAGUAAGUAUGAUCUUGUCAUUGUUGAUGAUUUUCCCACUUCACUUGUGUGUUCUUUUUGCAGGAUAAAUCUGAAACCCAAGGAACUCUAAAGCACUUCUUAAGGAGAGCUCAAAAUGAAUUUGAGCUAAAGGUGAAAAAGAUAAGGAGCGAUAAUGGAUCUGAGUUCAAGAACCUUCAAGUCGAAGAAUAUCUUGAGGAGGAAGGCAUCAAGCACGAGUUCUCUGCUCCCUACACACCACAACAAAAUGGUGUAGUAGAAAGGAAAAACAUGAUGCUAAUUGACAUGGCAAGGACAAUGCUUGGAGAAUACGAGACGCCUGAGCGGUUUUGGUCGGAAGCUGUGAAUACAGCCUGCCAUGCCAUAAACCGGCUCUAUCUGCAUCGCCUCCUCAAGAAGACAUCCUAUGAACUCCUAACCGGUAACAAACCAAAUGUUUCCUAUUUUCGUGUAUUUGGGAGCAAAUGCUACAUCUUAGUGAAGAAAGGUAGGCAUUUGAAGUUUGCUCCCAAAGUUGUAGAAGGGUUUUUACUUGGUUAUGACUCAAAUACAAAAGCGUAUAGGGUCUUCAACAAAUCAUCGGGAUUAGUUGAAGUCUCUAGCGACGUUGUAUUUGAUGAAACUAAAGGCUCUCCAAGGGAGCAAGUUGAUCUUGAUGAUGUAGAUGAAGACGAGAUUCCGACGGCCGUAAUGCGAACAAUGACAAUAGGUGAUGUGCGACCACAGGAACAACUAGAGCAAGAUCAACCUUCUUCCUCUACAUUGGUGCAUCCCCCAACUCAAGAUGAGGAACAGGUACCUCAAGAUGAAGGGAUGGAUGAAGGGGGAGCACAUGAAGAACAGGAUAAGGAGGAAGAUGUGUUACAAGUUCCUCCAACUCAAGUUCGGUCAACAAUCGAAAGAAAUCAUCCAGUGGAUCAGAUUCUGGGUGAUAUCAGCAAGGGAGUAACCACUCGCUCACCUCUAGCUAAUUUUUGUGAGCAUUACUCGUUUGUUUCUUCUAUUGAGCCUUUCAGGAUAGAAGAAGCCUUGCAGGAUCCGGACUAGGUGUUGGCCAUGCAGGAAGAGCUCAACAACUUCAAAAGAAAUGAAGUGUGGAGCCUAGUGCCACGUCCGAAGCAAAAUGUUGUAGGAACCAAGUGGGUGUUCCGCAACAAGCAAGAUGAACACAAUGUGGUGACAAGAAACAAAGCUCGACUUGUGGCAAAAGGUUAUGCCCAAGUCAUAGGUUUGGAUUUUAAGGAGACUUUUGCUCCUGUAACUAGGCUAGAAUCAAUUCGAAUAUUAUUAGCCUAUGCUGCUCACCAUUCUUUUAAGCUGUUCCAAAUGGACGUGAAGAGCGCUGUCGGCGUUUCGAGACCGAGGGGUCCCUGGGCCGACGAGUGAAAUGUCGCCGCGUGCCCCAGCCCAGAUGGGUUGACGUGAGGCCGAGCACGAAGGGGGGAGAAAGGUGGCCGGAGACAGGCGUGAGAGAGGUGGAAAUCCCACGACCUUCGUGUUCAUCCCGUGCCCAGGUCGGGUGCACUUGCAGUAGGGGAUUACAAGCGUCCACGCAGGAGAGGGAGCGAGCGGCUUCAAGCGAGCGCCUGUCUCGUCCUCGUCCCCGCGCGGCCAACCCUCUCUAAGAGGGCCCUGGUCCUUCCUUUUAUAGGCGUAAGGAGAGGAUCCAGGUGUACAAUGGGGGGUGUAGUAGAGUGCUACGCGUCUAGCGGAGGAGAGCUAGCGCCCUAAGUACACGCCAUCGUGGCGGCCGGAGAGGUUAUGGUGCCCGGUUCGUGUGAUGUCGUGGCCGUCGGAGGAGUGCUGGAGCCUGGCGGAGGGACAGCUGUCGGAGUUGUCGAGUCCUUGCUGACGUCCUCUUGCUUUCGUAAGGGGGUUGAGAGCCGCCGUCGUCAGGGAGCGUGCGGGGAGCCAUCAUUGCCUAUCUGGCGGAGCGAGCCAGAUGGGACGCCGGUCUCGUUUCUCGUAGCCUGAGUCAGCUUGGGGUAGGGUAAUGAUGGCGCCUCCCGUUGACGUGGCUGGUAUGCGCCCUAGGUUGGGCGAUGUGGUGGCUCCUCCGAGGUCGAGGUCGAGUCUAUCUUCCGUGGCCGUGGUCGAGUCCGAGCCCCUGGGUUGGGCGAGGCGGAGACCGUCGGCUGAGGUCAGGGCUGAGUCCGAGCCCUGGGGUCGGGCGAAGCGGAGUUCGUCGUCUUCUGGGGCUGAGCCCAAGUCCGAGCCCUGGGUCGGGCGGAGCGGAGUUCGCCGUCUUCCGGGGCUUAGCCUGAGUCCGAGCCCUGGGUCGGGCGGAGCGGAGUUCGCCGUCUUCCGGGGCUUAGCCCGAGUCCGAGCCCUGGGUCGGGCGGAGCGGAGUUCGCCGUCUUCCGGGGCUUAGCCUAAGUCCGAGCCCUGGGUCGGGCGGAGCGGAGUUCGUCGUCUUCUGGGCUGAGCCCAAGUCCGAGCCCUGGGUCGGGCGGAGCGGAGUUCGUCGUCUUCCGGGGCUUAGCCCGAGUCCGAGCCCUGGGUCGGGCGGAGCGGAGCUUCCUAUGGCGCCUGAGGUCGGGCCUGACUGCCUGUCAGCCUCACUCUGUCAGAUGGCACUGCAGUCGGUGCGGCGCAGGCGACGCUGUCCUUCUGUCAGGUCGGUCAGUGGAGCGGCGAAGUGACUGCGGUCACUUCGGCUCUGUCGACUGAAGGGCACGCGUCAGGAUAAUGGUGUCAGGCCACCUUUGCAUUAAAUGCUCCUGCGAUUUGGUCAGUCGGCGCGGCAAUUUGGUCAGGGUUGCUUCUUAGCGAAGACAGGGCCUCAGGCGAGCCGGAAAUGUGUUCGCCGCUGGAGGGGGGCCUCGGGCGAGACGGAGAUUCUCCGGGGUCGGCUGCCCUUGUCCGAGCCUAGGCUCGGGCGAGGCGUGAUCGAGUCCCUCGAAUGGACCGAUCCCUGACUUAAUCGCACCCAUCAGGCCUUCGCAACUUUAUGCUGAUGGGGGUUACCAGCUGAGAAUUAGGAGCCUUGAGGGUACCCCUAAUUAUGGUCCCCGAUAGUAGCCCCCGAGCCUCGAAGGGAGUGUUAACACUCGCUUGGAGGCUUUUGUCGCACUUUUUUGCAAGGGGACCAGCCUUUCUCGGUUGCGUUUUGUUCCGGUGGGUGCGCGCGAGCGCACCCGCCGGGUGUAGCCCCCGAGGCCUCGGAGGAGUGGUUUGACUCCUCCGAGGUCUUAAUGCCUCGUGCAAUGCUUUGGCUGGUCUGGUCGUUCCCUCAUGCGAGCUGGCCGUAGCCCGGGUGCACGGUCGGGUCCCAAGUUCUCGGGCUAGUAUGUUGACGCUGUCAACGGCUUGGCCGGAGCCGGGUUUGCGAGAGCAGCCCCCGAGCCUCUGCACAGGGCGAGAGGGCGAUCAGGGACAGACUCGACUUUUUUACAUACGCCCCUGCGUCACCUUUCCGCAAGGAGGAGGGGGGGGGGGGAAAGCACCAUGUUGCCCUCGGUGGGCGCCGAACAUGGUGUCUCCGGUGAGCUGCUGGCGGGUAAUCCGAGCGGACGUCCGUGCCCCAUUUGCUAGGGGUCGGCUAGAGGCCCAGAGGCGCGCCCAAAAGUACCUGCGGGUGAUCUGCCGGACCCGGUCCCCUGUCGACGGGGUCCGAGGGCUCGAUGCCUCCCUCUGAUGGGAUUCCAUUACAAGAUCGUUCCCGCUGGUCUCGGAAAUGUCCUAGGGUACCUCAGGAGCGCAGCCCGAGCCUUGGUUAUGUAUCGAACGUACCCAUGGUCAUCCCUCGCUCUGCGUCUGAGGCGGCUGUGGACCCUUUGAGGGCUAGCCUUCGAACCCCUGAUCAGUAGUGGGCGCGGAGCCCGAGUAGCCUGAGGCGGUCGUUGAACCCUUCCGAGGGGCCGGCCUUCGAACCUCUGACCAGUAGUGGGUGUGGAGCCCACGCGCUCUGAGGCGGCUGUUGAACCCCUCCGAGGGGCCAGCCUUCGAACCUCUGAUCAGUAGGGAGGCUCGGAGCCUGGUUCCUUCAUGGGGAAGGAUCCUUUUCGGGGUAUCCCCUUUCCCGGUCCCUGUUGUAAGAGAGAGAAAGAGGAAAAGGAAAAGGAUGCAGAAUUUGAACAACGUGGCGUACCUUUUUCGACGCGGUCAUUAUGGCGAAGGCGAAGCGUCGCCCGCUUCCCCUGCCAGAGGCGCCGCCUGUCCCGCCGCGGAGUUAAUGCGACGGGGCGAGUGGUUUGCGGGGCAGCCGUUGCGCGUGCGCGGGCCGUUCGAGGAACGGAACAUGGGCGCGUCGUCUUCACGCCGUGAGAGAGGGUUCUCUCGCUGCUCCCGGAUGGGACGUAAGCUUGGCUAACGACGUGACCGCUGCUCCUGCCCGCCUGCUACCGCCAUUACUGCCGGCCCAUUUUUGGCCGCAUUGACCAUCGCGCCAGGCUGGCGCUGCUGGGUCGUGCGCUGGGUCGCCUCGAGUCGCGGUAUUGGUUCCGCAGUCGAGGAGGCGCGGUAGUGGCGCGGGCGGCGGUGCAGUUGCUCGCACGCAGCAUCCGGCGCGCCGGUUGCAUGACGCGUGGGCCUGGGCCUCCAUGCUGGGCGUGUUGGAAGUCGGAGAAGUGCCCCCACUUGGCUCGGUUGCAUGCCGCCUGCAUGGCUACCCGCCCUUUCGCCCGCUGGUCUGGGCAAAAGUGGAGGGCCGCUUGUAACCGCUGGGCGGUUGCAUGCGCCGCGCGCGGCGGUUUGGCUUCUUCUGCUCUGGGCCGGCUUACAUGACGUGUGGGACCCAGCCCCCGCGCCGUAGAGGGAGGACCUUGGAGCGUGUUGGAGAAGACUUAGCCCGCGACGGCUGGGGACGCAAGUAGGGAGAGUCGCCUUUAAAAGGAGGGUGACCCCCUUGAAAGGCGACCAUGUCUCCGCGCUCCCUUAUGCAUCGUGUCUUUCCACCUUCCGAGCCCCCGGAUGGGGGAUGCCCGCAGUCCUUCCGCCUUGUCGUUGGGGGAACGCAACUCCGUGGGAGUUGGUACCUUUCAGCCAUCGUUCGGCUUCAAGGAUUUUCAUCACGCAGCCCGGCUGCACCCCUCCGCCGGCGGUCACCCAAGGCGGUGACCUCCAGCCCCUGGAUGGGGAGAGGCAAGCCGGGCUGUGAUCUUGGUCCCGCCCUCAGCUUCAAGGAUGUUCAUCAUCCUUGCUGGGGCGGAGAGCGAGGCGAGCCGGGGCUCUACCUCCCGCGCGGGCCGGCUGGCCACCUCUUCUUCCAGCUUCUGGUGGUGGCAACCAUCCUCCAGCUCUGCGGAGGAGGCAUCCUCCAGCCAUGCCGGGGAAGGCGAACUGUUGCUGCCCAGCUAGGAUGCAACAUUCCGCCCUCUUCCUCGCUUUCGUGGCGAGGACGGGAACGAGGACCUGCCGGUGCGCUUCGGAGCGGCCCGCUCUUUGGCUUUGAUGGCUGGUUCGUGUCCCUUGAGCGGGAACGCGAACAAGAGCCUUCCGGCGACCGCGUCCAUCCUGGGACCAUGGCUGCUGCUGCAGAGGUCGCUGGCGAGUCACCCGGAACUCGUCGCCCCGCAGGCUCCCCGGAGUGGAGGUUGGUCAUACCCGCGGGGACGGAACCGGAGUUCCGUUUGCAAUGGCACUUUGAAUGCCAGUGUUUUUGUUCAUUGUGGCUGUCGAGGCCUGAACAUGUAUGUAUUUUUUCCUCAUUUUCGAGCACUAAGACUCGCCUGUUGGUUGUCUGAACCGCUUCACCAAGCGUGAGUCGCCCCGUGUAAAGGUGACGAGUGAGGUAUCCGUAUCCCGGAGGCGUAGGAGUCCCUCGGCUCGGUCAGCCUUGUUGUCCGAGGCUUCUCUUGCUUAGUUAAAGGAACCCCUCGGCUGCUCUUCGAUGAGCCGAAGCCAGGGGUAGCGGUGUCAGCAUGGACAGAGGCAGAGUUGGCUCGAAAAGAAGACUUGGUUGGCCGGAGCCUAGCCGGGUCGUCCGUUAGCGGGACCGACGCCGGAGUUGAUCUUCCGAGGCCUCGGGCCGGGCUGAUGUCUUCGGGGGACAGCUGGCCGAGGCCUCGGGGUGACCAGCCGAGCCGCCUGCUCGGGCCGGAUUCUCGGAGAAAAACCCUGGCGGCGAUGGCCCGGGCGUGGUGAUGACGUCGUCCUUCAGAGUGGAGAUCCUCGGACUGCGUUGCCGUCCGAGGCUAGGUCGGACCUUGCCGAAGGCGUUGUUGACGCCGAGGGUGCUGCGGCUCCCUUCAACUGUCCAGAUCCGAGCCUGCAGGAUCGGAUUAUCUUGUAGUGUGUGUUUUCUGCGGCCGCCGAGGCCAAAACACACCCUCGCCGUGUUGUAAAGCUGCGUCUCUUCUCCUCUUGUUUCGAGUAUCAGGACUUUUUCGUUGAUAACAGAAUUGUCUGUGUGAGCGAGAGUUGCUUCUCGCGGAAGGUGAUGAGUGAGGUAUCCGUAUCCCGGAGGCGUAGGAAUCCCUCAGCUCGAUCGGCCUUGCCGCUUACGUGCACUCUUACCCGCCCAUAGGGUUCUGUCACCGACGCAGUCGAGAAGGCUCAAAGAAUCGCUUCGGCAGAGAAGCUUUCGAACGUGAAGACUUGUUCGGUCCGCGGAAUCACUUAUCCGAACAUGAGUUACUUAUCACAGAAGGUGAUGAGUGAGGUAUCCGUAUCCCAGAGGCGUAGGAGUCCCUCGGCUCGGUCAGCCUUGGCUGCUUACGUGUACUCCGUCGUUUUCAGGAUCCACUUUCGAAGUAGUCGAAAAGCACGAAAGACAUUCUGGCAGAAAGGAUCUUUUUUCGAGGAAAAAAUUCGACGCAGAGGGGGUUCCCCCCUUUUAGCCCCCGAGGGAGGGUCGGGUUUUGCCGAGGCGAGGCCGACCCUUCCUUGAUGACAAAACUUUGCGUGGGAGCGAGGUAUAUGAACAACUUGAAAACAUCUUAAGGGUAGGAGCGACGUAGCUGUUGGAUGUUCCAAGCGUUGCUGUAGACCUCGCCUUGACUGUUGGCCAGCUUGUACGUUCAGGGCUUUAGAACUUUGGCGAUGACGAACGGCCCCUCCCAGGGGGGCGUGAGCUUGUGCCGCCCUCGGGCGUCUUGUCGCAGCCGAAGCACCAGGUCGCCCACCUAGAGGUGUCGGGUCCGGACCCCUCGAGCGUGGUAGCGUCGCAUGGACUGCUGGUACCGCGCCGAGUGUAGUAAGGCCUUGUCCCGAGCCUCUUCCAGCUGGUCCAGCGAGUCUUCUCGAUUAACUUGGUUGCUUUGGUCAGCAUAGGCCCUCGUCCUCGGGGAACCGUAUUCUAAGUCUGUGGGCAAGAUGGCCUCGGCCCCAUAGACUAGAAAGAACGGCGUGAAGCCCGUGGCUCGGCUCGGCGUUGUCCUCAGGCUCCAGACUACCGAGGGGAGUUCCUUCAUCCAUCGCUUGCCGAACUUGUUGAGGCCGUUGUAGAUUCGAGGCUUGAGUCCUUGUAGAAUCAUGCCGUUGGCACGCUCUACUUGCCCAUUCGUCAUGGGGUGAGCCACGGCGGCCCAGUCCACCCGGAUGUGGUGAUCCUCGCAGAAGUCCAGGAACUUUCUGCCGGUGAACUGGGUGCCGUUGUCGGUGAUGAUGGAGUUCGGGACCCCAAAACGAUGGAUGAUGUUGGUGAAGAACACCACCGCCUGCUCGGACCUGAUGCUGUUUAGGGGUCGGACCUCGAUCCACUUGGAGAAUUUGUCGAUGGCGACCAACAGGUGCGUGUAGCCCCCGGGUGCCUUCUGCAAGGGGCCGACGAGGUCCAGACCCCACACAGCGAAAGGCCAGGUGAUGGGUAUCGUCUGCAGAGCCUGAGCGGGCAGGUGGGUCUGCCUUGCGUAGAACUGACACCCUUCGCAGGUGCAGACAGUUCUAGUGGCGUCGGCCACCGCCGUUGUCCAGUAGAAACCUUGUCGGAAGGCAUUUCCGACAAGGGCUCGAGGUGCUGCGUGGUGGCCGCAAGCCCCCGAGUGUAUCUCUCGUAAGAGUUCCUGACCUUCGGCGAUGCAGAUGCACCGCUGGAGGAUGCCUGAGGGGCUGCGGUGCUAGAGCUCCUUCCCAUCUCCCAGCAAGACGAACGACUUGGCGCGCCGCGCCAACCGCCGAGCUUUGCCUCGGUCGAGGGGUAGCUCUCCUCGGUGGAGAUAAUGCAGGUACGGGGUCUACCAGUUUUGAUCAGGCGUGACCCCGUUUCGCUCCCCCUCGACGUGCAGCGUCUCGCCCUCGGGGGCCGAGGGUGCCUCGGGCUGAACCGAGGGUGGCUCGGGCCGGGCUGAGGGUGCCUCGGGCCGUGCCGAAGAUGCCUCGGACUGAGCCGAGGGUACCUCGGGCUAGGCCGAGGGUGCCUCGGGCGCGGGCAUGUCGUCGAUCUUGACGGAGGGUUGAUGCAGGUCUCGGGAGAAGACGUCCGGGGGAACCAUUGUUCGCCCCGAGGCUAUUUUAACCAGCUUGUCCACAGUCUCGUUGUAGCGCCGAGCGAUGUGGUUGAGCUCGAGCCCGUAGAACUUGUCUUCCAAGCGCCGAACCUCAUCGCAGUAGGCCUCCAUCUUCGGGUCGCGGCAGUGGGAGUUCUUCAUGACUUGGUCGAUGACGAGCUGCGAGUCACCGCGAGCGUCGAGGCGUCGGACCCCUAGCUCGAUGGCGAUCCGCAACCCGUUGACCAGAGCCUCGUACUCAGCCACAUUGUUGGACGCCGGGAAAUGGAGGCGUAGCACGUGGCGUAGGUGCUUCCCGAGGGGUGAGAUGAAGAGUAGGCCUGCGCCGGCUCCUGUCUUCAUCAGCGACCCGUCGAAGAACAUGGUCCAGAGCUCCGGUUGGAUCGGAGGUGUUGGGAGCUGGGUGUUGACCCAUUCAGCCACGAAGUCCGCCAGGACCUGGGACUUGAUGGCCUUCCGAGGGGCGAACGAGAUUGCUUCGCCCAUGAUUUCCACCGCCCACUUUGCAAUUCUACCCGAGGCCUCUCGGCACUGGAUGAUCUCCCCCAGGGGGAAGGAUGACACCACAGUUACCGGGUGAGACUCGAAGUAGUGUCGCAGCUUCCGCCGUGUCAGGAUCACCGCGUACAACAGCUUCUGAACUUGUGGGUAGCGGAUCUUGGUUUCGGAUAGUACCUCGCUGACGAAGUAGACUGGCCUCGGAACGGGCAAUGCAUGCCCCUCUUCUUGCCUCUCGACCACAAUCGCGGCGCUGACCACCUGAGUGGUCGCGACGACGUAGAUCAAGAGGGCUUCUCCGGCAGCUGGGGGCACCAAGAUAGGCGCAUUCGUGAGGAGCGCCUUCAGGUUCCCGAGGGCUUCCUCGGCCUUAGGGGUCCAAGUGAAGCACUCGGUCUUCCUUAAGAGGUGGUACAGAGGCAGACCUCUUUCGCCGAGGCGUGAGAUGAAGCGGCUCAGAGCCGCGAGACAUCCCAUGACCCUUUGUACGCCCUUCAAGUCCUUGAUGGGCCCCAUGCUGGUGAUGGCUGCGAUCUUCUCCGGGUUGGCUUCGAUGCCCCGCUCGGAGACGAUGAACCCCAAGAGCAUGCCUCGGGGUACCCCGAAGACACACUUUUUGGGAUUGAGCUUCACGCCUUUCGCCUUGAUACAUUGGAAUGUCACUUCAAGGUCAAAAAGGAGGUCAGAGGCUUUCCUCGUCUUGACUACGAUGUCAUCGACGUAGGCCUCGACCGUCCGGCCAAUGUGUUCGCCGAACACAUGGUUCAUGCACCGCUGGUAUGUCGCGCCCGCAUUCCUCAAGCCGAACGACAUGGUGACAUAGCAGUACAUGCCGAAGGGUGUGAUGAAAGAAGUCACGAGCUGGUCGGACUCCUUCAUCCUGAUUUGGUGAUACCCUGAGUAGGCAUCGAGGAAAGACAGGGUUUCGCACCCAGCAGUGGAAUCCACGAUUUGAUCGAUGCGAGGCAGAGGGUAGGGAACCUUCGGACAUGCUUUGUUUAUACCAGUGUAGUCUACACACAUCCGCCAUUUCUCUCCUUUCUUUCUCACAAGCACAGGGUUGGCAAGCCACUCGGGAUGGAAUACCUCUUUGAUGAACCCUGCCGCCAUCAGCUUGUGGAUCUCCUCGCCUAUGGCUCUGCGCUUCUCUUCGUCGAAUCGGCGCAGAGGCUGCUUGACGGGUCGGGCUCCGGCUCGGAUGUCCAGCGAGUGCUCGGUGACAUCCCUCGGUAUGCCGGUCAUGUCCGAGGGACUCCACGCGAAGACAUCGGCGUUCGCGCGGAGAAAGUCGACGAGCACUGCUUCCUAUUUGGGAUCGAGCUCGGAGCCGAUCUGGACUUGCUUGGAGGCGUCGCUGCUAGGGUCGAGGGGGACGGACUUAACCGUCUCCGCUGGCUCGAAGUUGCCGGCAUGACGCUUCACGUCUGGCACCUCCUUAGAGAGGCUUUCCAGGUCGGCGAUGAGGGCCUCGGACUCGGCGAGGGCCUCGGCGUACUCCACGCACUCCACGUCGCAUUCGAACGCGUGUUUGUACGUGGGGCCGACGGUGAUGACCCCGUUGGGGCCCGUCAUCUUGAGUUUGAGGUAGGUGUAGUUGGGGACGGCCAUGAACUUCGCGUAGCAUGGCCUUCCCAGUACCGCGUGGUAGGUUCCUCGGAACCCGACCACCUCGAACGUCAGGGUCUCCCUUCGGAAGUUGGAGGGUGUUCCGAAGCAGACGGGAAGGUCGAGUUGUCCGAGGGGCUGGACGCGCUUCCCGGGGAUGAUCCCAUGGAAAGGCGCAGCGCCUGCCCGGACCGAGGACAGAUCGACACGCAGGAGCCCGAGGGUCUCGGCGUAGAUGAUGUUGAGGUUGCUGCCUCCGUCCAUGAGGACCUUGGUGAGCCUGACGUCGCCGAUGACGGGGUCGACAACGAGCAGGUAUUUUCCCGGGCUCGGCACGUGGUCGGGGUGGUCGGCUUGGUCGAAGGUGAUGGGCUUGUCGGACUAGUCUAGGUAGACUGGCGCCGCCACCUUCACCGAACAGACCUCCCGACGCUCUUGCUUGCGGCGCCGAGCCGAGGCGUUCGCCGCUUGCCCACCGUAGAUCAUGAAGCAGUCGCGGACCUCGGGGAACUCUCCUGCCUGGUGAUCUUCCUUCUUGUCAUCGUCGCGAGCCCUGCCACCCUCCGCGGGUGGCCCGGCCCUGUGGAAGUGGCGCCGAAGCAUGACGCACUCCUCAAGGGUGUGCUUGACGGGCCCCUGGUGAUAGGGGCACGGCUCCUUGAGCACCUUGUCGAAGAGGUUGGCACCUCCGGGGGGUUUCCGAUGGUUCUUGUACUCGGCGGCGGCGACAAGGUCCGCAUCGGCGGCGUCGUGUUUUGCUUGCGACUUCUUCUUGCCCUUCUUCUUGGCGCCGCGCUGAGUUGACGCCUCGGGGGCAUCUUCUGGUGGGCGGCCCUGGGGCUGCUUGUCCUUCCGAAAGAUAGCCUCGACCGCCUCCUGGCCAGAGGCGAACUUGGUGGCGAUGUCCAUCAGCUCGCUCGCCCUGGUGGGGGUCUUGCGACCCAGCUUGCUCACCAGGUCGCGGCAGGUGGUGCCGGCGAGGAACACGCCGAUGACAUCCGAGUCGGUGAUGUUGGGCAGCUCGGUGCGCUGCUUCGAGAAUCGCCGGAUGUAGUCCCGGAGAGACUCUCCCGGCUGCUGUCGGUAGCUUCGGAGGUCCCAGGAAUUCCCAGGGCGCACGUACGUGCCCUGGAAAUUGCCGGCGAAGGCUUGGACCAGGUCGUCCCAGUUGGAGAUCUGCCCCGGAGGCAGGUGCUCCAACCAGGCGCGAGCGGUGUCGGAGAGGAACAGGGGGAGGUUGCGGAUGAUGAGGUUGUCAUCGUCCGUUCCACCCAGUUGGCAGGCCAGCCGGUAGUCCGCGAGCCACAGCUCCGGUCUUGUCUCCCCCGAGUACUUUGUGAUGGUAGUCGGGGGUCGGAACUGGGUCGGGAACGGCGCCCGUCGUAUGGCCCGACUGAAAGCCUGCGGACCGGGUGGUUCGGGCAAGGGACUCCGAUCCUCCCCGCUGUCGUAGCGUCCCCCACGCCUGGGGUGGUAGCCUCGGCGCACCCUCUUGUCGAGGUGAGCCCGACGGUCGCGGUGAUGGUGCUCGUUGCCGAGGCGUCCUGGGGCCGCAGGCGCAGUGUUGUGCGUGCGCCCGGUGUAGACCGAGGCUUCCCGCAUGAAUCGGGAAGUCGCGACAUGAUGUUCCGAGGGGUACCCCUGCCUUCGGGAGGCCGAGCUCUCGGCCCGUCGGACCGCGGCGCCUUCCAGGAGAUUCUUGAGCUCUCCCUGGAUUCGCCGCCCCUCAGUGGUUGAUGGCUCUGACAUCGCACGGAGAAGCAUUGCUGCUGCAGCCAGGUUCUGGCCGACCCCACUGGACGCGGGUGGCGGCCUGACCCUGACAUCGUCGGCGAUGCGGUGCUGGAAGCCCUGGGGUAGAUGACGCAUUUCUCCGGCCGGAGGUUGGCCCGCCCAUCCCUGCCCGACGUCCCGGCGGAUCGGCUCAAGCGCUCCUACUCCCUCGUCGAGCCUGGCCGGCACCCCGCGGAUUUGCUCGAGCUGCGGGUCAUGGCCCCCCGCCUGAACGGGGACCACAGCUAGCUCCCGUGGGAUGUCAGCGUGAGGCACCGGCCUAGGGAGAUCAUCGUCCUCCGGCAUGCCGAGAUGGUUGCCUUCGGAGGGACCCCCUAGAUCGAUGUGCAAACAUUCGCGGCUUGGGCCGCAGUCCUCGUCGCCGAGGCUGCGGCUACCGUCGGAACAGUCGGAAAUGCAGUAGUCGCAUGCGGUCAUAAAGUCCCGCAUGGCACUGGGGUUGCCAAGUCCAGAGAAAUUCCAACAGAAGUCGGGCACGUCGUCUUCCUCGGACCCCGAGGGCCUGUAGGUCGAGACGUCCGUCAGCCGGUCCCAGGGUGACCGCAUACGAUACCCCAGAGGGUUUGGACUCGCCUCUACGAGAGCGUCCGCCAAAGCGAAGCCGCUGGCGGGUCGAGGCUGAAUCCAAAGGGCAUGAGAUGGGAAUCGGUCGGUACCUCUUGGUCGACGGGCGGUGAUGCAAUCACGUCGGGGACUGACUGCACCAUCGUCUCAGGUACGAGGGUGACAUCCAGCAAGCUUUUCGCGAGCGUGCUGGCGUCGUCCGUUUGCUCGGAAUCUGCGUGUUGCGGGGAGACGACGCUCGUCCUCGUCUCAAACGCGAGGUCGAUGCCCGACGCGCCCCCCGUUGGGGCGCUGGCGCCGUCGACUCGCUCGACAGCCGACGAGGCGCUGUCUCCUGCUUGGCCUUGGUUGCCCCGCCUCCUCCUCCGUCGGCAGGGGAGAGGACAGGGUGAGCUCAAAUGGUGUUCUUCCACCACGCGGGGAAGACGUCGUCGAUUCCGCCGCCGGCGGGCGGGCUGUCGGCCGCCAUUGUCGCCGUCACACGGCGGGGGAAGGAGUAUCAUGUCGUAGCUGCCGUCGAGGGACAUGAACUCAAGACUCCCGAAACGGAGCACCGUCCUGGGUUGGAGAGGUUGCUGGAGACUGCCCAUCUGGAGCUUAACGGGAAGCUGUUCGUCAACACGUAGCAGGCCCCUACCUGGCGCGCCAACUGUCGGCGUUUCGAGACCGGGGGGUCCCUAGGCCGACGAGUGAAAUGUCGCCGCGUGCCCUAGCCCAGAUGGGUCGACGCGAGGCCGAGCGCGAAGGGGGGAGAAAGGUGGCCGGAGACAGGCGUGAGAGAGGUGGAAAUCCCGCGGCCUUCGUGUUCAUCCCACGCCCAGGUCGGGUGCGCUUGCAGUAGGGGAUUACAAGCGUCCACGCAGGAGAGGGAGCGAGCGGCUUCAAGCGAGCGCCUGUCUCGUCCUCGUCCCCGCGCGGCCAACCCUCUCUAAGAGGGCCCUGGUCCUUCCUUUUAUAGGCGUAAGGAGAGGAUCCAGGUGUACAAUGGGGGGUGUAGCAGAGUGCUACGCGUCUAGCGGAGGAGAGCUAGCGCCCUAAGUACACGCCAUCGUGGCGGCCGGAGAGGUUAUGGCGCCCAGUUCGUGUGAUGUCGUGGCCGUCGGAGGAGCGCUGGAGCCUGGCGGAGGGACAGCUGUCGGAGCUGUCGAGUCCUUGCUGACGUCCUCUUGCUUUCAUAAGGGGGUUGAGAGCCGCCGUCGUCAGGGAGCGUGCGGGGAGCCAUCAUUGCCUAUCUGGCGGAGCGAGCCAGAUGGGACGCCGGUCUCGUUUCCCGUAGCCUGAGUCAGCUUGGGGUAGGGUAAUGAUGGUGCCUCCCGUUGACGUGGCUGGUAUGCGCCCUAGGUUGGGCGAUGUGGAGGCUCCUCCGAGGUCGAGGUCGAGUCUGUCUUCCAUGGCCGUGGUCGAGUCCGAGCCCCUGGGUCGGGCGAGGCGGAGACCGUCGGCUGAGGCCAGGGCUGAGUCCGAGCCCUGGGGUCGGGCGAAGUGGAGUUCGUCGUCUUCUGGGGCUGAGCCCAAGUCCGAGCCCUGGGUCGGGCGGAGCGGAGUUCGCCGUCUUCCGGGGCUUAGCCCGAGUCCGAGCCCUGGGUCGGGCGGAGCGGAGUUCACCGUCUUCCGGGGCUUAGCCCGAGUCCGAGCCCUAGGUUGGGCGGAGCGGAGUUCGUCGUCUUCUGGGGCUGAGCCCAAGUCCGAGCCCUGGGUCGGGCGGAGCGGAGUUCGUCGUCUUCCGGGGCUUAGCCCGAGUCCGAGCCCUGGGUCGGGCGGGAGAGCUUCCUAUGGCACCUGAGGUCGGGCCUGACUGCCUGUCAGCCUCACUCUGUCAGAUGGCACUGCAGUCGGUGCGGCGAAUGCGGCGCUAUCCUUCUGUCAGGUCGGUCAGUGGAGCGGCGAAGUGACUGCGGUCACUUUGGCUCUGUCGACUGAAGGGCGCGCGUCAGGAUAAUGGUGUCAGGCCACCUUUGCAUUAAAUGCUCCUGCGAUUUGGUCAGUCGAUGCGACGAUUUGGUCAGGGUUGCUUCUUAGCGAAGACAGGGCCUCGGGCGAGCCGGAAAUGUGUUCGCCGCUGGAGGGGGGCCUCGGGCGAGACGGAGAUUCUCCGGGGUCGGCUGCCCUUGUCCGAGGCUAGGCUCGGGCGAGGCGUGAUCGAGUCCCUCGAAUGGACCGAUCCCUGACUUAAUCGCACCCAUCAGGCCUUCGCAGCUUUAUGCUGAUGGGGGUUACCAGCUGAGAAUUAAGAGCCUUGAGGGUACCCCUAAUUAUGGUCCCCGACAAGCGCCUUCCUUAAUGGACCAAUCAAGGAGGAAGUAUAUGUGGAACAACCCCCUAGCUUUGAUAUGCCAAAUAUAUGUCGUUGACAUUAUAUUUGGUUCUAGUAAUCAAAAGUCUUGUGAGGAGUUUAGCAGGGUGAUGAUGAAAACAUUCGAGAUGUUAAUGAUAGGCGAGUUGAACUACUUCCUUGGAUUUCAAGUGAAGCAACUCAAGGAAGGAACCUUCAUCUCCCAAACAAUGUACACUCAAAAUUUGCUCAAGAGGUUUGGGAUGAAGGAUGCUGUAACACCCCUGGUGUUACUAUAACUAAAACUUGAGCAUGGCAUCAUAAGCAUUGGCAUUGCAUAUGUGUGACACACCUAGAGUGCAUUCACUAGGCAAAAAUUUCAAACAAGUUGUAUUGUUUUAAUGUUUUUGCAAAUAGAACCCUGGUUAAAGGACUUAACCUUAAAUAGUGGUUAAAGGGGUAAAACUUAACCCAAGUUAAGAAAACCUAAAUACUUUAGGGUAAAAGUCAUAAAAUGACCCCAAAAAUGAACUUGAAUCACCUUUAUACCCUUGGGAUACCAGAAACCCUAAUUAAAACCCUGGAAAACCCUGAAACCAAACCCUAGGGGCUUAUAUGCAAAAUUGGUCCACUUUUGGACUAAAGUGCAAAAACCAAGCCAAAUAAAUAUCUUAAGUCCUUUGGUUCACAAAUAUGUGGACUUGAAAGCCAAACCCUAAGUUUUGGACUCAUUUGCAAAAAGGACCUUGAUUUUGAUUCCUAUGCUAAGUCUGAAAACAGGGUUGUAGGCCCAACUUUGGGGCUGUGUAACUUUCAAAAUAGUAAGAAUUCAUGAUAGGUGACCACAUCAAAGUUGAAGAUCAAUCUUAGGGGAACAACUUUGUUUAAGGAUUCAAGCCAUGGUCUUAUGUGAAAUUUGGAGAAAAAACCCAAUCAAAGAUGGGCUCUCAGACUGCUUGAAGUUGAAUUUCAGAGUUACAGUAAUUAUGAGAACCAAUCCUACUACUUCGCGUCCCGGGAUUUCCACAAUUGAAGAAAAAAGCGUAGGGCGUAUUGAUCAAAUUAUUGGACCCGUGCUGGAUAUCACUUUUCCCCCGGGCAAGUUGCCUUAUAUUUAUAAUGCUUUGAUAGUCAAGAGUCGAGACACUGCCGAUAAGCAAAUUAAUGUGACUUGUGAGGUACAACAAUUAUUAGGAAAUAAUCGAGUUAGAGCUGUGGCUAUGAGUGCUACAGAGGGGUUGAUGAGAGGAAUGGAAGUGAUUGACACGGGAACUCCUCUCAGUGUUCCAGUCGGUGGAGCUACUCUCGGACGAAUUUUUAACGUUCUUGGGGAGCCUAUUGACAAUUUGGGUCCUGUGGAUACUAGUGCAACAUUUCCUAUUCAUAGAUCUGCGCCUGCCUUUAUCGAGUUAGAUACGAAAUUAUCUAUCUUUGAAACAGGUAUUAAGGUGGUCGAUCUUUUAGCUCCCUAUCGAUGUGGAGGAAAAAUCGGACUGUUUGGGGGGGGCAGGAGUAGGUAAAACAGUACUCAUCAUGGAAUUAAUCAAUAACAUUGCUAAAGCUCAUGGAGGCGUAUCCGUAUUUGGCGGAGUAGGGGAACGGACUCGUGAAGGAAAUGAUCUUUAUAUGGAAAUGAAGGAAUCCGGAGUAAUUAAUGAAAAAAAUAUUGAGGAAUCAAAGGUAGCUCUAGUCUAUGGCCAAAUGAAUGAACCGCCGGGAGCUCGUAUGAGAGUUGGUAUUGAUUUGGAUCCAGUGCUCAAAUGAGUUCAAUCCCUAUAGUCGAAUUGUAGCUGGUUUGUAGCUUUGAAACUUUGCUACAGAGAGUGGAGUGAGUUACUAGAGAAACUUUAGAGAGAAUUGGUCCUAAACUGUGACUGUCAGGCGCACUGAUGAACAUAUCCCAUGGUACAGUGCUCUAACCGGAUCAGAUCGACCGCCGUGGAAAAAUCUCACCGCCGGCGACCGCUUUGCCGGGAUUGGUGCCGCGGCCAUGUGGAUGUUGCUCACCUUGAAAAGAUCUCACCGUGGAUAAACUUGGAGCACUGUGGCCACUCGGUCACUUCUCCCCUUACCGGCGACGUGGCCGCACGGCCAUCACCGGCGUGCCGCCGUUCUUUGCUGUUAUGCCACGCCGUCGGCCAUCUUACCACGUCGCAGUCGAUUACUAUACGCCGUCCUUCUUUUACUUAAGGCCUUGCCACGCCAUAGGACACGUACUCCGCGCGCCAAGCUUCUUCCCCGCCUCCGGCCGCCAGCUCGUCGCGGUCAAAUUGAGAGCCACCGCUCUCGGAGUCUAUAAAUUGAGCCCCCCCUCGGCUUCGCCAUGUACUCUACUAGCUAUCGCACCCGCUUGCAUCCCAAACCUCCCACCAGAGAGCUUGAAUUUGGAAUCCCCCCCAAAUCCGAUCCCCGCCACCGUGAAACCAAGUCCACCGUGGCCAGCCGAUUCUGGUAACGCUCUGUCCGGUUCAAACCUUGUUUAAGUCUUCUCAUAGCUCAGUGAUGCUCGCCAAGCCAUCAAUUUGAAUGUAGAUACCUCCAAUCGUCGGGAACACGCUCAUCCGUCCGCAAUGCUCUCGGUCACCGUGGCCAGAGCUCUGUAGUCGGUCGUUCGUGCAAUUAGGUUAGGGGAAAUACUCCUUAGGGGUUUAAUCCUGUGUAUGUCGCUCGGGAGCGCCGGUCACUGCCCCAAUCGGCCGGUUUGCUAGCUCGCCGGAGCGCGGCGGUGCGCGAGCGCCGUCGGGGACUUGAAACACAGAAUAGAUAGAAACCAGAGGGUCUUUUUGUGAAGUGUCAGUGACUUAGAAAAACAGUAACCGAACCUAUCUCCAGUUAGCCAAAACGCCGAGGGCCUCUGCGCAAACUCGCCUCGCGGGCGCGGACGCGCGCGCGAUUUCGCGCGGAUCUGGGCCGCCUGGGCUGAAUCCGGCCCAGUUCUAUUUAAUUCUUUUCCUUUUUCUUUUUCAGGAAAACUUUAGAAAUGUGUAGAAAAAUGUAGAAAAAUGCUAAAAAUAUGAGACUAAUUUUCCUAGACUUGUUAUUUUUCCUAGAAUUUAGUAAAAAUAAGUUUGUGAUUUUUAGUGAAAGUAAGAAAUUUUAGGGUAUUUAAAGUGGUUAAAAAUGUUAGUUAUGGAUUUUUAGAAAACAAAUGGUAAGUCCAAAAAUGCUCAAAAUUUUUAUAUGAGUUCCUCAUAAUAUUUAGAAGCCUUGGGUAUAGUUUGAAUUGAUUUGGACCUUGUUUGAUCACCAAACCCCAAAACACCCCCCCUGCCCUAUGAACUCCUUUACCGACUCCGGAAACCCUAAGUUCCCGGAACUCCGUGAAGGAAAAUUGUAUUCAAGACAUAAAUAAUAAGUUUAUGUUAUCUUUGCAUCCUCAUGAGCAUCCCAUGGCAUCCAUUCUUAUACAUAUGUAUGGUUAUGAUUAGAACGUGAGGAAGAAAUCGAAGUUACCGAAGAGGAGACACCACCACCUUCGGAGUCUCAGGCCGGGAAUCAUUUCUACUUUGACAUCUGUGGAUCUGAGCCUGAUUCACCUGUGAACGAAGGCAAGCCCCGGUGCAUGCAACCCCUUUCCUUGUGUUUUUAAAUACUUUUUGCACACUUAAGUCUAGUGAAAUGUGCAUUAGGUUCAUAGGAGUUACUUGAAACCCUUUGAUGCAUUGCUCUCCUUGAUAUCCAUACCUUUAUAGAUACUUCUGUGAAGUAUCAAAACAUGAUUCACAAAAAUGCUUAGACUUGCUUAGAUCUUGUGGAUAGAAGUUGUCCUCAAUUUAACCAUGGAGAGGAUGGCUUCUACCUGCAAGAAUAUUUUCAUUUGGAGCAAGAGUGGGAUCUUACUGCAAAGUUCCCUGUGAUGCUCUUUCAUCCUAAGGAACAGACACAAUCCUAAGGAUGGAAAUACUUAAAUUGAGACUUGGGGUAGGAACAGGUGAUGUUCUACCCAGGUUGGUUAAGGAUUAACGCGUAUGUAGGCGUGCUGACCGAGGACCCUUUAACUGGUCACAUGCCUCGUCAUGGGUAAGCCUUGCCUCGGGCAGACUAAGGCCGGAAUAAGAUAACACGAAAUGGGCGUGGAGCGGUGGCGAGAGUAGCGUGUACCCUCCGUGGCAAGAGGCUGGACGGUGGUGUAUCUGUGCUCUCAGUUUGCAUGAACCUGUUCCGGUCUUAAGAACCCCGGUGGCGGGUUGACAUAUGCAAGGGUUAAGUGCUACAUAUGUCGUGUGAUUGGAGAUCCUCAGCUGAGUAUAAUCGAUUCGGAUCGCCGUACCUUCGCGGUUAUGAAGACUUGGUCACUUCCCUGCAACCUAGAGUCAGGAUGUGAACACGAUGGAUAAAAAUGAUGUUAUCUUGAUGUGAUGUGAAAUUAGACUAGAUGCAAAUGGAGUCUAUUAAUACUUAAUAUGGCAUUAAAAGAUUGAAAGUAAGGACUCAUUUUAGUAAGCUACUUCUGCAAAAGUAUAAGUUGAUUUUUGCUAAAGCCUCUCCUUGACUCCUAUUUAUCCAGCAUACCCUUGAAAGUCUUUUCCUUAGUCGGGUAAGACUUGCUGAGUAUUCCAUACUCAGGGUUUAUCCCUUUGUUGUUUUUAGGUGAGGAAGCGACAAACUUUUGUUGCUUCUGCUCCAAGGUGGUACCAAACGAGGAAAAACAAGACUGAAGUGCGGGAGGACUCGGUCCUCCACUUAGGAUCUUUUGUUUAUUAAACUUAUCGGGAGGAGUUUGUGCCUCCCCUGGUUUGUAUAAUAUUACUACUCUGCACUCACUUUUAGUCUGGUCUGUAAUAACAUAACUUAAGCUUGCUUUUGAAAUAAAUGUAAGUUUAUGUAAUUGCUUCCGCAUGUCUUUAUCUCCGAUGUUCUGUAAUGUCUGCAAGACGGGUGAGACGUUCCUGAUAAGGUAAGGAAAGAUACCGAACUUGUCAAGUAGUCAGGGGCACCUGCAGGGUUGUCUAAAGUCCGUUGGACAAGGACAACUGUAGGUGGGCCUAAUUACUUGGGAGGUUCUGUCACAGCUGGUAUCGGAGCGUAGCCCUUCUUUGCAUAUAUUAUGAGGCAUCUUCAAAAGGAUUUUCAAAAGUCUUACCUAAAAACUCUUUUCUCUUCUUACCUAAGUAUUCUGAAGAAGUCUAUCUUAAAGACCAGAUAGGAAGAGUGCAACAUAUAGAAGGUUGAAUCGACUAAGAUUGAUUCUGUAAUUAUACAUGCAUCAUGCUAAGAAUCUUACUAAUAACAUUUUCCCCCUUAGAAAGAUGCCGCCACGUACCAGGCUAACGGCACGCAAGUCUACGGGACCAAUUGGAGUGCCUCGGCAUCAACUGGCUCCCCGACAUGAAAGCAGCAGCAGUGGAAGUAAUGACCCCAUCGGAGACCUUGAAGCCCGUGUGAGUCGACUUCAAGCAGCGCUGCAACAUAGGACUGAUGCUUGGGUCACCGACGGAGAUAGAAUCAAUGAACUGAGAAGGGACAUCCGACAUCUGCAGGAUCAACUCGCUGAUCGAGACUUAGCACUUGACUGGGCCGUACAGUCUCGUUUGCUAAUGUGUGCUAAGGAAGAAAGGGCUCAGGCCCGAGUUAAAGAACUUAGCUCGACUGUUGAUAACCUGCAGGUUUACUGCAAUACGUUGCAUGAGGAAGUCCAUAUACUAUACUCACAAUUACACCCAAGUGAGCCUGCACAACCUACUGAGGCGGAAGCUGGACCAUCUCACGUUGCGGGACGUGCGCUGGGUGGGGAGUUAGACCUUUUUGAGCCCCCUCCUUCUUUGAGGUUGGUUGAUGUCUGGACUCCCACACCUGACGAUGAAGCCGCCAAGACUAAUGGCAAGCAGGAAUAAAGGUGUAAUAGAAGUAGAGUAGUGUAUGGUAGGGUAUUGUAGGGUGUACUGUUGUAUAAUAGGUUGAACUUUUGUAUAAUGGGUAUUGUAUCCUGUUAUGUAAUAUCGAGUCUGUAUCAUUACUUUUUAUAGUAAUGUAAAAUGGAAGGUUUUCUCUGGCACAUUAUGUUUACUUCAAAUGUUUUUGCCACAGAUGCCGACCAGGACUCGAGGACAGGACGCAGCAGGAACUUCUGGGGGACGGGAUGUUACCCCAAACCCACCUCCAGUUCCUCCCACGUUAGCCGAGGCGAUCGCCGCCUUGGUGAAUGCCACCGCAGACAAUACCCGCUUCCUUAGGGAAAUGGCGGGUCAGCAGCAAUUCCAGCAGCAGGCAGGAAGAGGUUAUCCGCAAGGCCCUCGUGAGACCACCUAUCUGGAUUUCUCUGAAACCCGUCCACCCCUAUUCGUCAAGGCUGAAGAUCCCCUAGAAGCUGAUGAGUGGAUUCGGGUCAUUGAACAAAAGUUUGGUCUUCUCCGUUGCUCAGAGACGCAGAAGCCGUUGUUCGUAGCACAACAACUCCGUGGUCCUGCCAGUACCUGGUGGGGAAAUUUUAUGGCUAUUCAACCUGACAACCAUCAAGUCACCUGGGAUGAGUUUAAAGCAGCUUUCCGUGAACACUACAUCCCCGAAGGAGUGCUGCAUAUGAAACAAGAGGAGUUUAUGAAGUUACAACAAGGCGGAGAUACCAUCACUCAAUAUCUCAACAAAUUCAAUCACCUGUCGCAGUAUGCCAUCGACCAGGUGAAUACGGAUUUAAAGAAGAAGAACUGUUUUAUGCGGGGUCUGAAUGAUCGGCUACAAAGGAAAAUGGCCACAUGCAUAGAUCUCACGUAUGGAAAGGCUGUCAGCACAGCCUUAUCUGUGGAAGCCAAAUACUCAACUUCUGGGAAGAACAAGGGAUUCGGUGGUGAGAGGCCUAAUCAGGGCCAGGCGAAGAAGCAACGGUUUGUGAUUCGACCCUCAAACCAAAAUCGCACUUUUUCUCGUCCACCUUCAUUUCCCUUCAAACAGCCUAUCAUUAUCCGCCCAACAAUACCCCCACUACCCCAAAACAGCCGGGUGCCCCAGGCACUCGAUUUCCUGCCUUACCUAGUUCUUCAACUGGGUGCUUUAAUUGCGGCAAGUUGGGACACUUCAUCAAAGACUGCCCAUAUCCUAGGCAAAAUCAAUCUAAUGCUUCGCAAGGAUCUGGGAAAUCAGCUCAACCUAAAGGAGAUGCUAUGGGGAAAAAUACGAAGAAAACGGGGCGUGUAUAUUACACUCAAGUGGCUACCACACCGGAAGGAGAACCGGUGAUGAUGGGUACGUUUCCCGUGGCCAGUCACCCAGCAAUUAUUCUUUUUGAUUCUGGUGCUUCACAUACAUUCAUUAGCAAGAAGUUUGUGGAACAACAUCAUAUUGCAUACCAUGAAUCAAAGGAGGGAUUUAAAAUUCAUUCACCUGGGGGACACAUUUAUACUAAAGAAGUGGCCUAUGGAGUGCCAGUAACAAUGGCCGGACGGAACUUUCCUGCUAAUAUGAUCGUUCUGAAAGGCCAGGAUAUAGAUGUAAUCUUGGGUAUGAAUUGGUUAACCCAACACAAGGCAAUUCUCAACACUGAACUCAGAACCGUCAGGUUGAGCUAUAACCAAGAAGAGAUUCUUUUGACUCUCCCCGCAACCAAUCCAGCCAAAGCUUCUGGUAGAGUCUAUGAAGCCAUUGUACCGGAGAUCAAGAAUAUUCCGGUAGUAUGUGAGUUUCCAGAUGUAUUUCCGGAAGAUUUGCCUGGACUGCCCCCUGAAAGAGAUGUAGAAUUUGUAAUUGAGCUAAAGCCCGGUACGGCUCCCAUCUCCCGAAGAUCGUACCGUAUGCCCCCUAAUGAGUUGGCGGAACUGAAGAUUCAAUUACAAGAUCUACUGAAUAAGGGAUUCAUCCGGCCAAGCUCGUCCCAGUGGGGUUGUCCCGCCAUUUUUGUUAAGAAGAAGGAUCAAACCUUGAGAAUGUGCGUGGAUUAUCGACCCCUAAAUGAGGUCACUAUCAAGAAUAAGUACCCUCUUCCAAGGAUCGACAUAUUAUUUGAUCAACUGACUGGGGCGAGGGUAUUUUCCAAAAUUGAUCUCAGGUCAGGCUAUCAUCAAAUCCGUAUUCGGCCCGAGGAUAUACCGAAAACCGCGUUUACUACGCGGUAUGGAUUGUUUGAAUACUUGGUAAUGUCUUUCGGGCUCACAAAUGCUCCUGCCCACUUUACCUACUUGAUGAACUCGGUGUUCAUGCCCGAGUUGGACAAAUUCGUGGUAGUCUUCAUCGACGAUAUCUUGAUAUAUUCUAAGAAUGAAGAGGACCAUGCUCAGCAUUUACGGAUUGUAUUGACGCGCCUGAGGGAACACCAGCUAUAUGCCAAGUUCAGCAAGUGCGCGUUCUGGCUGGAAGAAAUUCAAUUUUUGGGGCACGUGUUAUCAGCUAAAGGAAUUGCGGUAGAUCCUAGCAAGGUCAAAGAUAUUCUGGAGUGGAAACCCCCAACAACUGUUCACCAAGUCCGGAGUUUUCUUAGACUAGCUGGGUAUUAUCGCAGAUUCAUACCAGAUUUUUCUAAGCUUGUGAAGCCAAUCACAAGUUUGUUGAAGAAUGACAUUAAGUUCAAUUGGUCUUCUAAGUGCAAUGAAGCCUUUGAGCAACUGAAGACACUAUUGACCACUGCUCCGGUAUUAGCUCAACCGGACAUCACUAAACCUUUUGAUGUAUAUUGUGAUGCAUCUGGCAGUGGGCUCGGCUGUGUACUGAUGCAAGAGGGCCGAGUGAUUGCGUAUGCUUCAAGGCAGUUGAGCCGACAUGAGGAGCACUAUCCAACUCAUGAUCUGGAGCUAGCUGCUGUGGUUCAUGCCCUAAAGAUUUGGCGUCACUAUCUGCUGGGUAAUAUCUGUCACAUAUAUACAGAUCAUAAAAGUUUGAAGUACAUCUUCACCCUGUCAGAAUUAAAUAUGAGGCAAAGACGAUGGCUUGAGCUCAUUAAAGAUUAUGAACUGGAGAUCCAUUAUCACCCAGGCAAGGCCAAUGUGGUGGCAGAUGCGCUGAGUCGUAAGACUUCCUGCCACUGUCUUAUGGCGAAGACCUUCGAGAACACUUUGUGUCAAGAAAUGGAAAAGCUAAACCUGGGGAUCAUCCAACAAGGGACUCUAAAUCAGCUAAAGCUUGAGUCAAUCAUUUUAUAAAGGAUAAUUGAUGCUCAAAAAGAUAAUCCGGGUAUGAAGCACAUUCGAGAGAAGAUAAAGGCUGGAGUAGCCAAGUGUUUCAAGGAAGACGAUCAAGGUGUGAUAUGGUUUAAAAACCGCAUAGUAGUGCCAAAGAACGAAGAACUCCGCCAGCAAAUUCUUGAUGAAGCACAUCUUAGUCGUUAUUCUAUUCAUCCCGGAAGCACUAAGAUGUAUCAAGACUUAAAGCAAUAUUAUUGGUGGACGAAGAUGAAAAUCGAAAUUGCACGCUAUGUGGCUAAGUGUGACACUUGCAGACGUGUCAAGGCCAUACACAUGAAAACUGCUGGUCCAUUACAAUCCUUGCCAAUCCCAACAUGGAAAUGGGAAGACGUCAGUAUGGACUUUAUUGUGGGAUUACCCAGGACGGCCAAAGGGUAUGAUUCUAUUUGGGUUAUCGUUGAUCGACUCACAAAGAUUGCCCACUUCUUACCCGUCAGAGCCAAAUAUACAGUAGCCACUUAUGCAGCAUUAUAUAUCAGCCGUAUUCUCAGUUUGCAUGGUAUUCCAAAGACCAUAGUGUCGGAUCGUGGACCUCAGUUCGUAUCCAAGUUUUGGGAAAAACUUCAUAAAUCCUUGGGUACCAAAUUGCUCCACAGUUCGGCUUAUCAUCCUCAAACCAGUGGGCAGACUGAGAGGGUGAACCAAAUACUUGAAGAUAUGCUGCGGGCAUGUGUCCUGGACUUCUCACCAAAAUGGGAUGAAUGUUUGCCCCUAGCGGAGUUUUCAUACAAUAACAGUUAUCAAGAAAGUAUCAAGAUGGCACCUUUUGAAGCUUUAUAUGGACGACGGUGUCGAACUCCGCUAAAUUGGUCUGAACCUGGAGAAAGAUACUUCUUUAGACCUGAUAUGGUGAAAGAGAUCGAAGAAAAGGUUCAGAGAAUUAUUCAUAAUAUGAAGAAAGCUCAGACUCGACAAAAGAGUUAUGCAGACCGACGAAGACAACCCUUGUGCUUUCUGGUAGACGAUUAUGUCUACUUAAAGGUUUCACCAAUGAAGGGUGUAUCGCGUUUCGGGGUUAAAGGGAAGCUUGCACCCAGGUACAUUGGUCCAUUCCUGGUACUUGAGCAAUGUGGACCAGUGGCAUACCGACUUCAGCUCCCCGAAACAUUAUCUGCUGUGCACAAUGUGUUCCAUGUGUCACAACUGAAGAAGUGUCUUCGGGUUCCUGAUCGAACCAUUGAAGUGACUGAUGUUGUCCUGGAACCAGAUUUAACAUACUCGGAACAUCCUAUUCGAGUUCUGGAUCAAAAGGACAGGGUCACCCGAAGAAAGACUCUCAAAUUCUACAAGAUACAGUGGAACCAGCAUUCUGAAGAUGAGGCUACAUGGGAAACCCAAGACUUCUUGAAUAAGAAUUUCCCAGGCUUCUUAGCCUCUUGUAACUUGUAAAGCCUGUAUAGCUAUUGUAAUAAAGAAGUAACCCCCACAUUACCCUUGUCUUGUACCAAAAUUAAGGAAAUAAAAAUGUGAUGUGUUUCCUUUACCAUUACCUACCCUAGGAUUUUAAUCUCGGGACGAGAUUCUUUUAUGGGGGGAAGGAUGUAACACCCCUGGUGUUACUAUAACUAAAACUUGAGCAUGGCAUCAUAAGCAUUGGCAUUGCAUAUGUGUGACACACCUAGAGUGCAUUCACUAGGCAAAAAUUUCAAACAAGUUGUAUUGUUUUAAUGUUUUUGCAAAUAGAACCCUGGUUAAAGGACUUAACCUUAAAUAGUGGUUAAAGGGGUAAAACUUAACCCAAGUUAAGAAAACCUAAAUACUUUAGGGUAAAAGUCAUAAAAUGACCCCAAAAAUGAACUUGAAUCACCUUUAUACCCUUGGGAUACAAGAAACCCUAAUUAAAACCCUGGAAAACCCUGAAACCAAACCCUAGGGGCUUAUAUGCAAAAUUGGUCCACUUUUGGACUAAAGUGCAAAAACCAAGCCAAAUAAGUAUCUUAAGUCCUUUGGUUCACAAAUAUGUGGACUUGAAAGCCAAACCCUAAGUUUUGGACUCAUUUGCAAAAAGGACCUUGAUUUUGAUUCCUAUGCUAAGUCUGAAAACAGGGUUGUAGGCCCAACUUUGGGGCUGUGUAACUUUCAAAAUAGUAAGAAUUCAUGAUAGGUGACCACAUCAAAGUUGAAGAUCAAUCUUAGGGGAACAACUUUGUUUAAGGAUUCAAGCCAUGGUCUUAUGUGAAAUUUGGAGAAAAACCCAAUCAAAGAUGGGCUGUCAGACUGCUUGAAGUUGAAUUUCAGAGUUACAGUGCUAUGGGGUGAACUUUGAGCUCGAUUUUGAUUUGGAUCCAGUGCUCAAAUGAGUUCAAUCCCUAUAGUCGAAUUGUAGCUGGUUUGUAGCUUUGAAACUUUGCUACAGAGAGUGGAGUGAGUUACUAGAGAAACUUUAGAGAGAAUUGGUCCUAAACUGUGACUGUCAGGCGCACUGAUGAACAUAUCCCAUGGUACAGUGCUCUAACCGGAUCAGAUCGACCGCCGUGGAAAAAUCUCACCGCCGGCGACCGCUUUGCCGGGAUUGGUGCCGCGGCCGUGUGGAUGUUGCUCACCUUGAAAAGAUCUCACCGUGGAUAAACUUGGAGCACUGUGGCCACUCAGUCACUUCUCCCCUUACCGGCGACGUGGCCGCACGGCCAUCACCGGCGUGCCGCCGUUCUUUGCUGUUAUGCCACGCCGUCGGCCAUCUUACCACGUCGCAGUCGAUUACUAUACGCCGUCCUUCUUUUACUUAAGGCCUUGCCACGCCAUAGGACACGUACUCCGCGCGCCAAGCUUCUUCCCCGCCUCCGGCCGCCAGCUCGUCGCGGUCAAAUUGAGAGCCACCGCUCUCGGAGUCUAUAAAUUGAGCCCCCCCUCGGCUUCGCCAUGUACUCUACUAGCUAUCACACCCGCUUGCAUCCCAAACCUCCCACCAGAGAGCUUGAAUUUGGAAUCCCCCCCAAAUCCGAUCCCCGCCACCGUGAAACCAAGUCCACCGUGGCCAGCCGAUUCUGGUAACGCUCUGUCCGGUUCAAACCUUGUUUAAGUCUUCUCAUAGCUCAGUGAUGCUCGCCAAGACAUCAAUUUGAAUGUAGAUACCUCCAAUCGUCGGGAACACGCUCAUCCGUCCGCAAUGCUCUCGGUCACCGUGGCCAGAGCUCUGUAGUCGGUCGUUCGUGCAAUUAGGUUAGGGGAAAUACUCCUUAGGGGUUUAAUCCUGUGUAUGUCGCUCGGGAGCGCCGGUCACUGCCCCAAUCGGCCGGUUUGCUAGCUCGCCGGAGCGCGGCGGUGCGCGAGCGCCGUCGGGGACUUGAAACACAGAAUAGAUAGAAACCAGAGGGUCUUUUUGUGAAGUGUCAGUGACUUAGAAAAACAGUAACCGAACCUAUCUCCAGUUAGCCAAAACGCCGAGGGCCUCUGCGCAAACUCGCCUCGCGGACGCGGACGCGCGCGCGAUUUCGCGCGGAUCUGGGCCGCCUGGGCUGAAUCCGGCCCAGUUCUAUUUAAUUCUUUUCCUUUUUCUUUUUCAGGAAAACUUUAGAAAUGUGUAGAAAAAUGUAGAAAAAUGCUAAAAAUAUGAGACUAAUUUUCCUAGACUUGUUAUUUUUCCUAGAAUUUAGUAAAAAUAAGUUUGUGAUUUUUAGUGAAAGUAAGAAAUUUUAGGGUAUUUAAAGUGGUUAAAAAUGUUAUUUAUGGAUUUUUAGAAAACAAAUGGUAAGUCCAAAAAUGCUCAAAAUUUUUAUAUGAGUUCCUCAUAAUAUUUAGAAGCCUUGGGUGUAGUUUGAAUUGAUUUGGACCUUGUUUGAUCACCAAACCCCAAAACACCCCCCUGCCCUAUGAACUCCUUUACCGACUCCGGAAACCCUAUGUUCCCGGAACUCCGUGAAGGAAAAUUGUAUUCAAGACAUAAAUAAUAAGUUUAUGUUAUGUUUGCAUCCUCAUGAGCAUCCCAUGGCAUCCAUUCUUAUACAUAUGUAUGGUUAUGAUUAGAACGUGAGGAAGAAAUCGAAGUUACCGAAGAGGAGACACCACCACCUUCGGAGUCUCAGGCCGGGAAUCAUUUCUACUUUGACAUCUGUGGAUCUGAGCCUGAUUCACCUGUGAACGAAGGCAAGCCCCGGUGCAUGCAACCCCUUUCCUUGUGUUUUUAAAUACUUUUUGCACACUUAAGUCUAGUGAAAUGUGCAUUAGGUUCAUAGGAGUUACUUGAAACCCUUUGAUGCAUUGCUCUCCUUGAUAUCCAUACCUUUAUAGAUACUUCUGUGAAGUAUCAAAACAUGAUUCACAAAAAUGCUUAGACUUGCUUAGAUCUUGUGGAUAGAAGUUGUCCUCAAUUUAACCAUGGAGAGGAUGGCUUCUACCUGCAAGAAUAUUUUCAUUUGGAGCAAGAGUGGGAUCUUACUGCAAAGUUCCCUGUGAUGCUCUUUCAUCCUAAGGAACAGACACAAUCCUAAGGAUGGAAAUACUUAAAUUGAGACUUGGGGUAGGAACAGGUGAUGUUCUACCCAGGUUGGUUAAGGAUUAACGCGUAUGUAGGCGUGCUGACCGAGGACCCUUUAACUGGUCACAUGCCUCGUCAUGGGUAAGCCUUGCCUCGGGCAGACUAAGGCCGGAAUAAGAUAACACGAAAUGGGCGUGGAGCGGUGGCGAGAGUAGCGUGUACCCUCCGUGGCAAGAGGCUGGACGGUGGUGUAUCUGUGCUCUCAGUUUGCAUGAACCUGUUCCGGUCUUAAGAACCCCGGUGGCGGGUUGACAUAUGCAAGGGUUAAGUGCUACAUAUGUCGUGUGAUUGGAGAUCCUCAGCUGAGUAUAAUCGAUUCGGAUCGCCGUACCUUCGCGGUUAUGAAGACUUGGUCACUUCCCUGCAACCUAGAGUCAGGAUGUGAACACGAUGGAUAAAAAUGAUGUUAUCUUGAUGUGAUGUGAAAUUAGACUAGAUGCAAAUGGAGUCUAUUAAUACUUAAUAUGGCAUUAAAAGAUUGAAAGUAAGGACUCAUUUUAGUAAGCUACUUCUGCAAAAGUAUAAGUUGAUUUUUGCUAAAGCCUCUCCUUGACUCCUAUUUAUCCAGCAUACCCUUGAAAGUCUUUUCCUUAGUCGGGUAAUACUUGCUGAGUAUUCCAUACUCAGGGUUUAUCCCUUUGUUGUUUUUAGGUGAGGAAGCGACAAACUUUUGUUGCUUCUGCUCCAAGGUGGUACCAAACGAGGAAAAACAAGACUGAAGUGCGGGAGGACUCGGUCCUCCACUUAGGAUCUUUUGUUUAUUAAACUUAUCGGGAGGAGUUUGUGCCUCCCCUGGUUUGUAUAAUAUUACUACUCUGCACUCACUUUUAGUCUGGUCUGUAAUAACAUAACUUAAGCUUGCUUUUGAAAUAAAUGUAAGUUUAUGUAAUUGCUUCCGCAUGUCUUUAUCUCCGAUGUUCUGUAAUGUCUGCAAGACGGGUGAGACGUUCCUGAUAAGGUAAGGAAAGAUACCGAACUUGUCAAGUAGUCAGGGGCACCUGCAGGGUUGUCUAAAGUCCGUUGGACAAGGACAACUGUAGGUGGGCCUAAUUACUUGGGAGGUUCUGUCACAGAUGCAAAGCCCGCGAAGACACCGAUGGGAACGGACGGACAUCUGGACCUCAAUAAAGGAGGUAAGGCCGUUGAUCAAAAGGCAUACCGGUCUAUGACAGGAUCUUUGCUUUACCUUUGCGCUAGUAGACCAGAUAUUAUGCUAAGUGUAUGCAUGUGUGCUUGAUUUCAAUCCGACCCUAAGGAGUGUCACCUUGUGGCCGUUAAGCAAAUUCUUAGAUACUUGGUUUCUACGCCUUGCUUUGGGAUCUGGUAUCCAAAGGGGUCUACCUUUGACUUAAUCAGAUAUUAAGAUUCCGACUAUGCCGGGUGCAAGGUUGAUAGGAAGAGUACAUCAGAGACUUGUCAGUUUCUACGAAGAUCCCUGGUGUCCUGGAGCUCUAAGAAACAAACUUCUGUUGCCCUAUCCACUGCUGAGGCCGAGUAUGUUGCCGCAGGACAGUGUUGCGCGCAACUACUUUGGAUGAGGCAAACCCUCCAGGAUUUUGGCUACAAUCUGAGCAAAGUCCCACUCCUAUGUGAUAAUGAUAGUGCAAUCUGCUUGGCGGACAAUCCUGUUGAACACACCGCACUAAGCACAUAGACAUCCGGCAUCACUUUUUGAGAGACCAGCAACAAAGGGGAGAUAUCGAUAUUUAUCAUAUUAGCACCGAGAACGAGCUAGCCAAUAUCUUCACCAAGUUUUUAGAUGAGAAAAGGUUUUGCAGGUUGCAUAGUGAGCUAAAUGUCUUAGAUUCGCGUAACUUGGAUUGAUCUAUAGCAUACAUGUGUACUAUGCCUUUGAUCAUAUUACUUUAAGCAUUAAUGUCUUUAAUUACUUAUUUUUGGUGCUCAAGUUGUACAAGUCAUCCCCGGACCUCACAAGUCCAAAUGCAAAUGAUGCACAUGUUUAGGGGGAGGAUGUGCUACAACUUCACCCCUUAAGACUAACUUGUUUGUUGAGUACUCUUGAAAUAGUCUCAAAGGUAUAUUGAAAGGGAAAAGUGAACUUGGACAAAGAAAGGACUACCACUGCAUUCCGGUAUAAAUGUAUCUUGUUCCAAGCUUGUACUUGUGUUCUCAUUGCCUUUUGUGCUUAUUUGACAUUUUGGUGAGGAAAUGGAGUUAAAGGGUCAAAAGUUGUCACACCCGUUUCCCAAGGGUAGAGCCGGGUGCAUAGCAUAUGUGUGCCAGGAUCUAUUUCCACACAUAUGUUGACGUCACAAGUGUAAUAUAUCAAAAGAACAAUGCAUAAAAGCGUAAAUAACGAUUAUAUUAACAUAUUACACUUCGAACAGACAUAUUGUCUUAACCUUUAUUCAUCAAAGUAUAGCAAAACAGGGACAUCCAUCCACAGGAAGAUGACCGGGGGUAUCACUAGACUAGCAUCCAUGGAGUUCACCAUCAAAAUCUUCAUCUGCAAACUUCUAAUCAAAAUUAAGCAAGGGUGAGCUCACUUAUGGUCGGGGCUCAGCAAGUGGGGGAAAAACUAAUGCAAGGUAACAAGGUGAGGCUAAGGUUGAGCAGUAAGCAUUUUAGUUGGUCAACAUUUUAUUCACAACACCUGUCUUACUAAUAAGUGUGAAUCCCAAGUAUUCCCAUUAAACAAAGGUAUAAGAGUAUAUAAAAAACACUUAAGUGAAACCACUUAAGCAAACCAUUGGCAGAUCAUCGGAUCUCGAUUUAUCUCCAUCUUCAAGUUCAAUUAUCAUGUGAGGAGUCCAGGCUGCUCAUAACCGUGAGCACGGCUGAUAUAUCAGUUUUACACUCUGCAGAGGUGGUACAACUUUACCCACAAGCCGUGUAUCCCCUCUAGCCUGGGUCGGCCAAAACCCGUAAACACUUCCGAUGUGAGUGGCUAGGGAUCCACUAUGAGGCUUUCACAAAAUACACUUAAUACGAAGCAACCCGCUACGGUUUCUAAAGACGAUGGUGGUGGCCCCCUGGGUGAGGUACCUUAGCCAAGAAUACGUCCCCAUGUUAACGUGGGCUGCCAACACCUACCGCUCCCCCUCUUGCCCAUAUUUCAGGUAAGGUUGCCAGACACUAAGCAUAUAAAGCUAGUUACCAAAGCCAGAGCCAUGAUAGCACUCAUGGUUGCACUGUUUUCCCGGGUGGUCACUCCAUGUUCCAAUUAAUAUGCAAUAAUCUUGUUUAACCAUCGGGUUAAUAACAAUAAUGUAAACUUACCAUUUUGGAACAUUAAUAUCAUAAGCGGGAGUGACUGCAUAAAGUUAAGUUGUAGCAAUAGCAUAGCUACGAAGGUAAAGUAUAAUUCCCAGGUUUGAUCAAGGAAUAAGGUUGGAAAGGUUAUCUAAAUAGGUAACCCAUCAAAUUAUGCAUAUAUAUCCAAAAGAAUAAACUUUAUUAAAUGUAUUGUUUGGGAUCAAACAGAGUAUGCAGAGGGAGAAGUCCACUUGCCUUGCUUAUUGAAAACUUGAGACUCUUCCACGGAUCUGAAUAGAUCUUGAUUCUUAACUACUAGAUCAACCACUGAAUAUCACACAAACAAACAAGAAGAAACAAACACCACUCAAUAACUUACAACAUUCACCAUACAUAAAGCUAAAAGAAAGCCUAACGAAAAGAGCGUUCGCUUUUAAAGAACAUCGCAAGUAAUGGUUAUAAUAAGAGGGUAUUCUUUUCAAAAAUGUGUGAUCUAUACUUUUGUCGGGGACCAUAAUUAGGGGUACCCUCAAGACUCCUAAUUCUCAGCUGGUAACCCCCAUCAGCAUAAAGCUGCUAAGGCCUGAUGGGUGCGAUUAAGUCAGGGAUCGGUCCAUUCGAGCGACUCGAUCACGCCUCGCCCGAGCCUAGCCUCGGACAAGGGCAGCCGACCCCGGAGGAUUUCCGUCUCGCCCGAGGCCCCCCUCCGACGGUGAGCAUAUUUCCGGCUCGCCCGAGGCCCUGCCUUCGCUAAGAAGCAACCCUGACUAAAUCGCCGCACCGACCGACCAAAUCGUAGGAGCAUUUAACGCAAAGGUGGCCUGACACCUUUAUCCUGACGCGCGCCCCCUAGUAGAGCCGAAGUGACCGCCGUCACUUCGCCGCUCCACUGACCGGCCUGACAGAAGGACAGCGCCGCCUGCGCCACUCCGACUGCAGUGCCACUUGACAGAGUGAGACUGACAGGCAGUCAGGCCCAAAGGCACCAUAGGAAGCUCCGCUCCGCCCGACCCAGGGCUCGGACUCGGGCUAAGUCCCGGAAGACGGUGAACUUCGCUCCGCCCGACCCAGGGCUCGGACUCGGGCUAAGUCCCGGAAGACGGCGAACUCCGCUCCGCCCGACCCAGGGCUCGGACUCGGGCUAAGUCCCGGAAGACGGCGAACUCCGCUCCGCCCGACCCAGGGCUCGGACUCGGGCUAAGUCCCGGAAGACGGCGAACUCCGCUCCGCCCGACCCAGGGCUCGGACUCGGGCUAAGUCCCGGAAGACGGCGAACUCCGCUCCGCCAGACCCAGGGCUCGGACUCGGGCUAAGUCCCGGAAGACGGCGAACUCCGCUCCGCCCGACCCAGGGCUCGGACUCGGGCUCAGCCCCAGAAGACGACGAACUCCGCUUCGCCCGACCCCAGGGCUCGGACUCUGCCCCGGCCUCUGCCGACGAUCUCCGCCUCGCCCGACCCAGGGGCUCAGACUCAGCCUCGGCCAUGGAAGACAGACUCGACCUCGGCUUCGGAGGAGCCUCCACAUCGCCCAACCUAGGGCGCAGGCCAGCCACGUCAACAGGAGGCGCCAUCAUCACCCUACCCCGAGCUGACUCGGGCCACAGGGAACAAGACCGGUGUCCCAUCUGGCUAGCUCUGCCAGAUAGGCAAUGAUGGCGCCCCGCAUACUCUGUGACGACGGCGGCUCUCAGCCCCCUUACGGAAGCAAGAGGACGUCAGCAAGGACUCAACCGCUCCGACAGCUGUCCCUCCGCCAGGCUCCAUCGCUCCUCCGACGGCCACGACAUCACACCAGCUGGGUGCCAAAAUCUCUCCGGCUGCCACAUCGGCAUGUACUUAGGGCGCUAGCUCUCCUCCGCUAUACACGUAGCACUCCGCUACACCCCCCAUUGUACACCUGGAUCCUCUCCUUACGCCUAUAAAAGGAAGGACCAGGGCCCUCUUAGAGAGGGUUGGCUGCGCGGGGUCGAGGACGAGACAGGCGCUCGCUUGGAAGCCGCUCGCUCCCUCACCCGCGUGGACGCUUGUAACCCCCUACUGCAAGCGCACCCGACCUUGGCGCGGGACGAACACGAAGGCCGCGGGAUUCCCACCUCUCUCACGCCGGUCUCCGGCCGCCUCGCUUCUCCCCCCUUCGCGCUCGCCCUCGCGCUCGACCCAUCUGGGCUGGGGCACGCGGCGACACUCACUCGUCGGCCCAAGGGACCCCCCGGUCUCGAAACGCCGACAGUUGGCGCGCCAGGUAGGGGCCUGCUGCGUGUUGACGAACAACUUCCCGUCAAGCUCCAGAUGGGCAGUCUCCAGCAACCUCUCCAACCUGGGACGGUGCUCCGUUUCGGGAGUCUUGAGUUCAUGUCCCUCGACGGCAGCUACGACAUGAUACUCCUUCCACCGCCGCGCGACAACGACAAUGGCGGCCGACAGCCCGCCAGCCGGCGGCGGAAUCGACGACGUCUUCCCCGCGUGGUGGAAGAACAACCUUCGAGCUCGUCCCGCCUUCUUCCCCGCCGACGAAGGGGAAGGCAGGGCAACCAAGGCCAAGCAGGAGGCAGCGCCUCGUUGGCUGUCGAGCGAGUCGACAGCGCCGGCACCCCAACGAGGGGCGCACCGGGUAUCGACUUCGCGCCUGAGACGAAGAAGAGCGCCGUCUCCCCGUGACACGCCAGUCCCGAGCAAGCGGACGACGCCAGCACGCUCGCAGAGAGCUUGCUGGACGUCACCCUCGUACCUGAGACGACGGUGCAGUUAGCCCCCGAUGUGACUUUAUCGCCGCUCGUCGACCAAGAGGUACUGACCAAUUCCCAUCCCACAUCAUUUGGAUUCAGCCUCAACCCGCCUAGCGACCUUGCUUUGGCGGGCGCUCUCAUAGAGGCGAGUCCAAACCCUCUGGGGUUUCGCAUGCGGUCGCCUUGGGACCGGCUGACGGACAUCUCGACCUACGGGCCCUCUGGGUCCGAGGAAGACGACGAGCCCAGCAUCUGUUGGGAUUUCUCUGGACUUGGCAACCCCAGUGCCAUGCGGGACUUCAUGACCGCAUGUGACUACUGCCUCUUCGACCGUUCCGACGGUAGCCGCAGCCUCGACGACGAGGACUGCGGCCCAAGCCGCGAAUGUUUCCACGUCGAUCUAGGGGGUCCCUCCGAAGGCAAUCAUCUCGGCAUGCCGGAGGAUGGUGAUCUCCCUAGGCCGGUGCCCCGCGUUGACAUCCCACGGGAGCUAGCUGUGGUCCCCGUUCAGGCGGGGGGCCAUGACCCACAGCUCGAGCAAAUCCGCGGGGUGCAGGCCAGGCUCGAUGAGGGAACAUGAGCGCUUGAGCCGAUCCGCCGGGACAUCGGGCAGGCAUGGGUGGGCCAACCCCCGGCCGGAGAAAUACGUCAUCUGCCCCAGGGCUUCCAGCACCGCGUCGCAGACGACAUCCGGUUCAGGCCGCCACCCGCAUCUAGUGGGGUCGGCCAGAACCUGGCCGCAGCAGCGAUGCUUCUCCGCGCGAUGCCGGAGCCAUCAACCACCGAGGGUCGGCGAAUCCAGGGGGAGCUCAAGAAUCUCCUGGAAGGCGCCGCGGUCCAAUGGGUCGAGAGCUCUGCCUCCCAAAGGCAGGGAUACCCCUCGGAACCUCAUGCCGCGACUUCCCGAUUCAUGCGGGAAGCCUCGGUCUACACCGGGCGCACGCGCAACACCGCGCCUGCGGCCCCGGGCGGCCUCGGCAACGAGCACCAUCACCGCGACCGUCGGGCCCACCUCGACGAGAGGGUGCGCCGAGGCUACCACCCCAGGCGUGGGGGACGCUACGACAGCGGGGAGGAUCGGAGCCCCUCGCCCGAACCGCCCGGUCCGCAGGCCUUCAGCCGGGCCAUCCGACGGGCACCGUUCCCGACCCGGUUCCGACCCCCGACUACUAUCACAAAGUACUCGGGGGAGACGAGACCGGAACUGUGGCUCGCGGACUACUGCCUGGCCUGCCAACUGGGUGGAACGGACGACGACAACCUCAUCAUCCGCAACCUCCCCCUGUUCCUCUCCGACACCGCUCGCGCCUGGUUGGAGCACCUGCCUCCAGGGCAGAUCUCCAACUGGGACGACCUAGUCCAAGCCUUCGCCGACAAUUUCCAGGGCACGUACGUGCGCCCCGGGAAUUCCUGGGAUCUCCGAAGCUGCCGACAGCAGCCGGGAGAGUCUCUCCGGGACUACAUCCGGCGAUUCUCGAAGCAGCGCACCGAGCUGCCCAACAUCACUAACUCGGAUGUCAUCGGCGCGUUCCUCGCCGCCACCACCUGCCGCGACCUGGUGAGCAAGUUGGGUCGCAAGACCCCCACCAGGGCGAGCGAGCUGAUGGACAUCGCCACCAAGUUCGCCUCCGGCCAGGAGGCGGUCGAGGCUAUCUUCCGAAAGGACAAGCAGCCCCAGGGCCGCCCAUCAGAAGAUGCUCCCGAGGCGUCUACUCAGCGCGGCGCCAAGAAGAGAGGCAAGAAGAAGUCGCAAGCGAAACGCGACGCCGCCGACGCGGGCCUUGUCGCCGCCGCCGAGUACAAGAACCCCCCGGAGGUGCCAACCUCUUCGACAAGAUGCUCAAGGAGCCGUGCCCCUAUCACCAGGGGCCCGUCAAGCACACCCUUGAGGAGUGCGUCAUGCUUCGGCGCCACUUCCACAGGGCCGGGCCACCCGCGGAGGGUGACAGGGCCCGCGACGAUGACAAGAAGGAAGAUCACCAAGCAGGAGAGUUCCCCGAGGUCCGCGACUGCUUCAUGAUCUAUGGUGGGCAAGCGGCGAAUGCCUCGGCUCGGCAUCGCAAGCAACAGCGCCGGGAGGUCUGCUCGGUGAAGGUGGCGGCGCCAGUCUACCUGGACUGGUCCGACAAGCCCAUCACCUUCGACCAAGCCGAUCACCCCGACCACGUGCCGAGCCCGGGGAAAUACCCGCUCGUCGUCGACCCCGUCAUCGGCGACGUCAGGCUCACCAAGGUCCUUAUGGACGGAGGCAGCAGCCUCAACAUCAUCUACGCCGAGACCCUCGGGCUCCUGCGCGUCGAUCUGUCCUCCGUCCGAGCAGGCGCUGCGCCCUUCCACGGGAUCAUUCCCGGGAAGCGCGUCCAGCCCCUCGGACGACUCGACCUUCCCGUCUGCUUCGGAACGCCCUCCAAAUUUCGAAGGGAGACUUUGACGUUCGACACUAGUAAGAAUGUGAUCAUCAGUGACGAUUUUCUAGUGACGCUGGUGACUUCAGUCACAGAUUGAUACAUUUCUAUGACCAAAUUGAUAGCUUCGUCAACAAUUACAAGGGACGAAGAUUAGACUUGAAUAUUAAAGACGAAAAUGAAAGGAACGUCAUAGACGAAAAUGAAAGGAACGUCACAGAUUAAUUUGGCUUGAUCGGCUGACGUAAUACUGAAAUAAAUUGGUCACAGAUGAGUUUUAGUAAAAAACGACCCACUUGUACACACGGCGUGGGAUCCUUGGCCUACAUGGGCCGCAGUUUUUUGGGACACAGCCCCCACCUGGCGACGCGGACCCGGCCCAGUACGAAGCGGCAGUUAGAUAUUUGGCAAAAAAAAGGUGCGCCUGCGGAGCUUCGAACUAGGGACUUGCGGCUUGCGUUAAAUCGUUGCUACCACCAGACUACGGACUUGUUCAUGUAUAUAAAGAAACUAUCCUUUUAUUAAUGUGUUCCCAUCUGUCGUUAUGUUAACAGGUUUCCCAGCCGCCAUUCUGCGAUCUGCAUGGUUCGCCUGUUCUGUUUUUUCCUGGUGCGAUCUGCGCUUCUGCGAUCGGCCGUCAGGUUACGGCACACAACGACGCCGGCGUCUGUCGUCGUCCGCUUGAUCGGCAACUGGGUAGCGUCGCAGCGAACGAGCGAUCUUGUCGCCUGAUCCAUUGAUCCAACUGUGUUGGAAGAACGACGUCGUCUGCAAACAGCGAGGCAGAGAAGCUUCGGGCGCGGCAAAGCAGCGGCGUCUUGCGCAUAGCUACGACGGGCGUGGACAGAACAGCGGCAGGGCGGGGAGAAAAGACAAGGUUUGAUGUGUUGUGUUUUUGACAAUAAGGUUCUAUGUGCGUUUGAAUUUUAUUUCAUAUAUGCAUGUGUUUGAUGUGGUUUUCAAUUUUGUUCGAUGUAAUCAUAGUUAUGGAGUUAAUGCAAGUUUUAAUUUAUUGUCAAAAUAGAUGGGUAGAAGAUGGGUUUAUGGGAAACAAUUCACACCUGCAUAUGUGAAAGGAGUUGAAGAGUUCAUGAAUUUUGUUACUGAAAGAUACCCAGAAGACACAGACAUUCGUUGUCCGUGCGUGAAUUGUCUUAAUCAAAGGUUGCGACCUCAGAGUGAAGUAGAAACUCAUAUACACAUUUAUGGAAUGUCAGCUACAUACACGAGGUGGAUUCAUCAUGGGGAGUCGGCAGAUACAGAAGUUGAGGGUAUAGAGGAGGAUGUCGAAGGAUAUGAUAAUGACUUUGGGAUACAUAUGGAUGUGGACGAUGAUAUUUACGAUGAUGAUCAUGGAGUACCUGAGAUGAUCGGUGAACUGUUUGCAGCGGCAGAGGCUGAUGGAGAAGAGCCAAGAUUUGCAGGAGUUCUUGGAGAUUCAAAGAAGGCACUUAGUCCGGGUUCUAGCCAUUCAAAAUUUUCUUUUAUGGUGAGGAUGUUGUAUAUGAAGUCUCGUUAUCGAAUCAGCAAUACAGCAUUUUCAGCAAUGAUGAAGCUGAUGUCCGAUGGAUACCCUAAUAGUGAGUUGCCAAAAUCAUAUAAUGAGGCCAUGAAAUAUCUUAAAGAAUUGGGCCUUGGAUACGAAAACAUCCAUGUGUGCAAGAACAAUUGUGUGUUGUUUCGGAAUGUUAAUGCUAAAUUGAAUGAGUGCCCAGUAUGCACGGAGUCUAGAUGGAAAGAUGAAACUGGUUCGAAGCGGGUUCCACAUAAGGUUUUGAGGCAUUUUCCACUGUUGCCAAGGUUGAAAAGAAUUUUUGCUUCAAAACAAACUUCAGAGGAAACACAAUGGCACAAGAAAGUGAGGAAGCCAGUCGCCAAUGUGAUGAGCCAUCCAGCUGAUGGGGAAGCGUGGAAGGACUUUGACCGAAAGUACCCAGGUUUUGCAAAUGAUCCGAGGAACCUGAGGCUAGCCUUAGCUACCGAUGGAUUCAAUCCAUUUGGAAACAUGAGUACCCAGUACAGUAUGUGGCCAGUGCUUGUGACACCGCUUAAUCUCCCACCAUGGGAAUGCGUGAAUCCAACAAACUGCUUUAUGUCUUUACUCAUCCCAGGUCCAAGAUGUCCAGGAAAGGAUUUUGAUUUGUUCCUUGAGCCCCUAAUUGAAGAACUGCUGAAGCUAUGGAAGGGUGUCAAGACAUAUGAUGCAUGUACUGGUAGGAAGUUCGACCUUCGUGCUGCUGUACUAUGGUGUAUACAUGAUUAUCCAGCGCUGGCCACGUUAUCUGGGCGAACAACAAAAGGGUAUUAUGCAUGUAUUUAUUGCGACAAGAAUCCGUUGUCUAUGGCAAUAAGGAACAAGUUAUGCUACAUUGGACAUCGUCGUUACCUUAAAAGGACACAUUCAUGGCGGAAUAGCUUGGAUUUCAAUGGUAAGCGUGAAAACAAAGUUGUGCCUGGCAGGUUCACUGUGGAUGAGGUCCUACAAGAGCUAGAGAAGGUGAAAGAUGUCAGACCAGGGAAGCAGGCUGACAUUACUGGAAAUAAAAGGAAGCGUAGUAGUGACGGUCCAAAGAUUUAUAGCCGGAAAUCUGGGUUAUGGCAAUUGCCAUAUUGGAAAGAUUUGAUGCUUCCACAUAAUCUCGAUGUGAUGCACAUAGAGAAAAAUGUAUGUGAAAAUAUUCUUUGCACACUACUUAGUAUACCAGGCAAGUCCAAGGACACACAUAAUGCAAGGCUAGAUUUGUAUGAUAUGGGCAUAAGACCUGAACUGCACUUGCAACAAGAUGGCAACUCGGCCUGCAGGGCUCCACCUGCUCCAUAUGUGUUGGGGAAGGAUCAGAAAGUCGAGUUUUGCAAGUUCCUCAAAGGUAUCAAGUUUCCUGAUGGAUUUGCGGAUAACCUAGCAAGAUACAUAAGUGAAGAUGGUUCAAAGGUGGUUGGAAAACUGAAAACACAUUCUUGCCACAUACUCCUACAGAGAAUCAUAGCCGCUGGCCUUAGAGGACUGGUGAGGAAGGAUGUAUAUGAAGCAAUUGCAGAGCUGGGGACCUUCUUCAGGGAACUAUGUAGUAGAAAUCUACGGAUAGAUGUUGUGCAACGGCUAAAAGGAGAUAUUCCAUUGAUCCUAUGCAAGCUUGAGAAAAUAUUUCCACCUGCCUUCUUUGAUGUCAUGGUGCACUUGAGUGUCCAUCUUCCCGAUGAGGCAAUGCUUAGAGGACCUGUUCAGUAUGGAUGGAUGUACCCAAUAGAAAGGCGACUAGGCACUUUGAAAAAUUUUGUAAGGAACAGGGCUAGGCCGGAAGGAUCAAUUGCUGAGGCAUAUAUGGCAAGUGAUACCUUAACAUUUUGUUCUAGGUACAUGAAGGAUGUUGACACUAGAUUUAACCAGGAUGAUGAUAGUGGUACAGAGAUGCCAUUGCCUAAUGACAUGUCUGUUUUUAAGCAUGGUGCUACUCUUGUUGGAGGUACUAAGACUGAGUACAUUGAUGAUGCUACCAUGAAUAAGUUAGUUUGGUAUGUGCUACAUAAUGCUGAUGAAGUACAGGAAUAUUUGACGUAAGUUAGUUUGGUAUGUGCUACAUAAUUUAUGUUAUGUUUAUUAAAUUUGCAAAUAUGCUUAUGAAUAAAGUAUGCCAUGCAGUCUGUACAGGGAGGAGCUAUCGCAGCAAGGUGCACGUCCAAAUGAUGUUGAUCGAAUGGUUCAACAAGGAUUUGCAAAGUGGUUUAUGUCCCAUGUAAGUCACUAAACUUUUAUGUUAUAGGUUUACUAAAGUUUUGGGUAUGCAUAUGUAAUUGCUCAGCUGAGUAAUUUUGUUGCAACAGGUUGAGAAGAAGCGUAAUGAGAAUCCAGAAUUGGUUAGCGAAGGACUGUGGGCACUGUCAUGUGGCCCAGCUCGGCGAGUUAAGACUAGUACAACUUGCAAGAUUAAUGGAGUGCGGUUUAGCACAGUGGAUCGUGAGAAGUUCAUGCAGACACAAAAUAGUGGUGUAAUGACUGAAGGUGAACAUAAUGGGGAGAACAUAGAUUUUUAUGGUGUCCUUAAAGAGGUAAUUGAGUUACAAUAUAACUCGAAUUAUCAAGUUCGUCGGUCGGUGGUUGUAUUUCGAUGCGAUUGGUACAACCAAGUAGGAAAGACUGUGGGCAUUCGAGAUGACAGCCAUUUCAAAUCCAUCAAUGUGCAGUCAUUUUGGUACAAGUCCGAUCCUUUUAUCUUGGCAGACCAAGCGAAAAAGAUAUUUUACCUGCAAGACACAACUCCACAAUGUAAAGAUUUCCGAGUUGUGCAGAAAUUUGAGCAUAGGAAUAUUUAUGAUGUGGCUGAAAAAUAUGAGGGCAAUAAUGAUGUGCAUCAGGAUGAUUAUUGUUCUGAUACAGACCAUAUAGUGCAAGAAGGUGAUGAUAAUCAGGUUCUGCACAAUGUUGAAGGUGGAGAAGCCAGUCUAAUUGAAGGCAAUUUAGAGGAACUAAUAAGAAAAAAAGAAGGAAGCUGCUAUUAUUCUUAAAGAUAGUGAGGAUGAGGAGGAAGAUGAUACAAUGUUUCAAUAUUUUAAUGAUGGUGGCGAUGACAACAAUGAUGACAUGUCUAUAGAAGAUGAAGAUGAGGAUUUCUAGUAUUGAUAGUUGAUUUAUGAAGUGUUCAGUUCAGAUUAGUACGGAUAGAUGAUACAAUGUAUUUUCUGUAUUUUCAGAACUGAAUGUGUGUCUGAAAUACUGAAUUUGGGGUGAACUGAACUUGUGGUGAACUGAAUGUGUAUUAAUCUGAACAUCUGAGCAAGUUUUAAUUUAUUGUCAAAAUUUAAGCUGGGUUUUAAUCUGAAAAUGCAGAACUCUGAACUGAUCUCUGAAAAUGAAAUGACCAUCUGGGCAGUUUAGAAUCUGAACUUUGAACUGGGCAGUUUAGAAUCUGAUUGCUUUGAACUUUGAACUGGGCAGAGUUCUCAGAUUGCUUGAACUGGGCAGUUUAGAACUCAUUAGUUUAGAACUCAUUAGUUUAGAAUCUGAACUGGGCAGUUUAGAACUCAUUAGUUUAGAAUCUGAACUUUGAACUGGGCAGAGUUCUCAGAUUGCUUGAGAAUUUAUGAACUUUGGCUGGUUUUGUGGAUUUGAAUCUGAACUUUGAACUUUGGACUGAGCUAUAUAUCUCAGAGAACUGAACUUUGAACAAAUAGAUAACCAACAAAUCUGAGCUGGUUUUUUGGAUUUGAAUCUGAACUUUGAACAAAUAGAUAACCAACAAAUCUGAGCUAGUUUUGUGGAAUUGAAUCUGAACUUUGAACAAAUAGAUAACCAACAAAUCUGAGCUGGGCAGCAAUCUGAACUGGGCACCAAUCUGAACUGGGCAGCAGAGUUUACUCUGAACUGAACAAUCUGAAAAUGCAGACUCUGAACUGGGCGCUCGGUUACAUCCUGGACAGAGAACAGUUUAUGCUUAAAUAUAAAUGCGCUCUGUUACUAACGAACAAACGUGACUAGUCCAAUGGUAACUCCUUGCUGCUGUGAACCUUGGCGUCUUGUGUUCGAGCUUUGGGAUAGGUAGGUUUUUUUUGUUUUGUUUACAUUUUUCAAUCAUUUUCGAAUUUUUCUUUUAUUUAUUUACAUGUAUAGCACCUGUUUCUCCAAAUCAUUUCAACCUUUUUUUGGGGUGUUAAUGGAGGUGUACCAUGAUGUUUUGUGCCGGUGCAAUUUUUAGAACUAGUUUAACUAUUAAUGUAAGUAUUUGUUAUUUUACUAAAGAAUAAGUGCUAAAAAACCUUAGGUAGCUAGAAAAAUCUAUAAACUUGCAUGUACACUUCAUUUUGGUGUACAAUGUUGACAAAAACAUGCAAUUUGUUCUGACAAAGUGGUGACAUACAUCCUACAAAAAUGCAUACAGCCCUCAUAUAAGGCUAAUUACUAAGUGAGACAUGUUCAUGCUUGUGAUGGAUCUAUACUACCACUUUCUCCAAAUCAUUUUAAACUUUAAUGGCAUGUUUAUUGAACCAACCUAUGAUGUUGUGUGCAGUUAUGCAUUUUUCAGACCUAGUUUACUAAUUACUGUAAUUAUUUGUUGUAUUUCGUAAAUAUAUUUGUUACAAUACCAUAGCCUAGCUAGAAAACUCUAAAAACUUGCAUGGACCAUUCAUUUUGGUGUACAAUGUUCACAAAAUAGUUUCAACUCAUUCGGACAAAGUGGUGACACACAUCCUAAGAAAGGCAUACAUCUCUCAUACAAGGCUAAUUACUAAGUGAGACAUGUUCAUGCUUGUGAUGGAUCUAUACUACCACUUUCUCCAAAUCAUUUUAAACUUUAAUGACAUGUUUAUUGAACCAACCUAUGAUGUUGUGUGCAGUUAUGCAUUUUUCAGACCUAGUUUACUAAUUACUGUAAUUAUUUGUUGUAUUUCGUAAAGAUAUUUGUUACAAUACCAUAGCCUAGCUAGAAAACUCUAAAAACUUGCAUGGACCAUUCAUUUUGGUGUACAAUGUUCACAAAAUAGUUUCAACUCAUUCGGACAAAGUGGUGACACACAUCCUAAGAAAUGCAUACAUCUCUCAUAUAAGGCUAAUUACUAAGUGAGAGAUGCUAUUGCAAGUGAGAGAUGUAUAGUACCACUAUUGCAAAAAUAUUUCAAAAUAUUAUAACAUGAUCAUAAACCCAACUAAUGUGUCUAUGAAUAGAUAAUUGCAAAACAAAACAUAGAGAUAAAUAAAAAACAAAGAAUUAAUAUAAAAUGGUAUGCAAAACACAAAAAAAGUCUCCUUGCAGGCGCUUGAACCUUGGAGCUCGGCCUUAUAGUUAGCAAGUCAAACCAUUGGGCUAUGCACGUGUUUUCGACAUAUACCCAGCGCUAGUAUACUUAAACGCAUUAGACUCCGCAUUGCCAAACACAUUGGGCGCCAAAAACAUUUUCGCCGUCGUCACUAAAACAGACUCCGCUCUCAUCCUCUAUCUCCCGCACUCCUCUUAUUUCUCCCCCACUCUUCUUUCUCCCCCACUUCUCCAAACCUAAUCGCCGCCGCCGGGACACGACGGCUGUCGACGACCUGCCCCCUCGACCAGGAACCUCACCGCCGCCGCUGGGACACAUUCGCCGUCGACGACCUGCCCCCUCGACCAGGUACCUCACAGCCGCCCCCUUACCUCUAAUUCACUCGCCGCAUCCCGCUCUAUCUCAUUGCCAUCCGCAUUUCUCUCGCCCCUUCCACCUAACACGCCCCAUCCACAUUGCUCUCGCUAACCCCUAAACCCUAACAUCGCUGGAUUUGGGUCAUCGCAGACGACCUUGAUGGUGAACAAAAGGAGGCACAGAAGUCAGAAAGGUCCAACCCCUAAACCCUAAGCAUCGCUAGAUUUAGUUUAAUUAUUCAUUCGUUGUUAUCAGAGAUAUUGUAUAUUGAUUUAUGUAAUCAUUGUGCACUCAUACAGUUGUGUUUGGUUCCUUACAUUGUGUUAUAUGCAGUCACAUCCAUGUUUUAGUAGAGAACUUAUGUUUCUAGUACUGGUAGACAAGGUUCAAGAAAGCGCGAUUAGGCGUGCGAUUAGGCGCGGUUAAGCGCUGCGCAGAGGGUCAACGCAUCGCUUACCUACUAAGCGGGCAAUUAAGCGCUGGCCCUGCUUAAUCGUGCCCAUUCGACAUGUUUAAGGGAGUAGAGGAGGGAGAGGAAGAGGAGGAACACCUCCGGGGUCAAUCCAGCAGGCAGCAAAUCGACGGAUCAACGAGAGAGAGAGAGAGAGCGGACGGACCUACGAUGGCUGCAGGCAGCAGAUUGGUGAGAGAGAGAGGCGGAGCGGCUUCACGGUAGAGGUGAAGAUCGCACGAGGGAGGAGAGGCUUCGGGAGAGGGAGCCGGAGAGCGUACGGCACGGAGGAGGAUAGGCUUCGGGAGAGGGAGGCGGAGAGCACAGGGCGGCGGCGCGGGGCGUGGAAGGAGGCAGCAGAGUACUAGGUCAUCACGGGAGAGGGGUUUUGCGUUGAGCCUCCUGGCAGGUGGGCCUAGUGGGCUGCAGACUCAUGAAGAGAGGAGGUGGGGGUUAAGGGCUGCUGCAGGGUGGCCCAAUAUCAUGUAUUUUUUUCUUUUUUAACAAAAAUGAUUAAGCACGAUUAAUCACGCUUAAGCAUUUUCACCACCAUACCGCUCGCUCAGCGCUUAGUGCUUUCUUGAACCUUGCUGGUAGAAAGAGAUGAGAAUAUCUUCACUUUUUUUGUUCAUCAGCUUGUGUAAAUCUACAUCGCCUAAUCAAUGUACUAGCUAGUACUUUGAACAUUGUUUAAGCCUGCAUAAAGAUUUCCACAACCAAACAGGGGAAACACUACAGUUACAGUGCAACCACAAUUAUGAACUUGCACAAUCAUAACCAAGCUUCAUAAUGACUGAAUCUACACAUCUUAUCUAUUUGCUUUUAGUCAAAUCCUUCCCUGCAAAUAGUAGUACCUCUUAGCUUUUAGUAAAAUCCUUUACAUUAUCUAAUACACACAGUAUGCUUGUUCUUAUCUAUCUUGCAAGUAGUUCAACAUGAGCGAACUGCUUAUGAGAGAAGACGGGAUAAACAAGUGGAGGAGAAUAUAAAGAAGAUGCAAGAUUUGGGUCUGAACAAAUAUACUUCUGUUCUAAAUAAUUCUGUCUCACCAUCUGCAUCAACAAAGGGGAAACAUGCAGCAAACAAGAUAAAUAAUAGUUCAGAUUCGGAUUCAUAUGUCUCUUUCUAUCUCCUUGACGAUGAUGAUCAAGGAGAUACUGAUGAUGACAGUGAAUAUUAUGAGCAGCCAAAACCCCUGGCAAUGAAGGUGCUCCUUCUAUCUUCAAAGUAGUGGAUGCCAAAUAGUUGCAUUGCAUUUCAAUGUUUUUUAUCUGGUGUUUAAUAUAUGCUCAUGCCUUUAGAUUCAUAUUCUUUAUUUCAUACCUCUUAAUUAAUAUAUGGUCUUGCUUUUAAAUGCACAUGACUAUUUUUUUGUGGACAGUAUCCUAGAAGAGGUAGAAACACAACCCUUGCUUCAAAGAAGAAGAUAGACCCCAACAUGGCUCCAGGCAUUAGGUUCAGCAAGAGAGUGAGGGCAGGUGCACAACCAGAGGAGCAAUCUUCAAAAAGGUUUCACUCUACAGAGACAGAUGGCCACAAUGUACAGGAACCAACAGAUGGAAAUGAUCACAUACCAAACAGCCCUACUACACCUGGACUUGCUGAUCAUUUCAGCAGAGCUGCAGAGGAAGCCAUGGCAUCUGCUGCUCAUGACAGUACAGGUGAUGCUGAAGGCAACAGCCGUACUACACCUGGACUUGCUGAUCAUUUCAGCAGAGCUGAAGAGGAAGACAUGGCAUCUGCUGCUCAUGACAGUACAUGUGAUGCUCAAGCCAAUGUAGCUAGAGAUGAAGAAACUGAAGGCAAGUUCUAUUUUUUCAGUCAAAUAAGGCAUCUCUUUUGCUGAUUUGCAUGAAACAAAACAAUUUCAUUAUUCAAUAAAAGCGAAUUAUAUUUUGUAGCUCCUACACAGCGAGCACCAAGGAGACCCAGGGCAGCAACCAAGGGAAAACAACUGGACAGGAUGACUAAAGUUAUGCAAAGGAGACUGCCCAUAGCUGUUGAGGAAGGCAAAAAAAGGCCACAUGAACCUGUUCAAGCUGCCAAGUUUGCAUCAGAGGCUGGCAUCAUUAUUCGGGAAACCAUGCCUAUCCUAACUCGUUGGAAAGAUUACAAGGACGACCAGAAAUACUACAACAGCUUUGUGUCACAGCUAAAUGUAAGUGCAUUACUGAUUCUAUGGUUCACUUGUAUACUGCUUAACCUGAAUUGACUAACUAUGGAAUUGUCAUAUGCAUAGGGGCGCUUGUCCGUUAACACUGAGGACAAGGCAACAAAGGAAGCUUGCACCGAUAUGCUACGCUCUGCGGUAAAAAACCAGCGUUAUCGACUCAAGCAGAAAUACUUCAAUGGUGAACCUGCAAAUGAGAUUAGCACAACUUCUCCUGUAUCUUACAUGACUGAUGAACAGUGGAGGGCAUUAGUUGCAAAGUGGUCUGAUCCAAAGAACAUGGUAUGGGUAUCUUGUCAUAUAUUGUUCUUUCACUAUACGUUUGCAAAGGAUCUUCGCAUAUUGAACCUAUGAUCUAAUCUGACAUGUUCAUUCUCUUGUAGGAAAUAAGUGAAAAGAACAAGCAGAACCGCAGUCAAGUAAAGUUUCAUCAGGCUACGGGUUCUCGCUGCUAUGUGGCACACUUACAUGCAUAUGUAAGUAACUAUUACCUUGUACUACUACCUGCACUUUUGCACUCAACUUCUAUUGCAUUUGAUCUGAGCAAACUUCGCUGUGAUUGUUUAUCCACGAAACAGAAGCAGAAGAGAAACCGAGAAGAACCCAGCUUAGACCAGACUGAAGAACUAGAUGCGGUGGACGCCUUCAAGACCUGUCAUACCAGCUCCAAACGUGGCCUGAGUGAACCGGCAAGAGAAGCACUUGUAAGUUCAUUUGUUUUCUUUAUUUAGUGUAAUUUUUAUGAGAUCAUAUGAGGGAGGCUGGCUGUGGGUCGAUGGAACGAAGGGGAGUGAGAUCGAUGAGUGAGAUCGCUUGUCCCAUCCCAGGGGAGUUCAGAUCAUAGUCUAUUUUGUCUGCCAUUUGUCUGCCAUCAAAUUUCUGAAAUGAAAGUAAAUAUCAUAGUCUAUUUUUUGUAGGACCCGUGCACUAGAAAUGUAUAGGUUUUAGAGUCUUUGUUAAGCAAAUCUGCUAUAAUUUGUAACUGUUUUCACAUUAUUUUUCAUAGUCUAUUUAUAGAGUCUUUCAAAUGUAUAGCUUUUAAUUUGCCAUCAAAUGUAUAGCUUUUAAGCAAAUCUGCUAUAAUUUGUAACUGCUAUAAUCUGCUAUAAUUUGCCAUCAAAUGUAUAGCUUUUAGAGUCUGUCAGUCUAUUUUUCAUAGUCUUUGUUAAUGCCUUGUAGGACCCGUGCACUAGAAAUGAAAGUCACUGUUUUCACAUUAUUGUCAGCAUCUUGCUGUUGCUCAUUAGCAAUAACAUGUAACUGUUUCUGUCCAUGAUAUUUUAGUCUCAUAUGGAGGCUUUGAGGGCUGAACCUGUUGCCGAAGGUGAGAUGCCAGCAUCCAGUGUGCACCUUGUGUCGAAGGUGCUGUCCCAGAGCAGCUCACACCAAUUCCUGAAAAGCGUCGGCAUCAAAACAUCGGCAACCUCCAAGGCUUCAUCAUCAAAUCAUAGUGAGCUUCGGGAACAACUUGCAGCUGAAGCGACGGCUGCUGUUCAAGGUGAACUCGACCAGCUCAGGAAGAAAUGUGAAGAAGCUGAGGAACAGCAGGCGAGGACACAAAGGGAGUUGGAGGAGUACAAGAAGAUAACAGAGAAGAACAGCAAGGAGAUGGAGGAGACCAAUGUGCUCAUCAAGAAGCUCUUGUCCUUGCAUGGUAACUCUUCUUCGACAUGAGGGCUGCUAGUCAGAGCUGCUGUUUUUGGCCUGUUCUUUGACAUGAGGGUACCCAAAAACUCUAGUUGCUCGUGGGUGUCAACUUUUGAUUAUAUGCUGUUAUGUUUGUGCAAACUCAACUGAAAUGUGAACUCAAGUGGUGAUGCUAUGAACUGAGUUUAGUGUUGUCCACUUAGUUUGUAUGCGCACUGGAAUACUAGUUGUAUUCAUCUAUGGAAUAUGGAAUUGUGUGCUCAUUCCUCUGUUCUAGUAUAUUUUGCAAUUUCCAAUAAAAUUAUUCUCUGCACAUCUGUGACCAAACUGGUGGCAUAUAAUAAAACAUAUGCCACGUCAGCUGCCACUGUACUAGCCACGUCAGCGUUACGUCAGCGCUGACGUCAGCUGCCACGUCACUAUCCACGUCAGCGCUGACGUCAUACGCAUCAGCACCUUCCAAACGGCUGGUAAUGACCAAACCACGGCUCUAUCUGUGACGAUACCUUACCGUCACAGCAACCAAACGACGUUAACAACGCCGUCAGUUUGCUCGGGCAGACGACGCAUUAUGACGGAAAAGUGUCUUCCUCUAUGACCACAACUGAUCGUCAUAGCAUGCAUUCACUUCCAUGACAACGCGACUUUCGUCACAGAAUGUAUACACAUCGAUGACGAAACUGAGUAGUCCGUCACAACACAACAAAUGUGACGCGACCCCUAUGACCAAAUCGAACUCGUCACAAAUUCGUCACAAACCUUACUCUGUGACGAUAUAUACACAUGCAGUGACGCAAUACGAACGUCAUCGAUGAUAAGAUCUCUACUAGUGCGAGGUGGUCGGGUUCCGAGGAACCUACCACGCGGUACUGGGAAGGCCAUGCUACGCGAAGUUCAUGGUUGUCCCCAACUACACCUACCUGAAGCUCAAGAUGUCGGGCCCCAACGGGGUCAUCACCGUCGGCCCCACGUACAAGCACGCGUUCGAAUGCGACGUGGAAUGCGUGGAGUACGCCGAGGCCCUCGCCGAGUCCGAGGCCCUCAUCGCCGACCUGGAAAGCCUCUCUAAGGAGGUGCCAGACGUGAAACGUCAUGCCGGCAACUUCGAGCCAGUGGAGACGGUUAAGGCCGCCCCCCUCGACUCCAGCGGCGACGCCUCCAAGCAGGUCCGGAUCGGCUCUGGGCUCGAUCCCAAAUAGGAAGCAGUGCUCGUCGACUUUCUCCGCGCAAACGCCGACGUUUUCGCGUGGAGUCCCUCGGACAUGCCCGGCAUACCGAGGGAUGUUGCCAAGCACUCGCUGAAUAUUCGGGCCGGAGCCCGACCCGUCAAGCAGCCUCUGCGCCGAUUCGACGAGGAGAAGCGCAGAGCCAUAGGCGAGGAGAUCCACAAGCUAAUGGCGGCGGAGUCCAUCAAAGAGGUGAAAAGCGCCAAGCUCAAUCCUGGUCUUGGGGUUUAUCAUCUCCAGGCGGGGCAUCGAAGCCCACCCGGAGAGGAUCGCGACCAUCGCACAGCACCCCGAGCCCUUGUUGGGAGCACCCGGGGGCUACACACACCCCCGGGAAGGACCGCUUGUCAUCACCAACGUUCUGAAGCUCGGAACGUACAAGCUGGCCAACAGUCAAGGCGGGGUCUACGGCAACGCUUGGAACAUCCAACAGUUACGUCGCUUCUACCCUUAAGAUGUUUUCAAGUUGUUCGUAUACCUCGCUCCCACGCAAGUCUUAGUCGUCAAGGAAGGGUCAGCCUCGCCUCGGUAGAGCCUGACCCUCCCUCGGGGGCUAAAAAGGGGGGAACCCCUCUGCGUCCAAAAUUUUCAAUCAAAAAGGCUUUUACGUUCCCCCGGUUAUGUCAGAAGCAGGACCCCAAGGAGCGAACGUGGGUGCAUGUAAGUGGCAAGGCCGACUGAGCCGAGGUACUCCCAUGCCUCCGGGUUAGGGACAUCUCACUCGGCUUCUGACCCCAAGGAGCAAACGUGGGUGCAUGUAAGUGGCAAGGCCGACUGAGCCGAGGUACUCCCAUGCCUCCGGGUUAGGGACAUCUCACUCGUCACCCGCCACGAAAAGUGACCCCUACUUGGGGAAGCAACCCUGCUACUGACAGGCGAAGCUGGACACGCAAAAUAAAAGGAAAAGAAGUACGACUUCAUGCAACAGUAACAAAGUGUUCAGGCCUCAGCGGCCACAGAAAGACACACGCGCAUCCAACAGAAACUGUUCCAACAAGUUAGGCGUCGCCUUGGGAAGGAUCCGCGCCUUCAGCUCCGUCCCCACCUUCAACGAGGUUCAUCUCGGCUUCCAGCGAUGGCGCAGGUGGGAGGAUCUCCGCUUCAAAGGUGGUCGCCAGCACUGCGCUCGGACCCGCGGCGGCCGCAUCGAGCCUCUGGACUUCUGCCAGGGCGGCUUCAUCUUCGUCGGGAAGGCAAUACCCCUCGCUAACCCGCUCCAGGUCCACAACAUAGUGGGAAGCGAGAACGGCGAAGGCCCGCCUGACGCCGUGGUGUAGCGCCUCGCGGAGUCUGCCGCGCACAUGAUCGCCCAAGACUUGAAGGCGACUUUGAGGGGAGCUUCCUGAGGGGACGUCGCCGAAGCCAAGGAUCCGGUAAACGUCCGAGACGGCUUCGGACAUGGCCGUGUGGUCAGCCUCCCUCUGCUCGGCCGCCCCGGCAAGCGCCUCGGCAAGUGCCUUGGCGGACUCAUCAAGGGCGGACUCGAGCUCUGCGAACAGCCAGAAGAGAGAUCUCAAACACAAGCAGAGGAAACAAACAGGAACGAAAACCAAGGAUGGCCAAGGCGUACCUCUGGCUCGGGCACGCUGCUCCGAGGCUGCGACCUGGGCUACGGCUAAGUCGGCUGCAAGGGUUUCGGCCCGGCUUUCGGCCUCGGCAGCCCGACCUCGAGAUUGGUCCCGCUCCUCAACGACCCGGUCGAACUCCGACCGCUGUCGUUGCGCUUCUGCACGCGCCGCGGCCGCCUCCGCGCGCGCCGCUGCCGCCUCGGCCCUCAGGUCGGUGCAGAGCAACUGGAGGUCCGCUACCUCGGCACCCUGCUGAGAAAGGCGCGCAGUAGCCCCGGCGAGCGAGGUCCUCAGGGAUCGCAGCGAGCCCCAGAUGUCGACCUCGCGGCGGAUGAACGACGACUUGGCGGCGCUCCGAUCCGUCAGAUCCUGAGGGAAGGAAGCGGGGCGUCACGAAGAACGCCUCGGUCACAGAAGAGAAAAGGUAUGCCUGAAGCCAUUACCUGGAGGAUUUUGGGGAUGUCCCUGCAGAAAACCUCCAGCGACGACCGGAGCGACCCCACCGUUGCUUCAGCACACUCGUGGAGCUCAUCCCAGGACUGGUUCUCCCGUUCAUCGUCGAGAACGAAGACGGGGUCCGAGGCCUCACGGGUCCAGAACCGGAGCAACUGGCGCCGGCCCUCGGAGCUCUGCCGCACAACGACGAGGCUGCCGCUCGGCGGGACGGAUUGCGUCUCCACGCCCCCCUCUACCGAGGCGCCAAGCACCAACGCAUCAGCCGUCUCAACGUCGGCAGCAACCGAUCGCUCUCCGACUGGGACGGCGGCGACUUCAGUAGCGGCAGGCGCCGGCAUGGCCGGCACAUCCGGUGGGCUCGGGACCACGUCAGUGUCAGCCGCCUCCUCUAUCACAAUGGCCGCCUCGGCAGAAGAGCCAGCCUCGGGAACCUGCUCCACGGCGACCGGUGCCGCCUGAGCCCCCUGCGGUGGAACGCCUUGCGAGAAGGUCGGCUGGACGGCAAGGCCUGGAGCGGCGCUGGCUACGCGAGCCGGCGCCGUCUUAAGGGCCUUCCGGGGUGCCAGGUCGGUCAGGCCAUGGCUCCGCUUGCUGAGGGAAAAAGGAAAAUCACGGCCGGGACAUAUGAAUGAAAAGCCAGGACGAAGACAUUCCGAGAUACUUACCCGCUCCGGGCCAUGAUCAACCGUGCCUGGGGGGAAGUCUCUUGGACCUCGACCCCCGGAACCGCCGCCGAGGUCCGCUUCACCGGCAGCUUCGGCACCACCCUUGCUUUGAGCGCCCUGGACGCCCGGGGGGCGGACUGCCCAGGCACUGUCACGGCGACCUGAGGGUCGCUCCUCUGCGCUGCCGGUGGCUCUCGGGGAGCAGACGCUCCGGCCUGGCCCCCCGGGGUCGCCUCAGCUCUUCCAGCCGAGGGGUCCGGUACCCUCUCGGAUUGCCCCCGCCCCUCGGGCUGGGACCUCGGCGUCUCGACCCCGGGGACUGACAGCAUCAGCCCGCUCGGGGGCUGGUUUGACGGCUCCUGGCCAAACCCCAAGCCAAGGCUGAGGCCGAGGCGUGCAGCCAUGUCGUCCUCCUCGUCAUCAUCUUCAUCAUCGUCGUCGUCGUCGGGCGUUUCCGGCGACGGCUCCCUCGGGAGCCCCUCCCUCUCCUGCCGGCGACGAAGCUUCUCCAAGGCGUCUCGGGCCCGCCUCCGCUCACGGGCCCGGCCCUUCUCCGCGUCCUUCUUCUUCUUCUUCUCCUCCGCGGCGACCCGCCGCGCUGCUCGGUCCAUCACAUCCUGCGGGACCCGUGGCAGGGAAGGCUUGUGCCACCCCACCUCCUAAAGAAGGGGGAAAACCCCAACCGUAAGAACCAGGAGCAACCCGAUGCAAGAGGAAGGAAGAAGCGGACACUCACCAGAGUCACGCACCCUUGGUCUGGGCGCAUCAAAAGCUGGGAGUAGGCGGUGGGGUCCAGCUUCCCCAACGCGACGGACACCCGCCCGUGGAGGGCGUCGAAGGGAAGAGGAUCAGAGGACAUCCGCGAGCCCUCCAAGUCAGCCUCCAGUGUCAUCUCCCAAAGCGACAGCCGUCGCUCCGCCAAGGGAAGCACCCUCCGACGGUGGAUGGCGGCGAUCACUCCCGCAGCGGUGAGUCCCCCCUUCCGCAACGCCUCCAAGGCAUGGAGAAGGGGUUCAAGGUUCUUCUGUCUUUCGUGCGGGGUCCCGUGGCGCCAAGCGUCGGUGGCAGUGGUGACUACUCGCUGGGAGAACGACGGGAGCAACUCGCCGUCAUUCCGGAGGUAGAACCACCAGCGCUGCCACCCCUUGUUCGAGGACGCGAGGAUGGCAGGAAUAUACAGCGACGCCCGCGACUGCCUCAGCAGGAGGGUGCAGCCGCCGGCCCGCACCGCUGCGCGGACUUUCCUCUCCCCCGUCGGCGAGGCAAAAAGCUCCGCGAAAAAGAGAUGGGUCCACAAAUCCCAAUGGGGGGCGAUCCCCAAGUACCCCUCGCACACCGCUACAAAGAUGGCGGCCUGCGAAAUGGAGUUGGGGGUGAGGUUGUGCAGCUCCACCCCGUAGUGGUGCAGGAUCGCCCGCAUAAAGCGGCCCGCCGGCACACCGAAUCCCCGCUCGUGGAAGGAGACGAAGCUCACGAUGUACCCCGGCGGUGGGGACGGAGCGGCUCCGCCCAUGGGAGGAAUCCAUUCCGGUCGCUGCUCAUCGGUGAGAGGGCGAAGUAAACCCUCGCCAACCAGAUCCUCUAGAUCACUCGCCGUCACCGUGGAAGAAGGCCAUGGAUCGAGCGGCGAGAUGAUGGUCACCCGGUCAGCCAUCACCGAGCGGAAGGGAUGGCGGCGCAAGGGGCAGGAAGGGCGGUUUCCUCUUCUCUGGCUAAGUCUCUCGGGUUGCGAAAACCUAAGAGGGAGGCAGGAAGCGGAGCAAAGAACCGUCACCAGACCCUCUCCCGGGUAUAUAAAGACCAAGGCGAGACCGGUUCAAACGUUCCGCCCGGACCGGACGCGGGAUUCGAAAACGCAAAGCGAAACAGCCGUUCCCCGGACGGCUCGCGCACGCGCAACGGUCGCCCCGCCAACCACUCGCCCCGUCGCAUUAACUCCGCGGCGGGACAGGCGGCGCCUCAGGCAGGAGAAGCGGGCGACGUUUCGCCUUCGCCGUAAUAACCGCGCCAAAAAAGGUACGCCGCGUCGUUCGAUUUUGUAUCCUUUUCCUUUUUUCCUCUUUCUCUCUCUUGCAACAGGGACCGGGAAAGGGGGAUACCCCGAAAAGGAUCCUUCCCCGUGAAGGAACCAGGCUCCGAGCCUCCCUACUGAUCAGAGGUUCGAAGGCUGGCCCCCCGAAGGGUUCGACAGCCGCCUUAGAUCGCGUGGGCCCUACACCCACUACUGGUCAGAGGUUCGAAGGCCGGCCCCCCGAAGGGUUCCACGGCCACCUCAGGCUACUCGGGCUCCGCGCCCAUUACUGAUUAGGGGUUCGAAGGCUGGCCCCCGAAGGGUUCACAGCCGCCUCAGACGCCGAGCGAGGGAUGACCAUGGGUACGUUCGAUACAUAACCAAGGCUCGGGCUGCGCUCCCGAGGUACCCUAGGACAUUUCCUGUGGCAGAACCACCCGAAUUAUUCCAGCUUAAGUGCCUAAGUCACGCCUCAGGGGCCGUAGCACACUUAAAUCGGAAUAACCCGUCAGUCCCUCAGAUCUAGUCUGAUAGAGCCACUUAACCAGGAUCAAAUUCCACAAUCUCACUCGAAGAUGAGUCACAGAAGAAAUACAAUAAAACAGGAAACCUCAAAUUAAGUACGGAGUUAUUACAUAAAUCGGAGUUUUUGGAGUAGCAAAUAAAGUUCACAACUUAAAGUGCAGCGGAUAAUCGAUGUCGUCGGUAACGAGGAAAUGGGCAAGGCCUAGCCCACUACUCCUCAUGCUCCUCUCCUGCCGGAGCAACAUCCCACUCGACCGUCCAACCCGGUGGCAGGGUGGUAGGCCAAGUCACACCAUCAACUACAUCCUGCAUGGUACCUGCAAAAAUGGUGCCACAAGCAAGGCUGAGUAUACUAAUACUCAGCUAGACUUAACCGGUGUGAGGAGUCUACUCCUCUACCUCUAGACUAUGCAGCUGUUUGGCUGAGGGGUUUGGUUUGCCAAAAGCACUAGCUGUUUCUAAAAUCAACUUUUAGCUUUUCAGAUUCUACCAUCAUUAACUUAGCUAGAUUUGCUCCUUCUAAGCAUACAUGGUAACAAGCAAUUAGUUCAAUCAACAAGUUAUCUCAUGUAAUCCACAUUUCACUUCUUACUCGAUGCAGUACAAGGAAUCAAGCAGUCUCAUUAGCUGCGAGAAGCAGACGAUUCGAAUCGAGUUUUAAACCUUGCAAGGUAAACCUAAACACACGGCAUGUCAGGGUACUCCGACCCCACACAUGACAACCGUCCCCAUUGAUUCCCCGUUCGCGUCCAGGCCUCACCGCCUUGGCAUACAAUGCUCCACUGACCCCGGCUGCCGCCGUGCAGUGACCGCACUUGUAUCCACCAUAGCUAGCAUGGGAGACCCAGUCUCAGGUCGCAUGAGGGAUAAAGUCCGCGCCCGGCUUCACUCAGGUACUAGGUUUACCGGUUACCAUUUUUCCCGGCAUGUGCUUAGUACGUUCAAAAGCUUGACUCAGGUAUCCACACAUUAAUCCUUAAUUCAUUUUUCCCGUCUCAUGGACAAGGCAUCCUCCCUGGAUCCAAGUCCAUAGACCAACAUAUAUCCCAUUAUCAAGAUGAAUACAAUCAAUUCCUGACCUCGCGCGAGUGCUAGAAAAAUCACUCGACUUCUACCGAGAUCCUGAUUAGCAAGCAGCUACUCGACCUAGCAUACUAGUAUUCAUCUCAAAAAGGAGUCCUAAGUUCAUGCAACUAGAGGUUUCAAGCAACUCCUACACUUAAGUGCACAUUACAGUCCUACAAGCAUUAAGUGUAGUAAAGUAGCAUAUAAUAACAUGGUUAUGCAUAAAACCGGGGCUUGCCUUCAACUGCUGGGGCUGCGGGGAGAUCCUCAAUAGCAGCCUCUGAAGCCUGCUCCUGGUCCUCCUCUUGGACAGGUCCUUGCUCGGGGAUGAGCACGUACUCUCCGUCGGCAAGAUUACAAUCUAAUGAAUGCAAUGCGUAAGAUAUAUGCAUGAUACCAUAUGUGCUUUAGAAUUUACAACUUUUAAAGAUGUAGGGUCUUUUGAAUUUAAACAAGUUAACCUUACUUAUGUAAAACCCUUUUAGUGGUAUACUUAGUAAAUUGGGUUGGUUUUAAUGGGAUGAGGUUUAUUCCUUCUUCUCUUUUCUUUUAUUCUCUUUAAUGUUUUGGAGUAGGUUUGAACUACAAGUUGCUUUUAUAGAAUUCCAAAAAUUUUGAAAAAAUUACAGUGGCUUGCUACUGGUGUGUGCUUCUCUGUCACAAAAUUUGGGGUUCAGAAAGUGAAUGGUUUUCUCUGGACAAAAUUACCAAAUUUUAGGGCAGAAGGGGUACUUUGAACUACAACUAUUAUUUAACAGUGAGUAAUUCUCUAAAACUUAUUUUUGCUGGCUUUUAGGUGUCAUAACAUGACUUUAUACAAAUUUCUAGUCAUUAAUACCCUUUAAUUCUUUCCCUAUGAUUUUCUUAAGGUUUCUAGCCAAAGGGGUGCUUUCUACUACCACUAUGUUUGAAAAACAUCAAACAACAGAGUUCUUAUUUUUCUUAGCUAGUAUUUUGUGCAAGAGCAAUCAUUCUGAAGUUUGGUUUCUUUUUGCUUAAGGGAAGGAGUGGUUUGCAUUAUUUAAGUCAAAUGGUCUUUCUCACAAAUUGCUAGCAAAAGGCAUGGGUUCACUUCUUUUUCAUGGGUUUGUAUUUUUCUCUGGUGGUUUAUCUCAUCAUGGACUUAGCUAAUUUUUGGUUGCCCAUUAUCUCAUUAUUUGAGGUUGUUUAUGAUUUAUUGGGAAAAUGCCUUAUUACCACUUUAUAUUUAUUUUCCUUACUUAAAAAGUUAGGCUGGGGUGCUCUGUAUUUUUGUAGUGGGGCUCUGGUGGUUAUAAGUUCACUGGAUUUUUGUUAACCACUUUGGUUAUAGUUUUGCAAUUCUAAUAAUUGAUUUUCAGUCUACAUAAGGCUAAUUAAAGCAUCUUAAUUAGAAACUAGUCCUAAUUAAUGGUCUCUGCAUUUUUCCUAGGUUCUUGGUUGCAUAAGUAAACUAGGAAAAAUAUUACUAAUCACUGUUCAACAUUUUCUAAUGCUUUUCUGAUUUUCUCUAAAUUGUGGACAAAAUGGCUUUAAAUGAAAAACUACAUCAUAAUCUCUAGUGCUGGGGAUCCUACUAUUUUUAAACAAUGUCUAAUUAGGGUAUAAGCAUCUACAAAUUUUCUUAAGCUCAGCACAAAAGAAAAACUAAUUUUCCUUAAUUAAACAAGGUUUAGGGGGUUUCUGUUUUUAAUUUUUAACUCUAAAAUUUAGAACAGAAAGCAUAUGGUUUAAUAAUUUUAAAUGAUAGAUCAUAAUAUUCCAGAGCUAGCAAAAUUGGUUUGACAGUUUUUCAUUAAGAUUUCAUCGAGUUAUGAAUUUUCUAAGUUCUCUGGUUAUUUUAAAAGAAUAAUAGAAUUGAUUAAAGGGAAAACCACUUUGCACUGGGGUCCCUGGCGGUUUUUCUAGGUUUUCCUCGCGAAUCAGUCCUUAGGUUACUAUUCAUAUGGGUCGCUGACAUUACAGAAAACCCCUCGGGUUCUACAAAACCUAACCCGAGGUCCUUCUUCUACCUCAAACAGUAGCCGCGGCGAAGAAAAGGGCGGAGGGGCUUACCGGCGGCGAGACUGUUCCGGUGAAGUGGUCGAGGAUGAAGGGGAGGUCGCGGGGAUCACAACGGUGUGCGGAACGUCGACGGAGAUGGCCGGAGUUGGUCGGUCCACGCGCGCAGGCGGGGAUGCUCGUCGGCGGCGAGGAGACCGGCCUGAUCACGGCGAGGUAGUUCAAUCAAAUAGGUCAGAGAGGUCCACGGGAUGCCAGAGAAGACAUGAGCGAAAGGAAUUGGGCGGAGACUCACUGGAUAGCUCGGUCCACGCGCGGCGGCGGAAGACCGAAGUCCGGUGAGGUUGAUCUCGGGCCUCCGGUGAAGUCCGGUCGGGUCCGAGGGCUUGGCGAGCUUCACGGGCUACUGGCGGAGCUAGCCGAAGCACAGGUUGGGCUGGAGGGCGGCUGGAGUGAGCUGGCCACGGUGGCCGUAGCUCUGGCGGCAAUGGCGGGCGGAAAUACGCUCGCCGGAGCUAAGGAACGGUGGCUGGCCGGUGAGGGUGAGUGCGGGGCGAAGAGAGGUGCGCUCGGGGAGGCUUUAUAGGCGCGGGCGGGCACGACCGAGGGCGUGGGCGCGCGGCGGACUUGACCGGACGCCGGGGCGAGCGCGCGCGCGGGUUGGGCGAGCUCUGGCGUGCCGACCAGGGUCGAACACGUGUGCCCGUGCGUUCUGCCCAAGCUCUGGCGCGUGUGGUCGCUCAUCCGAGCCUGCUCUCGCCUUGGUCAGUGCACGAAACCUCUUCUCCUCCCUACAAGCUACCAUUCUUGUGUGGAGGUCAUAGGAUUUUGCCUACUGGUUGCAGAGAUAUGGAGCCAGGAAAUCUGGUCUGUCUCCCUGCCUAAACCCGAGGCAAAUCCCAAGUUUUGUCGUGUCUAGGGCUCGCGUCCCAAUGCCAUCUUCUGGCACACGACAGAGGGGUUAGUUAGACACAAAUUUGUCAAUGGGGCCAUUAGGAUUCGAGUUAGGGAUCAAGGUGAACAUCCCUGAUCUUUGGCUCAAGGUCUGAAUUUCAGAAUUCUGAAAUUCAGAAUUCCCAAUGAGUCCCAACAAAAGAAGCUUGAUUUGGGGGUUUUCUUGAAUUAUUUUGGCUAAGCUUUCUCAAUCUAUUUUGUUGCUUAUCAAAUAUACUUUAACUUAUAUAAUUGGCUUAACUCAAAAUUUUAAACUUUUCAUUCCCUUUUGCUUAUUUUCUUGAAUUUUGUUCAUGGGGUUCACUUAGAGUUCUUAAUUAGGGUUGCACAUUCUUAUCUUUUCAAAGACUCAAUUGUUUUGAUCAUGACACUUUUAAACAUAUACUUGGUGAAUUCUUUAUCACUUAAGUUAUCUUGAUGCUCAUGCUUACUUUGGUUCACAUAAAAUAAUGGCUCUUGGUGUGGCUUUUUAAGAGAAACCCUAGGUGACACUGGGGUGUCACAGCCUUCCCCCCUUAAAGGAAUCUCGUCCCAAGAUUCAGGCCAGAGUCCUCUCGGGGUGAAGCGAAGGGUGAGACUGAUAGGAAAAAGGGUGAUGAUUGUUAUUAUUAGGAUAAACUGCUCUUCGAAUGUCAUUCUCUUCGCAACUUCAGAAGGAAGUCCUUUUAAGUUUUACUUUAUAGUUACUUCAUUCUGAAUUAAGAUCAUAUUUUUGGGAAUUAGAUUCGAAAGGCAGGACGAGGGGUUGGGGGUGAUUACAUACCAGCUUCCUUAGGUAGGCAAUCGGGGAAGUUGGAUCUUAAGAAUUCCUCGGUUUCCCAAGUAGCUUCCUCCUCUGAGUGAUUACUCCACUGGACCUUGAACAUCUUGAUCGAUUUAGCCCGAGUUGAUCUUUCCUUGCAAUCCAGAAUCUUGGAGGGGUACUCUUGGUACGAGAGAUCUGGCUCUAUCUCCAAUUCUGGCUCUGCUAGAAUCUCAGUCGGCAAUCGAACACACUUCUUUAGCUGAGAUACAUGGAAAACACUGUGAAUGGCAGACAUCUUUGAAGGUAACUUCAGCUUGUAUGCCACUGGUCCACAUGCUUCAAUGAUCUCAUAAGGUCCAAUGUAACGAGGGGCUAGCUUGCCUUUGAUUCCAAACCUCUGCACUCCCUUGGUGGGUGAUACCUUGAGGUAUACAAAACUUCCCACCUCGAACUGGAGAGGUUUCCUUCUUCUGUCAUGAUAGCUCUUCUGCCUGGCCUGAGCAGCUUCUAGAUUCUUCCUGAUCAGCUUGACCUUCCUUUCGGCUUCAGUUACCAAAUCAGGUCCAAAAACUUCUCUUUCACCAGGCUGAGACCAAUUGAGUGGUGUCCUGCACCUUCUUCCAUAGAGAGCUUCAAAAGGUGCCAUCUUUAGGCUGGACUGAUAACUAUUGUUAUAAGCAAACUCUGCCAAGGAGAGGUGCUUAUCCCAGUUCUUGCCACAAUCGAUCGCACAAGCUCUCAGCAUAUCUUCCAGAAUCUGGUUUACCCUUUCCGUCUGACCAUCAGUCUGUGGGUGGUAAGCUGAACUCCUGAUUAGCUUGGUUCCCAAAGACUCUUGCAUUUGUUCCCAAAAUCUGGCAACAAAUUGGGCUCCUCGGUCAGAAACAAUGGUCCGAGGUAAUCCAUGCAAACACACGAUCCGGUCGAUAUACAAUUCUGCAUACUUCUGAGCCUUAUCAGUGGUGUGCACAGGAAGAAAAUGUGCACUUUCGUCAAUCGGUCCACAAUAACCCAAAUUGAAUCAUGAUGACGAGAGGUGUUGGGUAGACCCACAAUGAAAUCCAUGCUGAUAUCGUCCCACUUCCACGAAGGUACGGACAGUGGUCGCAAAGCUCUAGCGGACUUCAAGUGGCUUGCCUUAACCCUCUGACAGGUGUCACACUCUGAUACAUACUGGGCUAUCUCCCUCUUCAUUCUGGUCCACCAGUAUAAAAGCUUCAAAUCAUGGUACAUCUUGGUGCUUCCCGGAUGCAUAGAGAAUUUGGAGAGGUGAGCCUCAUCCAAAAUUUUCUUCUUGAGAUCCUGGUCCUUAGGAAUUACCAAUCUGCUUUUGAACCAUAACACACCCUUCUCAUCCUGGCGGAAACAAUUAUACUUCUCAACCUUCUGAUGGAGAUUCUUCUUGAUAAUCUGCACUCCCUUGUCACUGAGCUGGGCCCUGAUAAUCUGGUCUUGCAAAGCUGGCUCAACAGAAAUGUGAGACAAAGAACCAGAAGGAAUCACUUCAAUUUGCAUCUUGCUCAACUCAUCACACAAGGUGUUAACACGAGAAUCCAUCAGAAUACAGUUGCAUUGCAACUUCCGACUCAAGGCAUCAGCUACUACAUUAGCUUUCCCUGGGUGAUAAUGUACCUCCAGGUCAUAAUCCUUGAUCAGCUCUAGCCAUCUUCUCUGCCUCAUGUUGAGAUCAGCCUGAGUAAAAAUGUACUUAAGGCUCUUAUGAUCAGUGAAGAUGUUGCAGUGGGUUCCCAUUAGAUAGUGCCUCCACAUCUUCAAUGCAUGAACCACUGCUGCUAACUCAAGGUCAUGAGUGGGAUAAUUUUGCUCAUGAGGCCUGAGUGCUCUUGAGGCGUAAGCAAUGACUCGGUUGUCUUGCAUCAAGACACAACCUAGCCCGGUGCCAGAGGCAUCGCAAUACACGUCAAAAGGCUUGCUGCUGUCGGGUUGCGCCAAUACUGGUGCUGUGGUCAGAUGCUGCCUCAACGCAUGGAAGGCAUCUUCGCACUCCUGACUCCACACAAACUUGACUUCUUUCUUCAGCAACUCAGUAAUAGGCUUCGCAAUUCGAGAGAAGUCCGGAAUAAAUCUUCGGUAAUAACCGGCCAAUCCCAGAAAACUCCGAAUCUGGCGAACAGUCGUUGGUGGCUUCCAAUUCAUCACCUCUUGCACUUUAUCAGGAUCAACAGCUAUUCCAUCCUGAGAGAUAGUGUGACCCAAGAAUUUGAUUUCCUUUAGCCAAAAAUCACACUUGGAUAGCUUGGCAUAAAGGUGGUGCUCUCGCAGACGUUGAAGCACUACAUGCAAAUGCCCGGCAUGUUCUUCUUCGUUCUUCGAGUACACCAGAAUAUCAUCGAUGAAAACCACUACGAACUUGUCCAAUUCUGGCAUGAAAACAGAAUUCAUCAGAUACAUGAAGUAUGCUGGUGCAUUUGUCAGCCCGAAUGACAUCACCAAGAAUUCAUACAGCCCAUAUCUGGUUGAGAAUGCCGUCUUCGGAAUAUCGCUUGCUCGUAUUUUGAUCUGAUGGUAGCCAGAGCGAAGGUCUAUCUUGGAAAACACCUUGGCCCCGACCAACUGGUCAAAGAGAACAUCAAUACGAGGCAAAGGAUACUUGUUCUUGAUAGUUACCGCAUUAAGAGGGCGGUAAUCUAUACACAGCCUCAAGCUUUCAUCCUUCUUCUUUACAAAUAGCGCUGGACAUCCCCAAGGCGAAGUGCUUGGGCGAAUAAAUCCCUUAUCCAGCAACUCUUGCAACUGCUUCUUCAACUCUGCCAACUCAGCGGGUGGCAUUCGGUAGGGCCUCUUGGAAAUUGGGGCCGUUCCCGGUUGCAACUCGAUGGCAAAUUCAAUAUCCCGGUCCGGUGGCAUUCCUGGCAAUUCAUCAGGAAAGACAUCUGCAUACUCACAGACCACUGGGAUCUUCUUCAGGGGUAACUCCGUCAUAGAGAAAGCACAUGACUGAGAAGAACCCUGACUAGGCAGAAUCAAAGUGAAAUUCCCGCAGAAAGGAGAAUUAACUUCCACGGUACGACUGGCUACAUCAAGCACAACUUGGUGCAAGGUCAUCCAAUUUGCUCCUAGAAUAAUGUCCACAUUUUCCAAUCCCAACACAAGAAGAGUGGUUUUGAUAAUGUGGCUUCCCAGUUGAAUAGGCACACUUUGGUUUAAUUGAUUAGUUGCAAUUUUACCCCCAGGUGUGACUAUCAUGAAUGACCCUUUUGAGUGAGAGAAUGGCAGUUUGCAAUUAGCACUGAACUUUUGGCUAAUGAAACUAUGAGAUGCACCAGAAUCAAACAGAAUUAAAGCAGGUUGAUUAUAAACUGAAAAGGUACCGGUCAUGAUAGGAACUCCUUCUGGCACUUCCUCUAGAGCAGUGAAGUUGAGCUUCCCUUGCCUGACUUGCACCUUCUGCUUUCUUCCCUUGUCUUGAUUUGGUGCUGGCAUCUGCCUCUGCUGGUUCCUGGGACAAUUCUUGGCAUAGUGGCCCACAUUGCCACAAGUGAAACACUUGUUCCCAUUGCCCUGGCGGAACUGCUGCUGCUGUGGAGGCUGAUUGUUCCUUGGGGCGGGAGCUGGAUAGCGGUUGGGUGCCGGCUGCUGCUGCUGCUGAGGUGGCCUGAUCACCCAUCUGCCUGCCUGCUGCUGAAAACCCCUGCUCUGAUUGUGAGAAACAAUCCGGAACCUUUGAGCCUGAGUGGAUGGUGCUGCCAUUGGUGCCUUCCUCUUCUUCUCUGCCCGGUGAGCAACAAUGCAAUCCUCCUGAGAGAUGGCCAUGUUGACCAACUCAUUGAAGCUAUCGGCCCAGACAGUGUUGAGUCGUUCCCGCAGCUUGGUAUUGAGACCCCUGCGGAAGCGAUCCCUCUUCUUUUCAUCAGAAUCAGCAUGAUACCCUGCAUACUGGCAUAAGUCGUUGAAGGCUUGCGCAUACUGCAGUACCGUGCGGGUUCCUUGAUUGAGGGCCAGGAAUUCAUUCAACUUCCUAUCAAGAAUGCCAGCUGGAAUGUGGUGUCCUCUGAAGGCAGUCUUGAAUUCCUCCCAAGAUACUUCACGAUCAGCGGGGAGCAUAGCACGGAAGUGGUCCCACCAAGUCCGAGCUGGGCCGCGAAGCUGCUGUGCGGCGAAGCGAGCCUUGGCCUCAUCAGGGCAGUCUCCCGUGAGGAGGGGAAACUUGGACUCGACGACGCGAAGCCACACGUCGGCGUCCAACGGAUCCUCUGCCUUGGUGAACAAGGGCAGCUGCGUGCUCAGAAACUCCUGGUAUGUUGCCAUAGCCGGAGGUCGCUGAUGCUGGCCUCCACCAUGAUGCUGUUGGUGGGGCUGGCGCUGCAAGAGCUGUUGCAGAAUCUCAUUCUGCUGGGCCAUCAGCUCCUGCACUGUGGGAGCUGGAGGAGGUGGCGGGGGAGCUUGCUCAUUCUGCCCGCGACGCUGCCUCGCUGCCAUCUGAAAACAGAGAUUGUCGCCAAUGUUAUCCCGACUCAUAUUUCCGAAUGACAAGAUAUCACCUCAUAUGGAAGGAAAAGGCCAUAAUCAUAAUAUUAGGUUCGAAAAUGAAGAUAACAUGGUGACAAGGAUCCCACAGAUAUCAAAAGUUUACAGGGUUACAUUAAUCGGGGGAAAGUACCCAUAAGCCUAGUCCAAAAUGUGAUACCACUAAGCUCGCAUAGGUUUCUAUCCGCCUAAAAAUGUCAAAGCAACUGCUUAACCCUGAGCGGUGGAAGCGACACUGGAUACGGGUGAAGGAGGUAUCGCGGAGGUAGUCCCAUUGGCACCAGGGGCUGGUCCUAGCUCCUCGGGAGCCUCUUCUCCCUCGCUUCCUGCUUCAUUGGCCUCCAUCUCCAGGUGGUGCAUGUCCAAGUGGUCAUUGGCUUCCUCGAGUUCCCUCUGCACGUCGUGAAGCUGGUUCUCCAAGACAUCAAUAGUGUUAUCUCGGAUCUCCACUUGCUGCUCCAGGGUGGUAAUACGCUGGCUCAGCCUUUCCACCUGCAGAUCCUUCUCCACCAACUCUGUGGAUAGGUCGACCACAAAAUCUUCCCGACUGUCGAGAGUGAGCUUGGCAGCCUGAGCGGUGUUAGCAAGAAGUGUCAUAGCAUCGCUCUGAAGGGCCUGAAGGCGGUACAGCGCACUCAUGCACUGAACAGUGACCCUCCCAACCAAGUCAGGAUACAUUGCCCACACAUCCUUCACAUGGCUCACGCGGUUACACCACAUGGGAUCAUCCUUCUUCUCAGCAGGGAAGAGUCCCAAGGGGUGCAUCACCAUCUCCAGGGGAUGGUAGCCACAGAAAGUCGUCAGAGUCUUCAUGGCUGCUGCUUCAACGGUGUCGUCCGUCCUGAGUCCAAUCGUCUCAGAGUCAAGAGAACGCCAACCCGGCUGAAGGGGAUGAGCCUCCAAAGCUAGCCAGACCCGACAACGAGGUACCCGAUGCUCCUCAUACAACUGCACCGUGUACAUAGGGGGCGUAGGGUAACCGGCGGAGUUAAGCACUUCCCACAAGAUGGAAGGAAAGCCAUCGCGAGAAAGGAAGUCAGAACUGAAACGAGAGUCUCUUCCACUGGCGGGGGUAGGUGAAUUCAUCUGCGGAAGGGAAUCAAGAUAAAGAUUAUGGUGGAAGGAAAAAGAAAAAGAGAGCCCGGAUGAUUUCGAAGAAAAGGGGGUUAGCUCAAAUUUUAAUUCCUCUUUGUGUUUUAUAAUGCAUGCAUGCGGAAAGAAACGUUGCCUCUCAAAAGGGAAAUAGGGUGCCUUUUUAGGGCAUCCUAAAAUAUAAGUAUUGGCCCACAGGGCCUAAUUAAUUAGCCACCUAUUUCUCCCUCUAUACCUAAGGCCUUUCGUCCUGGGUCUAGCGGUCUAGUCCUGACGAUCCAUAGUAGUUUCUAGGCAGGUUUUAGAUUUUAAAAAUUGGUAUUCAUGGUUUAUUGUCCUUCUCUGUGGUGGAAUUUGCUCCGAUACCAGCUGUGGCAGAACCACCCGAAUUAUUCCAGCUUAAGUGCCUAAGUCACGCCUCAGGGGCCGUAGCACACUUAAAUCGGAAUAACCCGUCAGUCCCUCAGAUCUAGUCUGAUACAGCCACUUAACCAGGAUCAAAUUCCACAAUCUCACUCGAAGGUGAGUCACAGAAGAAAUACAAUAAAACAGGAAACCUCAAAUUAAGUACGGAGUUAUUACAUAAAUCGGAGUUUUUGGAGUAGCAAAUAAAGUUCACAACUUAAAGUGCAGCGGAUAAUCGAUGUCGUCGGUAACGAGGAAAUGGGCAAGGCCUAGCCCACUACUCCUCAUGCUCCUCUCCUGCCGGAGCAACAUCCCACUCGACCGUCCAACCCGGUGGCAGGGUGGUAGGCCAAGUCACACCAUCAACUACAUCCUGCAUGGUACCUGCAAAAAUGGUGCCACAAGCAAGGCUGAGUAUACUAAUACUCAGCUAGACUUAACCGGUGUGAGGAGUCUACUCCUCUACCUCUAGACUAUGCAGCUGUUUGGCUGAGGGGUUUGGUUUGCCAAAAGCACUAGCUGUUUCUAAAAUCAACUUUUAGCUUUUCAGAUUCUACCAUCAUUAACUUAGCUAGAUUUGCUCCUUCUAAGCAUACAUGGUAACAAGCAAUUAGUUCAAUCAACAAGUUAUCUCAUGUAAUCCACAUUUCACUUCUUACUCGAUGCAGUACAAGGAAUCAAGCAGUCUCAUUAGCUGCGAGAAGCAGACGAUUCGAAUCGAGUUUUAAACCUUGCAAGGUAAACCUAAACACACGGUAUGUCAGGGUACUCCGACCCCACACAUGACAACCGUCCCCAUUGAUUCCCCGUUCGCGUCCAGGCCUCACCGCCUUGGCAUACAAUGCUCCACUGACCCCGGCUGCCGCCGUGCAGUGACCGCACUUGUAUCCACCAUAGCUAGCAUGGGAGACCCAGUCUCAGGUCGCAUGAGGGAUAAAGUCCGCGCCCGGCUUCACUCAGGUACUAGGUUUACCGGUUACCAUUUUUCCCGGCAUGUGCUUAGUACGUUCAAAAGCUUGACUCAGGUAUCCACACAUUAAUCCUUAAUUCAUUUUUCCCGUCUCAUGGACAAGGCAUCCUCCCUGGAUCCAAGUCCAUAGACCAACAUAUAUCCCAUUAUCAAGAUGAAUACAAUCAAUUCCUGACCUCGCGCGAGUGCUAGAAAAAUCACUCGACUUCUACCGAGAUCCUGAUUAGCAAGCAGCUACUCGACCUAGCAUACUAGUAUUCAUCUCAAAAAGGAGUCCUAAGUUCAUGCAACUAGAGGUUUCAAGCAACUCCUACACUUAAGUGCACAUUACAGUCCUACAAGCAUUAAGUGUAGUAAAGUAGCAUAUAAUAACAUGGUUAUGCAUAAAACCGGGGCUUGCCUUCAACUGCUGGGGCUGCGGGGAGAUCCUCAAUAGCAGCCUCUGAAGCCUGCUCCUGGUCCUCCUCUUGGACAGGUCCUUGCUCGGGGAUGAGCACGUACUCUCCGUCGGCAAGAUUACAAUCUAAUGAAUGCAAUGCGUAAGAUAUAUGCAUGAUACCAUAUGUGCUUUAGAAUUUACAACUUUUAAAGAUGUAGGGUCUUUUGAAUUUAAACAAGUUAACCUUACUUAUGUAAAACCCUUUUAGUGGUAUACUUAGUAAAUUGGGUUGGUUUUAAUGGGAUGAGGUUUAUUCCUUCUUCUCUUUUCUUUUAUUCUCUUUAAUGUUUUGGAGUAGGUUUGAACUACAAGUUGCUUUUAUAGAAUUCCAAAAAUUCUGAAAAAAUUACAGUGGCUUGCUACUGGUGUGUGCUUCUCUGUCACAAAAUUUGGGGUUCAGAAAGUGAAUGGUUUUCUCUGGACAAAAUUACCAAAUUUUAGGGCAGAAGGGGUACUUUGAACUACAACUAUUAUUUAACAGUGAGUAAUUCUCUAAAACUUAUUUUUGCUGGCUUUUAGGUGUCAUAACAUGACUUGAUACAAAUUUCUAGUCAUUAAUACCCUUUAAUUCUUUCCCUAUGAUUUUCUUAAGGUUUCUAGCCAAAGGGGUGCUUUCUACUACCACUAUGUUUGAAAAACAUCAAACAACAGAGUUCUUAUUUUUCUUAGCUAGUAUUUUGUGCAAGAGCAAUCAUUCUGAAGUUUGGUUUCUUUUUGCUUAAGGGAAGGGGUGGUUUGCAUUAUUUAAGUCAAAUGGUCUUUCUCACAAAUUGCUAGCAAAAGGCAUGGGUUCACUUCUUUUUCAUGGGUUUGUAUUUUUCUCUGGUGGUUUAUCUCAUCAUGGACUUAGCUAAUUUUUGGUUGCCCAUUAUCUCAUUAUUUGAGGUUGUUUAUGAUUUAUUGGGAAAAUGCCUUAUUACCACUUUAUAUUUAUUUUCCUUACUUAAAAAGUUAGGCUGGGGUGCUCUGUAUUUUUGUAGUGGGGCUCUGGUGGUUAUAAGUUCACUGGAUUUUUGUUAACCACUUUGGUUAUAGUUUUGCAAUUCUAAUAAUUGAUUUUCAGUCUACAUAAGGCUAAUUAAAGCAUCUUAAUUAGAAACUAGUCCUAAUUAAUGGUCUCUGCAUUUUUCCUAGGUUCUUGGUUGCAUAAGUAAAUUAGGAAAAAUAUUACUAAUCACUGUUCAACAUUUUCUAAUGCUUUUCUGAUUUUCUCUAAAUUGUGGACAAAAUGGCUUUAAAUGAAAAACUACAUCAUAAUCUCUAGUGCUGGGGAUCCUACUAUUUUUAAACAAUGUCUAAUUAGGGUAUAAGCAUCUACAAAUUUUCUUAAGCUCAGCACAAAAGAAAAACUAAUUUUCCUUAAUUAAACAAGGUUUAGGGGGUUUCUGUUUUUAAUUUUUAACUCUAAAAUUUAGAACAGAAAGCAUAUGGUUUAAUAAUUUUAAAUGAUAGAUCAUAAUAUUCCAGAGCUAGCAAAAUUGGUUUGACAGUUUUUCAUUAAGAUUUCAUCGAGUUAUGAAUUUUCUAAGUUCUCUGGUUAUUUUAAAAGAAUAAUAGAAUUGAUUAAAGGGAAAACCACUUUGCACUGGGGUCCCUGGCGGUUUUUCUAGGUUUUCCUCGCGAAUCAGUCCUUAGGUUACUAUUCAUAUGGGUCGCUGACAUUACAGAAAACCCCUCGGGUUCUACAAAACCUAACCCGAGGUCCUUCUUCUACCUCAAACAGUAGCCGCGGCGAAGAAAAGGGCGGAGGGGCUUACCGGCGGCGAGACUGUUCCGGUGAAGUGGUCGAGGAUGAAGGGGAGGUCGCGGGGAUCACAACGGUGUGCGGAACGUCGGCGGAGAUGGCCGGAGUUGGUCGGUCCACGCGCGCAGGCGGGGAUGCUCGUCGGCGGCGAGGAGACCAGCCUGAUCACGGCGAGGUAGUUCAAUCAAAUAGGUCAGAGAGGUCCACGGGAUGCCAGAGAAGACAUGAGCGAAAGGAAUUGGGCGGAGACUCACUGGAUAGCUCGGUCCACGCGCGGCGGCGGAAGACCGAAGUCCGGUGAGGUUGAUCUCGGGCCUCCGGUGAAGUCCGGUCGGGUCCGAGGGCUUGGCGAGCUUCACGGGCUACUGGCGGAGCUAGCCGAAGCACAUGUUGGGCUGGAGGGCGGCUGGAGUGAGCUGGCCACGGUGGCCGUAGCUCUGGCGGCAAUGGCGGGCGGAAAUACGCUCGCCGGAGCUAAGGAACGGUGGCUGGCCGGUGAGGGUGAGUGCGGGGCGAAGAGAGGUGCGCUCGGGGAGGCUUUAUAGGCGCGGGCGGGCACGGCCGAGGGCGUGGGCGCGCGGCGGACUUGACCGGACGCCGGGGCGAGCGCGCGCGCGGGUUGGGCGAGCUCUGGCGUGCCGACCAGGGUCGAACACGUGUGCCCGUGCGUUCUGCCCAAGCUCUGGCGCGUGUGGUCGCUCAUCCGAGCCUGCUCUCGCCUUGGUCAGUGCACGAAACCUCUUCUCCUCCCUACAAGCUACCAUUCUUGUGUGGAGGUCAUAGGAUUUUGCCUACUGGUUGCAGAGAUAUGGAGCCAGGAAAUCUGGUCUGUCUCCCUGCCUAAACCCGAGGCAAAUCCCAAGUUUUGUCGUGUCUAGGGCUCGCGUCCCAAUGCCAUCUUCUGGCACACGACAGAGGGGUUAGUUAGACACAAAUUUGUCAAUGGGGCCAUUAGGAUUCGAGUUAGGGAUCAAGGUGAACAUCCCUGAUCUUUGGCUCAAGGUCUGAAUUUCAGAAUUCUGAAAUUCAGAAUUCCCAAUGAGUCCCAACAAAAGAAGCUUGAUUUGGGGGUUUUCUUGAAUUAUUUUGGCUAAGCUUUCUCAAUCUAUUUUGUUGCUUAUCAAAUAUACUUUAACUUAUAUAAUUGGCUUAACUCAAAAUUUUAAACUUUUCAUUCCCUUUUGCUUAUUUUCUUGAAUUUUGUUCAUGGGGUUCACUUAGAGUUCUUAAUUAGGGUUGCACAUUCUUAUCUUUUCAAAGACUCAAUUGUUUUGAUCAUGACACUUUUAAACAUAUACUUGGUGAAUUCUUUAUCACUUAAGUUAUCUUGAUGCUCAUGCUUACUUUGGUUCACAUAAAAUAAUGGCUCUUGGUGUGGCUUUUUAAGAGAAACCCUAGGUGACACUGGGGUGUCACAUUUCCGAGACCAGCGGGAGCGAUCUUGUAACGGAAUCCCAUCAGAAGGAGGCAUCGAGCCCUCGGACCCCGUCGCCAGGGGACCGGGUCCGGCAGAUCACCCGCAGGUACUUUUGGGCGUGCCUCUGGGCCCCUAGCCGACCCCUAACGAACGGGGCACGGACGUCCACUCGGAUUACCCGCUUGCAGCUCACCGGAGACACCAUGUUCGGCGCCCAUCGAGGGCAACAUGGCGCUUUCCCCCCUCCUCCUUGCGGAAAGGCGACACAGGGGCGUAUGUAAAAAAGCUGAGUCUGUCCCUGAUCGCCCUCUCGCCCUAUGCGGAGGCUCGGGGGCUGCUCUCGUAAACCCGGCUCCGGCCGAACCGUUGACAGUGUCAACAUACCAGCCCGAGAACUUGGGACCCGACCGUACACCCGGGCUACGGCCAGCUCGCAUGAGGGAACAACCAGACCAGCCGAAGCAUUACGCGAGGCAUUAAGACCUCGAAGGAGUGAAACCACUCCUCCGAGGCCUCGGGGGCUACACCCGGCGGGUGCGCUCGCGCGCACCCACCGGAACAAAAUGCAACCGAGAAAGGCUGGUCCCCUUGCAAAAAAGUGCGACGAAAGCCUCCAAGCGAGUGCUAACACUCCCUUCGAGGCUCGGGGGCUACUGUCGGGGAGCAUAAUUAGGGGUACCCUCAAGACUCCUAAUUCUCAGCUAGUAACCCCCAUCACCAUAAAGCUGCUAAGGCCUGAUGGGUGCGAUUAAGUCAGGGAUCGGUCCAUUCGAGCGACUCGAUAACGCCUCGCCCGAGCCUAGCCUCGGACAAGGGCAGCCGACCCCGGAGGAUUUCCGUCUCGCCCGAGGCCCCCCCUCCGACGGCGAACAUAUUUCCGGCUCGCUCGAGGCCCUGCCUUCGCUAAGAAGCAACCCUGACUAAAUCGCCGCACCGACCGACCAAAUCGCAGGAGCAUUUAACGCAAAGGUGGCCUGACACCUUUAUCCUGAUGCGCGCCCCCGGCAGAGCCAAAGUGACCGCCAUCACUUCGCCGCUCCACUGACCGGCCUGACAGAAGGACAGCGCCGCCUGCGCCACUCCGACUGUAGUGCCACUUGACAGAGUGAGACUGACAGGCAGUCAGGUCCUGCCAAAGGCACCAUAGGAAGCUCCGCUCCGCCCGACCCAGGGCUCGGACUCGGGCUAAGUCCCGUAAGACGGCGAACUCCGCUCCGCCCGACCCAGGGCUCGGACUCGGGCUAAGUCCCGGAAGACGGCGAACUCCGCUCCACCCGACCCAGGGCUCGGACUCGGGCUAAGUCCCGGAAGACGGCGAACUCCGCUCCGCCCGACCUAGGGCUCGGACUCGGGCUAAGUCCCGGAAGACGGCGAACUCCGCUCCGCCCGACCCAGGGCUCGGACUCGGGCUAAGUCCCGGAAGACGCCGAACUCCGCUCCGCCCGACCCAGGGCUCGGACUCGGGCUAAGUCCCGGAAGACGGCGAACUCCGCUCCGCCCGACCCAGGGCUCGGACUCGGGCUAAGUCUCGGAAGACGGCGAACUCCGCUCCGCCCGACCCAGGGCUCGGACUCGGGCUCAGCCCUAGAAGACGACGAACUCCGCUUCGCCCGACCCCAGGGCUCGGACUCCGCCCCGGCCUCUGCCGACGACCUCCGCCUCGCCCGACCCAGGGGCUCGGACUCGGCCUCGGCCAUGGAAGACAGACUCGACCUCGGCUUCGGAGGAGCCUCCCAUCACCCAACCUAGGGCGCAGGUCAGCCACGUCAACAGGAGGCGCCAUCAUCACCCUACCCCGAGCUGACUCGGGCCGCAGGGAACAAGACCGGUAUCCCAUCUGGCUAGCUCCGCCAGAUAGGCAAUGAUGGCGCCCCGCAUACUCUGUGACGACGGCGGCUCUCAGCCCCCUUACGGAAGCAAGAGGACGUCAGCAAGGACUCAACCGCUCCGACAGCUGUCCCUCCGCCAGGCUCCAUCGCUCCUCCGACGGCCACGACAUCACACCAGCUGGGUGCCAAAAUCUCUCCGGCUGCCACAUCGGCAUGUACUUAGGGCGCUAGCUCUCCUACGCUAGACACGUAGCACUCCGCUACACCCCCAUUGUACACCUGGAUCCUCUCCUUACGCCUAUAAAAGGAAGGACCAGGGCCCUCUUAGAGAGGGUUGGCCGCGCGGGGUCGAGGACGAGACAGGCGCUCGCUUGGAAGCCGCUCGCUCCCUCACCCACGUGGACGCUUGUAACCCCCUACUACAAGCGCACCCGACCUGGACGCGGGACGAACACGAAGGCCGCGGGAUUCCCACCUCUCUCACGCCGGUCUCCGGCCGCCUCGCUUCUCCCCCCUUCGCGCUCGCCCUCGCGCUCGACCCAUCUGGGCUGGGGCACGCGACGACACUCACUCAUCGGCCCAAGGGACCCCCCGGUCUCGAAACGCCGACAACUUUAUAAAACAAUACAUGAGCUUAAAAAUAUCUUAAUUAAAAUAUACAAAUAUUGGGUUCAUUAAUUUUAAUCUUUUAUAAAACGUCAUCCGUGAUAUGUCUAGAUUAAGGGUUUAUAAGAUGAUAAAACACGUUAUAACAAUAUUAAACCUUUUAGAGAAGAUAUAUGUUAUAUAUCUAAGGUUAAUGGGCUACUAAUCACGUUAUUAAUUUUAGAAGCAUUAUGAAGCAUUUUAUAAAUAUUGUUAACCAAUUACUUAUGACAAAUUAAGAUAUAAGUCUAAAUAGGUUUUAUGUGAAAAGGUCAUUAUUAUUAAAUACCUAUUUAUAGAAAGUUAUGGUAUAUGCCUUAAAUGAACUUUUAUGUAAAAGACAAUGAACAAAUAACUAUCUUUUAAUUUUAUUUGAAAAAAACAUAGCCUAUAUUAUUAUAUUCGAAGUCAAUAUAUAAAGUAACAUUUUAAGUUAUAAAAGAACUUAAACUCUUAUUACUUUAUUUUAUCCUUUAGGAAAAACUAAGUCAUCCGUAUACAAUGUGGACUAAAUUUUAUUAAAUCAUUAAUCACACCAUAAAUCUAAUUAAGAACAAAUUGACUAUAGGUUUGUUUAAUACAUUAUGAUAAAGGAUACUUAACCUAUUAAUUGUAGGAACAAAUGAUCUAAUUCAUUAGAAGGAAGUUAUGUAUAAACUAUCAUUUUAGUUUAUAAAAGCACUGACCCUUGUUAUCUUUUAAUUAAGAAAAUAUAAAUAAUCUAUUAAUUGGACAUAUAUUUAUCUUCUAUUUUUAUUAAGAAACAUAUGGUCUACAUAUUCUUUUAAGUUUUCAUUUAAUACGAAUAUACUUAAACAUCUAUGACGAACCUUGUUAAAUAUAAUAUCUAUUAAAAAGGUCAUUUUAAACUAGAAACAGGUUAUCUAAUUCUUUAGUAAGAAACCUAUGUUUAUCAAUAUAACUAUCAAUUUCUUUAUUAGAAAAGUAUGAGCGCCUAAUUAAGUCAUUUUAACAUUAUUAUAAAUUUUACUAUUUCGGUUUUUCUCCUUUCUUUUCUAAAUAGAAUUUAUAAGUAUAACUAAAAAAAUGUUUAUUUAAUUCUUCUAACAUUAAUAUACUAAGAAUUAAUUAUAAAUUACUAAUUGGACUUUUAAUAACAUUUUUAUGGUCAUUAUGACAUAAACAAGUAUUUUACUUGUCGGCUUUUCGAGACCGGGGGGUCCCUGGGUCGACGAGUGAAAUGUCGCCGCGUGCCCCAGCCCAGAUGGGUCGGCGCGAGACGGAGCGCGAAGGGGGAAAAAAAGGCGACCGGAGCGAGAGAGAGGUGGAAAUCCUGCGGCCUUCGUGUUCGUCCCGCGCCCAGGUCGGGUGCGCUUGCAGUAGGGGGUUACAAGCGUCCACACGGGAGGGGGAGCGAGCGGCCUCACGCGAGCACCUGUCCCGUUCUCUUUCCCGCGCGGCCAACCCUCUGUAAGAGGGCGAUGGUCCUUCCUUUUAUAGGCGCAAGGAGAGGAUCCAGGUGUACAAUGGGGGUGUAGCAGAGUGCUAACGUGUCUAGCGGAGGAGAGCUAGCGCCCUAAGUACAUGCCAUCAUGGCAGCCGGAGAGGUUUUGGCACCCAGUUCGUGUGGUGUCGUGGCCGUCGGAGGAGCGCUGGAGCCUGGCGGAAGGACAGCUGUCGGGGCUGUUGAGUCCUUGCUGACGUCCUCUUGCUUCCAUAAGGGGGCUGAGAGCCGCCGUCGUCAUAGAGCGUGCGGGGUGCCAUCAUUACUUGUCUGGCGGAGCGAGCCAGAUGGGACGCCGGUCUUGUUCCCCGUAGCCUGAGUCAGCUUCGGGUAGGGUAAUGAUGACGCCUCCUGUUGACGUGGUCGGUCCGCGCCCUAGGUUGGGCGAUGUGGAGGCUCCUCCGAGGUCGAGGUCGAGUCUGUCUUCCGUGGCCAAGGUCGAGUCCGAGCCCCUGGGUCGGGCGAGGCGGAGACCGUCGGUUGAAGCCAGGGCUGAGUCCGAGUCCUGGGGUCGGGCGAAGCGGAGUUCGUCGUCUUCCGGGGCUGAGCCCGAGUCCGAGCCCUGGGGUCGGGCGGAUCGGAGUUCGCCGUCUUCCGGGGCUGAGCCCAAGUCCGAGCCCUGGGUCAGGCGGAGCGGAGUUCGCCGUCUUCCGGGGCUGAGCCCAAGUCCGAGCCCUGGGUCGGGCGGAGCGGAGUUCUCCGUCUUCCGGGGCUGAGCCCAAGUCCGAGCCCUGGGUCGGGCGGAGCGGAGUUCGCCGUCUUCCGGGGCUGAGCCCAAGUCCGAGCCCUGGGGUCAGGCGGAUCGGAGUUCGCCGUCUUCCGGGGCUGAGCCCAAGUCCGAGCCCUGGGUCGGGCGGAGCAGAGUUUCCUAUGGUGCCUGAGGCCGGGCCUGACUGCCUGUCAGCCUCACUCUAUCGAGUGGCACAGCAGUCGGAGCGGCGCAGGCGGCGCUGUCCUUCUGUUAGGCCGGUCAGUGGAGCGGUGAAGUGACUGCGGUCACUUCGGCUCUGUCGACUGGAGGACGUGCGUCAGGAUAAAGGCGUCAGGCCGCCUUUGCAUUAAGUGCCCCUGCGAUUUGGUCGGUUGGCGUUGCGAUUUGGCCAGGGUUGCUUCUUGGCGAAGACUGGGCCUCGGGUGAGCCGGGAGUUUGUUCGUCGCUGGAGGGGGGCCUCGGGCGAGACGGAGAUCCUCCGGGGUCGGCUGCCCUUGCCCGAGGCUGGGCUCGGGUGAGGCGUGAUCAAGUCCCUCGAAUGGACCGGUCCCUGGCUUAGUCGCACCCAUCAGGCCUUUGCAGCUUUGUGCUGAUGGGGGUUACCAGCUGAGAAUUAGGAGCCUUGAGGGUACCCCUAAUUAUGGUCCCCGACAGUAGCCCCCGAGCCUCGAAGGGAGUGUUAACACUCGCUUGGAGGCUUUUGUCGCACUUUUUUGCAAGGGGACCAGCCUUUCUCGGUUGCGUUUUGUUCCGGUGGGUGCGCGCGAGCGCACCCGCCGGGUGUAGCCCCCGAGGCCUCGGAGGAGUGGUUUGACUCCUCCGAGGUCUUAAUGCCUCGCGCAAUGCUUCGGCUGGUCUGGUUGUUCCCUCAUGCGAGCUGGCCGUAGCCCGGGUGCACGGUCGGGUCCCAAGUUCUCGGGCUGGUAUGUUGACGCUGUCAACGGUUUGGCCGGAGCUGGGUUUGCGAGAGCAGCCCCCGAGCCUCUGCACAGGGCGAGAGGACGGUCAGGGACAGACUCGACUUUUUUACAUACGCCCCUGCGUCGCCUUUCCGCAAGGAGGAGGGGGGGAAAGCACCAUGUUGCCCUCGGAGGGCGCCAAACAUGGUGUCUCCGGUGAGCUGCUGGCGGGUAAUCCGAGUGGACGCCCGUGCCCCAUUUGUUAGGGGUCGGCUAGAGGCCCAGAGGCGCGCUCAAAAGUACCUGCGGGUGAUCUGCCGGACCCGGUCCCCUGUCGACGGGGUCCGAGGGCUCGAUGCCUCCCUCUGAUGGGAUUCCGUUACAAGAUCGUUCCCGCUAGUUUCGGAAAUGUCCUAGGGUACCUCGGGAGCGUAGCCCGAGCCUUGGUUAUGUAUCGAACGUACCCAUGAUCAUCUCUCGCUCUGUGUCUGAGGCGGCUGUGAACCCUUCGAGGGCCAGCCUACAAACCCCUGAUCAGUAGUGGGCGCGGAGCCCGAGUGGCUUGAGGCAGCCGUUGAACCCUUCCGAGGGGCCGGCCUUCGAACCUCUGACCAGUAGUGGGUGUGGAGCCCACGCGCUCUGAGGCGGCUGUUAAACCCCUCCGAGGGGCCAGCCUUCGAACCCUUGAUCAGUAGGGAGGCUCGGAGCCUGUUUCCUUCAUGGAGAAGGAUCCUUUUUGGGGUAUCCCCCUUUCCCGGUCCCUAUUGUAAGAGAGAGAAAGAGGAAAAGGAAAAGGAUACGAAAUCGAAUGACGCGGCGUACCUUUUUGGACGCGGUCGUUAUGGCGAAGGCGAAGCGUCGCUUGCUUCUCCUGCCUAAGGCGCCGCCUGUCCCGCCGCGGAGUUAAUGCGACGUAGCGGGCGGUUCGCGGGGUGGCCGUUGCGCGUGCGCGAGCCGUUCGAGGAACGGAACACGGGCGCGCCGUCUUCACACCGUGAGAGAGGGUUCUCUCACUGCCCCAGGAUGGGACGUAAGCUUGGCUGACGACGUGACCGCGGCUCCUGCCCGCCUGCCACCGCCAUUACUGCCGGCCCAUUUUUGGCCGUAUUGAUUGUCGCGCCUGGCUGGCACUGCUGGGUCAUACGCAGGGUUGCCUCGAGUCGCGGUACUGGUUCCGCAGUCGAGGAGGCGUGGCAGUGGUGUGAGUGGCGGUGCAGUUGCUUGCACGUAGCGACCGGCGCGCCGGUUGCAUGAUGCGAGGGUGUGGGCCCCCAUGCUGGGUGCGUUGGAAGUCGGAGGGGCGCGCCCACUUGGCGCGGUUGCAUGCCGCCUGCAUGGCUGCCCGCCCUUUCGCCCGCUGGUCUGGGCGAAAGCGGAGGAAUGCUCGUAACCGCUGGGCGGUUGCAUGCACCGCGCGCGGUGGUUUGGCUUCUUCUGCUCUGGGCUAGCUUGCAUGAUGCGUGGGACCCAGCCCCCGCGCCGUAGGGGGAGGACCUUGGAGCGUGUUGGAGAAGACUCAGCCCACGACGGCUGGGGACGCAAGUAGGGAGAGUCGCCUUUAAAAGGAGGAUGACCCCCUUGGAAGGCGACCAUGUCUUCGCGCUCCCUUAUGCAUCGUGUCUUUCCACCUUCCGAGCCCCCGGAUGGGGGACACCCGCAAUCCUUCUGCCUUGUCGUUGGGGGAACGCAACUUCGUGGGAGUUGGUACCUUUCAGCCAUCGUUCGGCUUCAAGGAUUUUCAUCACGCGGCCCGGCUGCACUCCCUCGCCGGUGGUCACCCAAGACGGUGACCACCAGCCCCUGGGUGGGGAGAAGCAAGCCGGGCUGCGAUCUUGGUCCCGCCCUCAGCUUCAAGGAUGUUCAUCAUCCUCGCUGGGGCAGAGGCUGGGCUGAGCCGGAGCUCUACCUCCCGCGCGGGUUCGUGGGUCAGCCUCUCCUUCAGCAUUCAAGGGAGAGGGUGCUCACUGGCCCUGCGAGCGGGGCGGACUUCGAUAACGCAGGGCUGGUCGACGGCGGGCGUCGUCAGCUUCAGCACGUUGUGCUCGCCGGCUUGGCUCUCGGCGCCCCCUCCUGCCGCAAGGGCGGUUGUCGCGCCGUGCGCACGGGAGGACCGCCCAAGACGUUGUGCGCUGCCAGGGCGGCGUUCGUGUUCUGGGGCGGUCCUACCUUUGCACCGGUACGGCGCCCCCGCACGGAGGUCGGUGCUCCGCUCGUCUGGGAGGAUCCGAGUGGGGAUCUGCCGGUGGGCUGACGGCCCCUGUCGUUGGUGCCGAGGCGGAGGCGGCUCGAGAAGUCCCCGUCCCCGACGGGAUCACCGCCACCAUCCGCGCUUCGGGCCCCCGGCUCUUUGUACUUGUCCUCGCCCCUCGAGCGUCGGCGUGGGCGAGGGCAAGGUUGCAGCGGCGUUCGCCCUGAGGCCAUCGCUGCUGCAGUUCGGCCACCCGUAGAGGGGGUCGUUGUCGCUGCUGCUGGAGCGGGCGACGGUGGGCCGUUCGUCGGUCUUCCGUUGCUCCACAGGCCCCCCAAUCGAGUGGGGUUGUUCGUACCUGCGGAGGUGGAACCGGAGUUCCGUUUGUAAUGGCACCUUGGAUGCCGGCGUUCUGUUCAUUGUGGCUGUCAGGGCCUGAACGUGUAUGUAUUUUUGGCGCGGAGCCGUGUUUUUUCCUCAUUUUCGAGCACUAAGACUCGCCUGUUGGUUGUCUGAACCGCUUCACCAAGCGUGAGUCGCCCCGUACAUAGGUGACGAGUGAGGUAUUCGUAUCCCGGAGGUGUAGGAGUCCCUCGGCUCGGUCGGCCUUGCUGUCCGAGGCUUCUCUUGCUUAGUUAAAGGAACCCCUCGGCCGCUCUUCGAUGAGCCGAAGCUAGGGGUAGCAGUGUCAGCAUGGACAGAGGCAGAGUUGGCUCGAAAAGAAGACUUGGUCGGCCGAAGCCUGGCCGGGUCGUCCGUUAGCGGGACCGACGCUGGAGUUGAUCUGCCGAGGCCUCGGGCCAGGCUGAUGUCUUCGGGGGACAGCUGGCCGAGGCCUCGGGGUGACCAGCCGAGCCGCCUGCUCGAGCCGGGUUCUUGGAGGAGACCCUGGCGGCGAUGGCCCGGGCGUGAUGAUGAAGUCAUCCUUCAGAGUGGAGAUCCUCGGACCGCGUCGCCGUCCGAGGCUAGGUCGAACCUCGCCGAAGGUGUAGUCGACGCCGAGGGUGCUGCUGCCCCCUUCAACUGUCAAGAUCCGAGCCUACAGGAUCAGAUUAUCUUGUAGUGUGCGUUUUCUGCGGCCGCCGAGGCCCAAACACACCCUCGCCGUGUUGUAAAGCUGCACUUCUUUUCCUCUUGUUUCGAGUCUCUGGACUUUUUCGUCGGUAAUAGAAUUGUCUAUGCGAGCGAGAGUUGCUUUUCACGGAAGGUGAUGAGUGAGGUAUCUGUAUCUCGGAGGCGUAGGAAUCCCUCGGCUCGGUCGGCCUUGCCGCUUACGCGCGCUCUUGCCCGUCCAUGGGGUUCUGUCACCGGCGUAGUCGAGAAAGCCCGAAGAAUCGCUUCGGCAGAAGAGCUUUCGAACGUGAAGACAUGUUCGGUCCGCGGAAUCACUUAUCCGAACGCGAGUUACUUAUCGCAGAAGGUGAUGAGUGAGGUAUCCGUAUCCCAGAGGCGUAGGAGUCCCUCGGCUCGGUCAUCCUUGGCUGCUUACGUGUACUCCGUCGUUUUCAGGAUCCACUUUCGAAGCAGUCGAAAAGCAUGAAAGACAUUCUGGCAGAAAAGAUCUUUUUUCGAGGAAAAUUUCGACGCAGAGGGGGUUCCCCCCUUUUAGCCCCCGAGGGAGGGUCAGGCUUUACCGAGGCAAGGCUGACCCUUCCUUGAUGACUAAACUUUGCGUGGGAGCGAGGUAUAUGAACAACUUGAAAGCAUCUUAAGGGUAGAAGCGACGUAGCUGUUGGAUGUUCCAAGCGUUGUUGUAGACCUCGCCUUGACUGUUGGCCAGCUUGUACGUUCCGGGCUUCAGAACUUUGGCGAUGACGAACGGCCCUUCCCAGGGAGGCGUGAGCUUGUGCCGCCCUUGGGCGUCCUGUCGCAGCCGAAGCACCAGGUCGCCCACCUGGAGGUCUCGGGACCGGACCCCUCGGGCGUGGUAGUGUCGCAGGGACUGCUGGUACCGCGCCGAGUGUAGUAAGGCCAUGUCCCGAGCCUCUUCCAGCUGGUCCAGCGAGUCUUCUCGACUAGCUUGGUUGCUUUGGUCGGUGUAGGCCCUCGUCCUCGGGGAACCGUAUUCUAAGUCUGUGGGCAAGAUGGCCUCGACCCCAUAGACUAGAAGGAACGACGUGAAGCCCGUGGCUCGGCUCGGCGUUGUCCUCAGACUCCAGACCACCGAGGGGAGUUCCUUCAUCCAUCGCUUGCCGAACUUGUUGAGGUCGUUGUAGAUCCGAGGCUUGAGUCCUUAUAGAAUCAUGCCGUUGGCACGCUCUACUUGCCCAUUCGUCAUGGGGUGAGCCACGACUGCCUAGUCCACCCGGAUGUGGUGAUCCUCGCAGAAGUCCAGGAACUUUAUGCCGGUGAACUGGGUGCCGUUGUCGGUGAUGAUGGAGUUCAGGACCCCAAAACGAUGGAUGAUGUUGGUGAAGAACGCCACCGCCUGUUCGGACCUGAUGCUGUUUAGGGGUCGGACCUCAAUCCACUUGGAGAAUUUGUCGAUGGCGACCAACAGGUGCGUGUAGCCCCCGGGUGCCUUCUGCAAGGGGCCGAUGAGGUCCAGACCCCACACAGCAAAAGGCCAGGUGAUGGGUAUCGUCUGCAGAGCCUGAGCGGGCAGGUGGGUCUGCCUCGCGUAGAACUGACACCCUUCACAGGUGCGGACAAUUCUAGUGGCGUCGGCCACCGCCGUCGGCCAGUAGAAACCUUGUCGGAAGGCGUUUCCAACGAGGGCUCGAGGUGCUGCGUGAUGGCCGCAAGCCCCCGAGUGUAUCUCUCGUAGGAGCUCCUGACCUUCGGCGAUGGAAAUGCAUCGCUGGAGGAUGCCUGAGGGGCUGCGGUGGUAGAGCUCCUUCCCAUCUCCCAGCAAGACGAACGACUUGGCGCGCCGCGCCAACCGCCGAGCUUCGGCUCGAUCGAGGGGUAGCUCUCCUCGGUGGAGAUAUUGCAGGUACGGGGUCUGCCAGUUUCGAUCAGGCGUGACCCCGCUUUGCUCCUCCUCGACGCGCAGUGCCUCACCCUCAGGGGCCGAGGGUACCUCGGGCUGAACCGAGGGUGCCUCGGGCCGAGCCGAGGGUGCCUCGGACUGAGCCGAGGGUACCUCGGGCUCGGGCGUGUCGUCGAUCUUGACGGAGGGUUGAUGCAGGUCUCGGGAGAAGAUGUCCGGGGGAAUCGUUGUUCGCCCCGAGGCUAUUUUAGCCAGCUCGUCCGCAGUCUCGUUGUAGCGCCGGGCGAUGUGGUUGAGCUCGAGCCCGUAGAACUUGUGUUCCAGGCGCUGAACCUCAUCGCAGUAGGCCUCCAUCUUCGGGUCGUGGCAGUGGGAGUUCUUCACGACUUGGUCGAUGACGAGCUGCGAGUCACCGCGGGCGUCGAGGCAUCGGACCCCUAGCUCGAUGGCGAUCCGCAACCCGUUGACCAGAGCCUCGUACUCAGCCACAUUGUUGGACGCCGGGAAAUGGAGGCGUAACACGUAGCGUAGGUGCUUCCCGAGGGGCGAGAUGAAGAGUAGGCCUGCGCUGGCUCCUGUCUUCAUCAGCGACCCGUCGAAGAACAUGGUCCAGAGUUCCGGCUGGAUCGGAACUGUUGGGAGCUGGGUGUCGACCCAUUCAGCCACGAAGUCCGCCAAGACCUAGGACUUGAUGGCCUUCCGAGGGGCGAACGAGAUUGUUUCGCCCAUGAUUUCCACCGCCCACUUCGCGAUUCUACCCGAGGCCUCUCGGCACUGGAUGAUCUCCCCCAGGGGGAAGGAUGACACCACAGUUACCGGGUGAGACUCGAAGUAGUGUCGCAACUUCCGCCGCGUCAGGAUCACCGCGUACAGCAGCUUCUGAACUUGUGGGUAGCGGAUUUUGGUCUCGGACAGUACCUCGCUGAUGAAGUAGACUGGCCUCUGGACGGGCAAUGCAUGCCCCUCUUCUCGUCUCUCGACCACAAUCGCGGCGCUAACCACCUGAGUGGUCGCGGCGACGUAGAUCAUGAGGGCUUCUCCGGCAGUGGGAGGCACCAAGACGGGCGCGUUGGUGAGGAGCGCCUUCAGGUUCCCGAGGGCUUCCUCGGCCUCAGGGGUCCAAGUGAAGCACUCGGCCUUCCUUAAGAGGCGGUACAGAGGCAGGCCUCUUUCGCCGAGGCGUGAGAUGAAACGGCUCAGAGCCACAAGACAUCCCAUGACUCUCUGUACGCCUUUCAAGUCCUUGAUGGGCCCCAUGCUGGUGAUGGCCGCGAUCUUCUCCGGGUUGGCUUCGAUGCCCCGCUCGGAGACGAUGAACCCCAAGAGCAUGCCUCGGGGAACCCCAAAGACACACUUCUCGGGAUUAAGCUUCACGCCUUUCGCCUUGAGACAUCGGAAUGUCACUUCAAGGUCGGAAAGGAGGUCGGAGGCUUUCCUCGUCUUGACUAUGAUGUCAUCGACGUAGGCCUCGACCGUCCGGCCAAUGUGUUCGCCGAACACAUGGUUCAUGCACCGCUGGUACGUCGCACCCGCAUUCCUCAAGCCGAACGGCAUGGUGACGUAACAGUACAUACCGAAGGGUGUGAUGAAAGAAGUCGCGAGCUGGUCGGACUCAUUCAUCCUGAUUUGGUGAUACCCUGAGUAGGCAUCGAGGAAAGACAGGGUUUCACACCCAGCAUUGGAAUCCACGAUUUGAUCGAUGCGAGGCAGAGGGUAGGGAACCUUCGGGCAUGCUUUGUUUAGACCAGUGUAGUCUACACACAUCCGCCAUUUCCCUCCUUUCUUUCUCACAAGCACAGGGUUGGCAAGCCAUUCGGGAUGAAAUACCUCUUUGAUGAACCCUGCCGCCAUUAGCUUGUGGAUCUCCUUGCCUAUGGCUCUGCGCUUUUCUUCGUCGAACGGUGCAGAGGCUGCUUGAUGGGUCGAGCUCCGGCUCGGAUAUCCAGCGAGUGCUCGGCGACAUCCCUCGGUAUGCCAGGCAUGUCCGAGGGACUCCACGCGAAAACGUUGGCGUUCGCACGGAGAAAGUUGACGAGCACUGCUUCCUAUUUGGGAUCGAGCUCGGAGCCGAUCCGGAUCUGCUUGGAAGCAUCGCUGCUGGGGUCGAGGGGGAUGGACUUAACCGUCUCCGCUGGCUCGAAGUUGCCGGUGUGACGCUUCACGUCUGGCACCUCCUUAGAGAGGCUCUCCAGGUCGGCGAUGAGGGCCUCGGAUUCGGCGAGGGCCUCGGCGUACUCCACGCACUCGACGUCGCAUUCGAACGCGUGUCGGUACGUGGGGCCGACGGUGAUGACCCCGUCGGGGCCCGGCAUCUUGAGCUUGAGGUAGGUGUAGUUGGGGACGGCCAUGAACUUCGCGUAGCAUGGCCUCCUUAGUACUGCGUGGUAGGUUCCUCGGAACCCGACCACCUCGAACGUGAGGGUCUCCCUUCGGAAGUUGGAGGGUGCCCCGAAGCAGACGGGAAGGUCGAGUUGUCCGAGGGGCUGGACGCGCUUCCCAGGGAUGAUCCCGUGGAAAGGCGCAGCGCCUGCCCGGACCGAGGACAGAUCAACACGCAGGAGCCCGAGGGUCUCGGCGUAGAUGAUGUUGAGGCUGCUGCCUCCGUCCAUGAGGACCUUGGUGAGCCUGACGUCGCCGAUGACGGGGUCGACAACGAGCGGGUAUUUCCUCGGGCUAGGCACGUGGUCGGGGUGGUUGGCUUGGUCGAAGGUGAUGGGCUUGUCGGACCAGUCUAGGUAGACUGGCAUCGCCACCUUCACCGAACAGACCUCCCGACGCUCUUGCUUGCGGUGCCGAGCCGAGGCGUUCGCCGCUUGCCCACCGUAGAUCAUGAAGCAGUCGCGGACCUCAGGGAACUCUCCUGCCUGGUGAUCUUCCUUCUUGUCGUCGUCGCGAGCCCUGCCACCCUCCGCGGGUGGCCCGGCCCUGUGGAAGUGGCGCUGAAGCAUAGCGCACUCCUCAAGGGUGUGCUUGACGGGCCCCUGAUGAUAGGGGCAUGGCUCCUUGAGCAUCUUGUUGAAGAGGUUGGCACCUCCGGGGGGUUUCCGAGGGUUCUUGUACUCGGCGGCGGCAACAAGGUCCGCGUCGGCGGCGUCGCGUUUCGCUUGCGACUUCUUCUUGCCCUUCUUCUUGGCGCCACGCUGAGUUGACGCCUCGGGGGCAUCUUCUAGUGGGCGGCCCUGGGGCUGCUUGUCCUUCUGAAAGAUAGCCUCAACCGCCUCCUGGCCAGAGGCGAACUUGGUGGCGAUGUCCAUCAGCUCGCUCGCCCUGGUGGGGGUCUUUCGACCCAGCUUGCUGACCAGGUCGCGGCAAGUGGUGCCAGCGAGGAACGCGCCGAUGACAUCUGAAUCGGUGACGUUGGGCAGCUCGGUGCGCUGCUUCGAGAAUCGCCGGAUGUAGUCCCGGAGAGACUCUCCCGGCUGCUGCCGGCAGCUUCGGAGGUCCCAGGAGUUUUCAGGGCGCACGUACGUGCCCUAGAAAUUGCCGGCGAAGGCUUGGACCAGGUCGUCCCAGUUGGAGAUCUGCCCCGGAGGCAGGUGCUCCAACCAGGCGCGAGCGGUGUCGGAGAGAAACAGGGGGAGGUUGCGGAUGAUGAGGUUGUCAUCGUCCGUCCCACCCAGUUGGCAGGCCAGCCGGUAGUCCGCGAGCCACAGUUCCGGUCUCGUCUCCCCCAAGUACUUUGUGAUAGUAGUCGAGGGUCAGAACCAGGUCGGGAACGGCACCCAUCGUAUGGCGCGGCUGAAAGCCUGCGGACUGGGUGGUUCGGGCGAGGGACUCCGAUCCUCCCCGCUGUCGUAGCGUCCCCCACGCCUGGGGUGGUAGCCUCGGCGCACCCUCUCGUCGAGGUGGGCCCAACAGUCGCGGUGAUGGUGCUCGUUGCCGAGGCGACCCGAGGCCGCAGGCGCUGUGUUGCGCGUGCGCCCGGUGUGGACCGAGGCUUCCCGCAUGAAUCAGGAAGUCGCAGCGCGAUGUUCCGAGGGGUACCCCUGCCUUCGGGAGGCGGAGCUUUCGGCCCGUCGGACCGCAGCGCCCUCCAGGAGAUUCUUGAGCUCUCCCUAGAUUCGCCGCCCCUCGGUGGUUGAUGGCUCUGGCAUCGCGCGGAGAAGCAUUGCUGCUGCAGCCAGGUUCUGGCCGACUCCACUGGAAGCGGGUGGCGGCCUUGCCCUGACAUCGUCGGCGAUGCGGUGCUGGAUACCCUAGGGUAGAUGAUGCAUUUCUUCGGCCGGAGGUUGGCCCGCCCAUUCCUGCCCGACGUCCCGGCGGAUCGGCUCAAGUGCUCCUGCUCCCUCGUCGAGCCUGGCCGGCACCCCACGGAUUUGCUCGAGCUGUGGGUCAUGACCCCCUGCCAGAACGGGGACCACAGCUAGCUCCCGUAGGAUGUCAACGCGAGGCACAGUCCUAGGGAGAUCACCGUUCUCUGGCAUACCGAGAUGGUUGCCUUCGGAGGGACCCCCUAGAUCGACGUGGAAACAUUCACGACUUGGGCCGCAGUCCUCGUCGCCGAGGCUGCGGCUACCGUUGGAACAGUCGGAAAGGCAGUAGUCGCAUGCGGUCAUGAAGUCCCACAUGGCACUAGGGUUACCAAGUCCGGAGAAAUCCCAACAGAAGUCAGGCUCGUCAUCUUCCUCGGAGCCCGAGGGCCCGUAGGUCGAGACAUCCGUCAGCCGGUCCCAAGGUGACCGCAUACGAUACCCCAGAGGGUUCGGACUCGCCUCUAUGAGAGCGUCCGCCAAAGCGAAGUCGCUUGGCGGGUCGAGGCUGAAUGCAAGGGGCUUGAGAUGGGAAUCGGUCGGUACCUCUUGGUCGACGGGCGGUGAUGAAGUCACGUCAGGGACUGACUGCACCGUCGUCUCAGGUACGAGGGUGACGCCCAGCAAGCCUUUCGCGAGCGUGCUGGCGUCGUCCGUUUGCUUGGAAUUGACGUGUUGCGGGGAGACGGCGCUCGUCUUCGUCUCAAACGCGAGGUCGAUGCCCGACGUGCCCCCAGUUGGGGCGCCGGCGCCGUUGACUCGCUCGACAGCCGACGAGGUGCCGCCUCCUGCUUGGCCUUGGUUGUCCCACCUCCUCCUCCGUCGGCGGGGGAGAGGGCGGGGUGAGCUCGAAUGUUGCUCUUCCACCACGCGGGGAAGACGUCGUCGAUUCCGCCGCCGGCGGGUGGGCUGUCGGCCCCCAUUGUCGCUGUCGCACGGCGGGGGAAGGAGUACCAUGUCGUAGCUGCCGUCGAGGGACAUGAACUCAAGACUCCUGAAACGGAGCACCGUCCUGGGCCGGAAAGGUUGCUGGAGACUGCCCAUCUGGAGCUUGACGGGAAGCUGUUCGUCAACACGCAGCAGGCCCCUACCUAGCGCGCCAACUAUCGGCGUUUCGAGACCAGAGGGUCCCUGGGCCGACGAGUGAAAUGUCGCCGCGUGCCCCAGCCAUAUGGGUCGGCGCGAGACGGAGCGCGAAGGGGGGAAAAAGGCGACCGGAGCGAGAGAGACAGAGGUGGAAAUCCCGCGGCCUUCGUGUUCGUCCCGCGCCCAGGUCGGGUGCGCUUGCAGUAGGGGGUUACAAGCGUCCACGCGGGAGGGGGAGCGAGCGGCCUCACGCGAGCGCCUGUCCCGUCCUCUUCCCCGCGCGGCCAACCCUCUAUAUGAGGGCCCUGGUCCUUCCUUUUAUAGGCGCAAGGAGAGGAUCCAGGUGUACAAUGGGGGUGUAGCAGAGUGCUAACGUGUCUAGCGGAGAAGAGCUAGCGCCCUAAGUACAUGCCAUCGUGGCAGCCGGAGAGGUUUUGGCACCCAGUUCGUGUGGUGUCGUGGCCGUCGGAGGAGCGCUGGAGCCUGGCGGAAGGACAGCUAUCGGGGCUGUUGAGUCCUUGCUGACGUCCUCUUGCUUUCGUAAGGGGGCUGAGAGCCGCCGUCGUCAUAGAGCGUGCGGGGUGCCAUCAUUACUUGUCUGGCGGAGCAAGCCAGAUGGGACGCCGGUCUUGUUCCCCGUAGCCUGAGUCAGCUUGGGGUAGGGUAAUGAUGACGCCUCCUGUUGACGUGGUCGGUCCGCGCCCUAGGUUGGGCGAUGUGGAGGCUCCUCCGAGGUCGAAGUCGAGUCUGUCUUCCGUGGCCGAGGUCGAGUCCGAGCCCCUGGGUCGGGCGAGGCGGAGACCGUCGGCUGAAGCCAGGGCUGAGUCCGAGCCCUGGGGUCGGGCGAAGCGGAGUUCGUCGUCUUUCGGGGCUGAGCCCAAGUCCGAGCCCUGGGGUCGGGCGGAUCGGAGUUCGCCGUCUUCCGGGGCUGAGCCCAAGUCCGAGCCCUGGGUCGGGCGGAGCGGAGUUCGCCGUCUUCCGGGGCUGAGCCCAAGUCUGAGCCCUGGGGUCGGGCGGAUCGGAGUUCGCCGUCUUCCGGGGCUGAGCCCAAGUCCGAACCCUGGGUCGGGCGGAGCGGAGUUUCCUAUGGUGCCUGAGGCCGGGCCUGACUGCCUGUCAGCCUCACUCUGUCGAGUGGCACAGCAGUCGGAGCGGCGCAGGCGGCGCUGUCCUUCUGUCAGGCCGGUCAGGGGAGCGGCGAAGUGACUGCGGUCACUUCGGCUCUGUCGACUGGAGGACGUGCGUCAGGAUAAAGGCGUCAGGCCACCUUUGCAUUAAAUGCCCCUGCGAUUUGGUCGGUUGGCGUGGCGAUUUGGCCAGGGUUGCUUCUUGGUGAAGACUAGGCCUCGGGCGAGCCGGGAGUUUGUUCGUCGCUGGAGGGGGGCCUCGGGCGAGACGGAGAUCCUCCGGGGUCGGCUGCCCUUGCCCGAGGCUGGGCUCGGGCGAGGCGUGAUCGAGUCCCUCGAAUGGACCGAUCCCUGGCUUAGUCGCACCCAUCAGGCCUUUGCAGCUUUGUGCUGAUGGGGGUUACCAGUUGAGAAUUAGGAGCCUUAAGGGUACCCCUAAUUAUGGUCCCCGACAUUACUAAUCUUAAGUAAUUAAGUGUUAUACUUACAUUUACCCUGACUAGUGAAGUCUAUAUUUUUAUCUGACUAAACAUACGUGGCCUCGGUGUAAUGACUUAACAAAUUCAUAAAAAUAAACUAAUUAUUACCGAAUUAUUUAUACUAUGAAUAGUGAUCUCAUUUUAGUUUUAUCUUUUCUUUCUAAAAAGAAAAUGUCAUUAAUAAUCAGAGAUCAAAACAUCUAAUUAAACCACUGUUUAUACUAUAAUAUUUGUAUUGUUAUGAAUUCUAUACCACUUACUAAUUAUGUGUUAAGAAGAGUUUUUAUUACCUAUUUAGUGAGUUUAGAGGAAUUUAUGAAUAUAAACUUUUAGAUAAAUUCUAAAAUUCGUCAUAAACAAAAUUAACUAAGUUAUUAUUUAUCUAGUGUUUUCAUCACUAACACAUGGUCUACCAAAUUUUGUCUUUCCUCUGUCCAAUCCCAAAUUCUAGAGAACUCGCAAAUCAAUAUCACGUCUAAAAACCAUUCACUAAUUCAUCGCACAAAUACUCAAAGUUAAUCGUUACACACAUGAAUUCCAAAUCACAACGAAUAAUUACCAAAUUCAUGAAUUAAUUCAAAAUAUGAUUUUGAAGUUAUAAAAAUAUUUGGGUUGACUUCAACCUUGUGGUGAAUGGAGGGAUUCGAUCGCUGUGAGGCGAGACGUUCGGACGGCGAGGCGUGGAUGGUCCAGUUGGUGUGCUGUGCGGUCGCGUCGACGGCGUAAUUCCGGCAAUGCGUUUGGACGGCGGGGCGCGAACUCCGGCGGGACUCCACGGAUGGCGAACGGCGUACGGAUGCGGACAGUCCGGCAACGAGCUUCACGACGGCGAGCUGGAGUAGGUUGAUGGAGAACGAUGACGACGGUUCAACACACAGCAGCAGGGAGCUAGCAUGGUGAAGACAAACGGCGACGCACAACAGCAGCACAGGUUUGGCGGGGACUACAGGCGCGAACGACGAAGCAUGUGGAGUCCCGCGAGCGAUGGCAAUGAUGCGGCGUGACGACACAGCACGAGCGUGGGGAAUCCAGGUAGAUGGACGGGCUUCGGGACAGGAACAUCAAGGAAUGGCGAGAGGAGGAAGAUGAACAUGAAAAUGGCAAUUGCUGCUGGCUAAGGGAGUGCAGCGUCCUUAUAUAGGGGAAGAGAGACAGGAGAUUGGCCAGAUUAACUUUCCCUAAUGUCCAGUUAAACGUUACAUUCAUCCACAUUCGUACCUAGAAGAAAUGCUAUCAAUGGCGAACCUUAUGGAGCUAUUACUGCUGUGAGUAAAAGUGGAGCGGACGGCACGGGUGGGAAACGUAACGGACGACGAACAAACAGCAAACGUGCAAAGCUAUAAUGGGAGAUUGAAGAGAAUCCAAACAGCAGGUCCACGCGUCAUAGGGGCAAAGCGAGAGAAGGUGAGCAGGCUGGGCACUUGGCAAACGUGUGGGCGAGUGCAUUUUUUUCUUUUUUUUUUGCAUUUUCUUUUUUAAAUAGAAUAGUAUAUUCCCAAACGUGUGGGAUGUGGAUUUUUUUACUUCUUCUUCUUUUUUUUAAAUAAAAAAUAUAUAAUAGUAUAUUUAUAUAUGUUCUAAAAUUUCAGAAUAAAUCCAAUUUUAUAAUAAACUUAUUUUGCACUAUAAUUCUUUUUAUGAGAAUUCCAUUAUUUAAAUAAAAGGUUCUUUAAAUAAAGGAAUAAAAUCAAUAAAAAUAGAAUUUUACUUAUAAAUUUAAUUAUUAACAUAUCAAAAUUCAUAUUUCAAUUAUAUAUUUUAGCAAUUCAUUAUUUUAUGAAAUAAGGUUCUUCUCACAAAAUUAAAUCCAGAAAUUGGAUUUGAAAUUUAAAUGAAACAAAACAUAUGCGUCGACAUGAAUGCAUCAAACACUUGGUAAAAUUUUAUCUAAUCAAGAAAUUGUUCAGUUUAUUUAUAUCACCAUUUCAUUUUUUGAAAUAUAAAUAUUUUCCUUUCUACUGGAAAUUAAUAAUUCAAAUAGGGUUGUUUGCUUUUGCUAGAUUUAGGGUGUUACAAGAUCUACCCCCUUAAAAAGAAUCUCGUCCUCGAGAUUAGGGAAGGCUAGCAAGAAAACAAUGGUGAUAUAUGGUUAUUCGUAGGUUCUUGGUUCACACUUUAACUCAUCUAAACUUAAGGAACUUAUUCAUUUCUUCGCUCUGUAAUGACUACUAUUCAAGCGAUCUUCAUCAUCGUACUUAUAACUGGUUGGUCUUCUGAAUUAUUGUUUGGGUCUUGCUUUGCAGACUUCUUCUUUAGUUGGUCUAGACGCUUCUUGGGGCAUUGCGAAUAAUAUGUUCUUCAUUUUUGCAGUAGUAGCAAGCACCUCUUGCUUUGAGUUCUUUGCGAGUCAAUUUUGCUUGACCAACAGGUGAUGAGGGAUGAUUGAUUGUCUGUAUCUCAUAUAGCUGAGUCUGGCUUGAUUCUUCUGUUUGGGUAUCCAUGUGUUUCGGGGCUUUUGCUUGUGGUUGAGGUGAACUACUCAUGUAUCCAAACAUUAUUCUAUUCCUUUUGUUGUUCUUCACGAUGUUGAUGGAAGUUUCUAUGCAUUUUGGUUCAUAUCCCAUGUCUGGAGAUUGAGAUAGCUUAAUCUCGGAGGUGCCCGAUAGUGAACUCUUCUCAGGACAAUUACGAAAGUAAUGACCUUCACGUCCACAUUGAUAGCAAGCUUUUCUUGAAGUUAGUUCUUGACUUUUUCCAUGUUUCCCUUUUCGUUUCUUGGACCUGAUGCGACGACAAGGCUGAAAUUGUGAGCAAGUAAUAGUCCAUCCAUCAAUGUAACACUCCUGUGUUUCUUCUUGGGGCUGGGCAUCCUUGUGAUGUUUCCUUUUUGGAAUACUUUGUAAUUCAUCAACUGACAGUGCAUUAGGUAUGAGAGAAUCUGCUAUUAGUUGUUCUUGGGGAGACAUUUGUCUGUUUAUCCCAGAAAAUAAAAUCCGGUUCUUCUGUUUUGUAGUUUCACUUUCGUUUGUACUGAUCUGGCGACAAGGAAUUCCAUAGUACUCACAACAACAACAUGUUCCAAGGUCACUUGUUUGUUGGUUUGGUUGUGCAUCCUUUUGUGUCUUGAAUGUCUGUUCAUCAGCUGUUUUAUUUAUAGUGUUGUUUUGACUUGCCAACACACCACAUUCUUUGCACUUAGUGACAUCACUUGUAGUUGACAUUCCAAGGUCUGACAUCUGUAUGGGUAUGGAAGAAUGGAAGGGACAAAAGGGUUGAGUAAAGAUAGAUUAUAGAGAGCAGAGAAAACCCAUCUAUCUAAGGUUUUUUCCUAGCUAAUUGAUGUCAUUGUGGACAAAAGUCACACAAUACACCAACAAUCAUUUCAAAGAAGCAAAUCAAACAUGAACACAAAGGACAAUGAAUUCAAGCAUACUAGCACAACACAAUCCAAUUCUACUCAUUCAACCAAAACAAAAGGUGAGACAAGGUUUGGAAUAAGAAAGAUAUUAUAAAGUCAAGGAGUCAGGUAAGAAUUAUCAAGGAGUUAGACAAGACAUAUUUGUCGGUGACCAAUAGUGAAAUAAGAUAAUCAUGAACUAUUAAAGUCAGGAUAAAUGAUACAACCAAGGAGAUAAAGUGAGUUAGGGAGAAAGCAUUAUCAAGGGGAAAAGUAGAGAGGCAAAGGUUUAAUAUAUAACAAGGUAGAUAUUGCACAAAGGGGGCAAUACAAUGGCACGAAAGCAAAAGUGUAAGAAUUUAAUAGGGAGAAAUCAUUAUCAAGGAGAAAAGUAGAGAGGCAAAAGUUUAAUAUAUAUCAAGGUAGAUAUUGCGCAAGGAUGGCAAUACAAUGGCAAGAAAACAAAAGUAUAAGAAGUCAAGGGUUAUAUAGCAAUAUUAGGGAUUAGAAAACCACUUAUAAUAUAAUAUCGCCAUUACCGAUCUAGUCGAAAAUCUUAAUACUAAAGAACUAUCCUAUCAACCUAGCAAAGAAGUCAGAUAAUAGAUCCAAGAGAUCUAUAACGAAAACUUCUUGUGGGGCGGGGAUAAGACAGAGAAUGGGGCAUCUUCAAUAGCUUCUAAAGGUUUCCUUCCGGUAGACUUCACUUCAAGUUCUACAAUCCUAACUUGAUCAUCUUGUAGUGCUUCUGAGUAGAGUCUUCUGAUAGACCAAAAUCAGACUAGAAGAGUUGAAAAUAAAAGAGACGAGUUUUGAUAUAAAGUAAGUUUUUAUGGAGGACAAUAUUUCAAGCUUUUGAAAGACUGACUGGGCUUUCCAUUUCUAACUAAUCUAGCGACCUACGGUCACAUUGCUUUGAUACCACUUCUGUCACACCCGUUUCCCAAGGGUAGAGCCGGGUGCAUAGCAUAUGUGUGCCAGGAUCUAUUUCCACACAUGUGUUGACGUCACAAGUGUAAUAUAUCAAAAGAACAAUGCAUAAAAGCGUAAAUAACGAUUAUAUUAACAUAUUACACUUCGAACAGACAUAUUGUCUUAACCUUUAUUCAUCAAAGUACAGCAAAACAGGGACAUCCAUCCACAGGAAGAUGACCGGGGGUAUCACUAGACUAGCAUCCAUGGAGUUCACCAUCAAAAUCUUCAUCUGCAAACUUCUAAUCAAAAUUAAGCAAGGGUGAGCUCACUUAUGGUCGGGGCUCAGCAAGUGGGGGAAAAACUAAUGCAAGGUAACAAGGUGAGGCUAAGGUUGAGCAGUAAGCAUUUUAGUUGGUCAACAUUUUAUUAACAACACUUGUCUUACUAAUAAGUGUGAAUCCCAAGUAUUCCCAUUAAACAAAGGUAUAAGAGUAUAUAAAAAACACUUAAGUGAAACCACUUAAGCAAACCAUUGGCAGAUCAUCGGAUCUCGAUUUAUUUCCAUCUUCAAGUUCAAUUAUCAUGUGAGGAGUCCAGACUGCUCAUAACCGUGAGCACGGCUGAUAUAUUAGUUUUACACUCUGCAGAGGUGGUACAACUUUACCCACAAGCCAUGUAUCCCCUCUAGCCUGGGUCGGCCAAAACCCGUAAACACUUCCGAGGUGAGUGGCUAGGGAUCCACUAUGAGGCUUUCACAAAAUACACUUAAUACGAAGCAACCCGCUAAGGUUUCUAAAGACGAUGGUGGUGGCCCCGUGGGUGAGGUACCUUAGCCAAGAAUACGUCCCCAUGUUAACAUGGGCUGCCAACACCUACCGCUCCCCCUCUUGCCCAUAUUUUAGGUAAGGUUGCCAGGCACUAAGCAUAUAAAGCUAGUUACCAAAGCCAGAGCCAUGAUAGCACUCGUGGUUGCACUGUUUUCCCGGGUGGUCACUCCAUGUUCCAAUUAAUAUGCAAUAAUCUUGUUUAACCAUCGGGUUAAUAACAAUAAUGUAAACUUACCAUUUUGGAACAUUAAUAUCAUAAGCGGGAGUGACUGCAUAAAGUUAAGUUGUAGCAAUAGCAUAACUACGAAGGUAAAGUAUAAUUCCCAGGUUUGAUCAAGGAAUAAGGUUGGAAAGGUUAUCUAAAUAGGUAACCCAUCAAAUUAUGCAUAUAUAUCCAAAAGAAUAAACUUUAUUAAAUGUAUUGUUUGGGAUCAAACAGAGUAUGCAGAGGGAGAAGUCCACUUGCCUUGCUUAUUGAAAACUUGAGACUCUUCCACGGAUCUGAAUAGAUCUUGAUUCUUAACUACUAGAUCAACCACUGAAUAUCACACAAACAAACAAGAAGAAACAAACACCACUCAAUAACUUACAACAUUCACCAUACAUAAAGCUAAAAGAAAGCCUAACGAAAAGAGCGUUCGCUUUUAAAGAACAUCACAAGUAAUGGUUAUAAUAAGAGGGUAUUCUUUUCAAAAAUGUGUGAUCUAUACUUUAUAAAACAAUACAUGAGCUUAAAAAUAUCUUAAUUAAAAUAUACAAAUAUUGGGUUCAUCAAUUUUAAUCUUUUAUAAAACGUCAUCCGUGAUACGUCUAGAUUAAGGGUUUAUAAGAUGAUAAAACACGUUAUAACAAUAUUAAACCUUUUAGAGAAGAUAUAUGUUAUAUAUCUAAGGUUAAUGGGCUACUAAUCACGUUAUUAAUUUUAGAAGCAUUAUGAAGCAUUUUAUAAAUAUUGUUAACCAAUUACUUAUGACAAAUUAAGAUAUAAGUCUAAAUAGGUUUUAUGUGAAAAGGUCAUUAUUAUUAUUAAAUACCUAUUUAUAGAAAGUUAUGGUAUAUGCCUUAAAUGAACUUUUAUGUAAAAGACAAUGAACAAAUAACUAUCUUUUAAUUUUAUUUGAAAAAAAUAUAGCCUAUAUUAUUAUAUUCGAAGUCAAUAUAUAAAGUAACAUUUUAAGUUAUAAAAGAACUUAAACUCUUAUUACUUUAUUUUAUCCUUUAGGAAAAACUAAGUCAUCCGUAUACAAUGUGGACUAAAUUUUAUGAAAUCAUUAAUCACACCAUAAAUCUAAUUAAGAACAAAUUGACUAUAGAUUUGUUUAAUACAUUAUGAUAAAGGAUACUUAACCUAUUAAUUGUAGGAACAAAUGAUCUAAUUCAUUAGAAGGAAGUUAUGUAUAAACUAUCAUUUUAGUUUAUAAAAGCACUGACCCUUGUUAUCUUUUAAUUAAGAAAAUAUAAAUAAUCUAUUAAUUGGACAUAUAUUUAUCUUCUAUUUUUAUUAAGAAACAUAUGGUCUACAUAUUCUUUUAAGUUUCCAUUUAAUACAGAUAUACUUAAACAUCUAUAACGAACCUUGUUAAAUAUAAUAUCUAUUAAAAAGGUCAUUUUAAACUAGAAACAUGUUAUCUAAUUCUUUAGUAAGAAACAUAUGUUUAUCAAUAUAACUAUCAAUUUCUUUAUUAGAAAAGUAUGAGCGCCUAAUUAAGUCAUUUUAACAUUAUUAUAAAUUUUACUAUUUCAGUUUUUCUCCUUUCUUUUCUAAAUAGAAUUUAUAAGUAUAACUAAAAAAAUGUUUAUUUAAUUCUUCUAACAUUAAUAUACUAAGAAUUAAUUGUAAAUUACUAAUUGGACUUUUAAUAACAUUUUUAUGGUCAUUAUGACAUAAACAAGUAUUUUACUAAUCUUAAGUAAUUAAGUGUUAUACUUACAUUUACCCUGACUAGUAAAGUCUAUAUUUUUAUCUGACUAAACAUACGUGGCCUCGGUGUAAUGACUUAACAAAUUCAUAAAAAUAAACUAAUUAUUACCAAAUUAUUUAUACUAUGAAUAGUGAUCUCAUUUUAGUUUUAUCUUUUCUUUCUAAAAAGAAAAUGUCAUUAAGAUCAAAACAUCUAAUUAAACCACUGUUUAUACUAUAAUAUUUGUAUUGUUAUGAAUUCUAUACCACUUACUAAUUAUGUGUUAAUAAGAGUUUUUAUUACCUAUUUAGUGAGUUUAGAGGAAUUUAUGAAUAUAAACUUUUAGAUAAAUUCUAAAAUUCGUCAUAAACAAAAUUAACUAAGUUAUUAUUUAUCUAGUGUUUUCAUCACUAACACAUGGUCUACCAAAUUUUGUCUUUCCUCUGUCCAAUCCCAAAUUCUAGAGAACUCGCAAAUCAAUAUCACGUCUAAAAACCACUCACUAAUUCAAUCGCACAAAUACUCAAAGUUAAUCGUUACACACAUGAAUUCCAAAUCACAACGAAUAAUUACCAAAUUCAUGAAUUAAUUCAAAACAUGAUUUUGAAGUUAUAAAAAUAUUUGGGUUGACUUCAACCUUGUGGUGAAUGGAGGGAUUCGAUCGCGGUGAGGCGAGACGUUCGGACGGCGAGGCGUGGAUGGUCCAGUUGGUGUGCUGCGCGGUCGCGUCGACGGCGUAAUUCCGGCAAUGCGUUUGGACGGCGGGGCGCGAACUCCGGCAGGACUCCACGGAUGGCGAACGGCGUACGAAUGCGGACAGUCCGGCGACGAGCUUCACGACGGCGAGCUGGAGUAGGUUGAUGGAGAACGAUGACGACGGUUCAACACACAGCAGCAGGGAGCUAGCAUGGUGAAGACAAACGGCGACGCACAACAGCAGCACAGGUUUGGCGGGGACUACAUGCGCGAACGGCGAAGCAUGUGGAGUCCCGCGAGCGAUGGCAAUGAUGCGGCGUGACGGCACAACACGAGCGUGGGGAAUCCAGCUAGAUGGACGGGCUUCGGGACAGGAACAUCAAGGAAUGGCGAGAGGAGGAAGAUGAACAUGAAAAUGGCAAUUACUGCUGGCUAAGGGAGUGCAGCGUCCUUAUAUAGGGGAAGAGAGACAGGAGAUUGGCCGGAUUAACUUUCCCUAAUGUCCAGUUAAACGUUACAUUCAUCCACAUUCGUACCUGGAAGAAAUGCUAUCAAUGGCGAAUUUUAUGGAGCUAUUACUGCUGUGAGUAAAAGUGGAGCGGACGGUACGGGUGGGAAACGUAACGGACGACGAACAAACAGCAAACGUGCAAAGCUAUAAUGGGAGAUUGAAGAGAAUCCAAACAGCAGGUCCACGCGUCAUAGGGGCAAAGCGAGAGAAAGUGAGCAGGCUGGGCGCUUCGCAAACGUGUGGGCGAGUGCAUUUUUUUCUCUUUUUUUGCAUUUUCUUUUUUAAAUAGAAUAGUAUAUUCCCAAACGUGUGGGAUGUGGAUUUUUUUUACUUCUUCUUCUUUUUUUUUAAAUAAAAAAUAUAUAAUAGUAUAUUUAUAUAUGUUCUAAAAUUUCAGAAUAAAUCCAAUUUUAUAAUAAAACUUAUUUUGCACUAUAAUUCUUUUUAUGAGAAUUCCAUUAUUUAAAUAAAAGGUUCUUUAAAUAAAGGAAUAAAAUCAAUAAAAAUAGAAUUUUACUUAUAAAUUUAAUUAUUAACAUAUCAAAAUUCAUAUUUCAAUUAUAUAUUUUAAUAAUUCAUUAUUUUAUAAAAUAAGGUUCUUCUCACAAAAUUAAAUCCAGAAAUUGGAUUUGAAAUUUAAAUGAAACAAAACAUAUGCGUCGACAUGAAUUCAUCAAACACUUGGUAAAAUUUUAUCUAAUCAAGAAAGUGUUCAAUUUAUUUAUAUCACCAUUUCAUUUUUUUUGAAAAUAUAAAUAUUUUGCUUUCUACUGGAAAUUAAUAAUUCAAAUAGGGUUGUUUGCUUUUGCUAGAUUUAGGGUGUUACAAAAGUUCUCCUGUUUUGGUGCUUAGUGCCAAAGGGGGAGAAAUUAAGGCCAAAGCAAAUGGAUCAGCCAACCACUUGUGAAUUUCAAAAACUAUAGAGUUAGAAUAGAGUUAGAACCUUUGUGUUUGAUCAAAACCCUCUUAUUGCAAAAACUAUUCUCUUAUGGGGGAGAAUUUUAAUUAUGGGAAAAGGGGGGAGUUUGUGGCAUUUGAUCAAAUUUACUCUUGAAAGAUCUCUCGAUUUGCCAAAACAAGUGUGUUUGACAUUAGAGAUAGGAAAAAGAAUUUGUUUUGUGAAAAUAAACCAAGUGGUGGAAAAAGUGAUCCAAAUAUGCCAAAUCCUAUGUGAGAUGAAAUAGUCUUCAAUUUGCACUCCUUGAGAAUGAUAUUGCACUUUGAGUUGCUUUUAAAUGUGUUGGCAUAAAUCACCAAAAAGGGGGAGAUUGAAAGGGAAAUGUGCCCUUGGACAAUUUCUAUAAAUGUUUUAGUGAUUGGAUGCCCAACACAUAUUGUUUUUAAGGUGAUGUGUGCUAAGUGUUAAAUAGAUGCAAAUCAAGAAUCAAGGUAUGACUCUAGCCUUAGUGAAUUGUUUUUGGUACUAACAUAUUCCUCUAAGUGCUAGGAACCUUGUUAAAUCAAAUGAGAUUGGAUUGGAGAAGUUUGGCUAAAGUACAGCCAGAUCUGCACCAGCCUUCGGUGCACCGGACUGUCCGGUGUGCACCGGACAGUGUCUGGUGCCUAGGCUGGAUCAGCGAUGAACUCGCUACUCUCGGGAAUCACCGAGGGGGCCACGACUAAAAUUCAUCGGACUGUCCGGUGGUGCACCGGACAAUCCGGUGAGCCAACAGUGCACGUGCCAACGAUCGACAACGCGAUCAGCGGGCGAUGUGUGGCCAACACCAAUGGUCACUAGGCCGCACCGGACUGUCCGGUGUGCCAAGGGGACAGAGGGCUCAACGGUCAGCUUCGCUAGAGAAGGAAAGAAAUCGAGCACUGUUCAUGUCCGGUGGUGCACCGGACUGUCCGGUGCGCCAACCGAUAGAAGGCAAGAAUUGCCUACCAAAUGGAGAUCCAACGGCUCCUAGCUGCCUUGGGGCUAUAAAACGGACCCCUAGGCGCAUGGAGCAACAUACCAAGCCUCCAUUGAACAUCCUAAUACGCCUAGACUCCGCAAGCACGCAUCCGGAUCACUGUGAUUAAGAUUUGAGCACUUAUUGAGUUGUGAACUCAUUGCGCUGUGUUUGUGUGCUCGGUUCUUGACUUGUGUGCAUAUCAUUGCUGCGACUCUAGCUUUUGCGUGUGUUUCUUUCCCUCCCUUACUCUUGUGGUUUUCAUUGAGAUCAAUAUUGUAAGGGUGAGAGACUCCAACUUGUGGAGAUUCCUCACAAGGGAAACAUCAACUAUAAGGAAGAAAUCCGUGGUAUUCAAGUGGAUCAUUGGAUCGCUUGAAAGGGGUUGAGUGCAACCCUCGUCCAUUGGGACGCCACAACAUGGAAGUAGGCAAGUGUUCUACUUGGCCGAACCAUGGGAUAAAAAUCGCUAGGUCACUUGUUGCUAUUCUUGUGCGAUCUUCUACUCACUUGAUAAUUGCUCUAAGUUUAAUACUUACUUUGUAAAGAGCAAUUAAGUGAAGAAGUCAUCUCUUUUUCUUUUGACAUAGCACCUUGGUUUUGAUUUCACUAACAUUUCAUAAUCCAAGUUUGUGCUAUUUAGCGUUGAUUUAUACAGGAUCACCUAUUCACCCCCUCUAGGUGCUCUUAGGUUGAUUUUCUACACUUUGAACCAUGGCACGAGUAUAAUAUGAACAUUUUAAGCAUAAAACAAAUUAAAUCACAAUGAUCAAAGGUAUAUGAAAAAUAUGCAAGUGUGCAAUACUUCAAUCCAUGUUCCAAGAGUCUAAGAUGUUUAGCUCACACCUCAACUCACAGAAUUGUUGGGGAAAUGAUCCCCGGUCCCUGAGACCCGCUAGUCAGAGAGCGCGCUGAGGAAAGUGCCCUUGGUCGCUGGGGGCGUUGGUUAGCUACAAGAGGUGGAUAUGUCAACCCUGAAAGAGUAAGGGAGGGGUGGGUGUUCAGAAGGGAACCACUCGAGUGGUUCCCGCGCUCGACCCCAGACUGACUCGCCGUAAAUAAUUGGCCGCAUUAACCACGUCUAGAACCGAGCCACAACACGGGCACCGAUCCACUUCACACUCAUGACCUAUGAACCCCUUGGGCCGCAUAGCACUCAUGACCUACGGCUCCCCUGGACUGUGGCACAUUUAUGGUCUAUGUGCCCCUCGGUCUACGGCUCACUCAUGGCCUAUUGGAUUAGGUAUGAGUACGCAGACCUCAGGUAGGGCACUAUACGACGAGUCGUGCCGAGCCCUAGGCUACAGAGGCCAGGGGUUGGCAUAACUAAAAUGACGAUGCUUAGGACCCUCGUAGCCCCGCACCGUCCGCCAUAAUAAAUAUGGGAAAACCAGGCAACCUCGGGCCCCACGAGUACGCAUGGUUUUACCCUAUAUAGAACGCUAAAUUUACCCUUGACUUAUGGCUCCUUCCCAAGGAAGCCACCGAUGACCGACCCCUCUCCCCGCUUAUUAAUCUUCUCCUGUACCAUGUUUGUUUGUAUUGUUGCGAGUAGACGAGCAAGUGACCGAGGAACCGGGGACUCAGCAUGUGGAAAAUACUGAACAGGAGCUCGUUGAAAGCAAGUUGUUCCCUUGAUCGCUAUUCUUUACCCAAUAAUGUCACUGUUAAUCACUAUGCUAUGCUCAGGUUAAAUUGAUGGGACCAAUAGGUCACCCUAGUUUGAUUUACUUUACGCCUUUCUUACCACCGAUCCUUUGGGUAGUAUAUGCUAUUGCUCAAUGUGGUCUUGGGUGUUAAGAUACAAAUGAUUUAUGACCAUGCUUUACUAUUGUUAUUGAAUUAUUUAAAUGUUCAUGAUAAGAUUAUGGUGUUAACUGGAACAUGAAGCUUAACUUGAGAUAACCGUGCUACCACAAGGGUGGAAUGGGACACCCUUGGCUGACUAAUUAGGAAAGCUAGUGUUGGGGGCCUUCUCCUUCCAAAGGUCCUCAAAAACAUAUUUAACCGUUUGUUUUCGACAUAAGCUAUUACAGAAGCUUCGUUUUCAGGAUGCAAGCCUCUUCCUCAUGACGAAGGCACACGAGAUGAAGACAGAUCUAAAGGGGAUAAGAGUAAACACCGAAGCUAUCACCAGAUGGACAACUUCGGCUCAUAACAGAGAUGAAGUAUAAUGAUGAUGCUGACCAAAAGAGGAAAAGACUACUUAGUCCUUAAUGACUUGCAUUAUGAUCAUAUGUGAAUAUUGGGGACAUAAAUGUACUUUUACCCAGUCUCAUGCCUAUAAAUAGAUGAACAGUAGCACCGUACUGUUCACGCUUAAUUGUAACCACUCUCUCGCAUCUUCACCUUCGAGCAAGCCGAAGGUAUCAAUGUAAUAUGAAUUCUGUUGAUAUUCAUACAUGUUUUAUAGAAUGCGAAUAUGAAGGAAUUAAUAAGAUGCGAUUACUGUCUUCAUCCUCUCGCAUUCAUGUUCACAUACUAAAUGAUGAAGGCCUGUCUUCAUGACCAUCGUCUAAUGAUCAUUAUACCCAUAGGGAGACAAUGCUUCGGAAGACGAAGGUCCCUAAUAAUUAAUAAUUGUGUUGCCUUGUUCUUGAUUCACAACAUUUGAGAACAAGUGACCAACAUUGGCGCCCACCUCCGGUGAACUCACUUCCACAACCUUCGGCAAACGCUAGCCUUCGUCAUGUCGCCGAAGUAGACAACAACGCCAGGGGCUGCUCUCCAGCCACUGGACACCAACCAGGAAACGCUCUCACUGAGAGAGGCUAGGAGCCAGAAAAGAAAAGCUACCAGCCCUACACCUCAAGAGGAAGAGUUGGACCAGGAGAUCAGGGAUUUAGAAGCUAUACACCAACAGGUGCAGAGGAAAAAAGAAAAGAUGCUUCGGUUAGCCAAACUUCAAAGGAAGAUCGACGAAGCAGCUGAAGAAAUGUGCCAUCUUGCGCAGGAUGAUCAAGGACAAGGGCCUCAACAUAGAGAGCUUUGUCAAGAAACUCUAGUCAAUACGAUGGGUGGUAUGAUGAUCUAUACCAUGGUAAUUUUGCUUUCGAUGAUGCUUCUCCCCUGGCACCAGAACUGCAGGUAGGGAUGAAAGUGGUAAUCUGAACUGUUAGCACAAAUUUAAUAUUUUAAAAUAAAUAUGUAUAAAAUUUGAUGGUGAUUUUGUGUUAUGUUCUCAAGCACAUUAUUACAAAUAAGAAUAAAAUAUUACAUAAAUUGUUUUAUGUAUUAUUUGCUCCCUACAACAAAAAAAGUUGAAAAAAUUACCGAAUUUGUUUUCGAAUCAAUACCGAAUUUUAUAUCUAUCAUUUGAGAAAAUAUAUGAUGAAUUUGAGGAUAAAAUUUUAUGAAUCUUUACAAGCUCAAUGUUAUAAACAAGAAUACAAAUUUGUAUAGUGCAUUAUAUAUACUAUUUAUUCGCAAUCAAAGAAAAACGACUAAAAAGCUGAUUACCGAAUAAAUACUGUUUCUGACCGUUUUCAUCCCUGCAGGCUACCCCAUGGCCACCUUCAUACAAGCCGCCACAGCUCCCCAUGUAUGAUGGGCACUCUGAUCCAAAGCAAUUCCUCAUGAGCUAUGAAGCAACCAUAUCAUCGUAUGGUGGCAACACUGCUGUCAUGGCCAAGUCCUUCGUCAUGGCAGCCAGGAGCGUGGCUCAGACUUGGCAUUCUUGUCUUCGGCCAGGAGCAAUUACAUCAUGGCAGAAGUUAAAGGAUAUGUUAGUCACAAGCUUCUAGGGCUUCCAAAUGAAGCUAGUGACUGCUCAAGCUUUGUUCCAGUGCACGCAAGACCAUGAGGAGUACUUGCAGUCAUAUGUUCGAAGGUUCUUGUGGCUGAGAGCCCAGGCACCAACGGUGCCUAAUGAAAUCGUCAUCGAGGCCAUGAUCAAAGGCCUUCGACCAAGACCCACGACACAAUAGUUUGCAAGGAAGCCACCAUAGACCUUGGAGAAGCUCCUCCAGAAAAUGGACGAGUAUAUCAGAGCUGACAAUGACUUUCGACAGAGAAGGGAAGAAGCCUAUAGAGACUCCGAGAUGACCAGGGGAUUCGGAGGAAGACUCUACCCUAGGCAUGUCAGGAUGAUUCAUAAUGCUAGCUCAAGCGUUGACAGGGGAUAUAAUACUAAAGGGCAUCAGCACAACUCUCAAUCAUCAGAGACACAACAAAGCUCCUUCAGGCCACCAGCUCCAAGAGGCAGAGGGGGGAGAAGCUUUGGAGGAAGGUAUGGUAUUCAGCCCAGGAGACUGUUCUGCCUACUAUGUGGGGAAGAUAAGGGACACACGACAAGGAUGUGCCAAGUAACGAUCCAAAAGCAGAAGGAAAUCACUGAAGCCGAAGCACGACAGAACCCACGCGAAGCAGGUCUUGCAUACUACUUCAUGCUAUUCCCCAUAUAUCUCUGAGUAUGUGGGCAAUCAACAGCCUACAACGUCCAUUGCUUCGGCGAGUCACUCCCAAGCCUCCUGGGCUCAGUUGCCACCACCACCACUACUGGCGCCUACCUUGAUCCAUAAUCAACUGCCAGAAGGGCAUCGCCAGGCUCAGCAGCAGCGCGACACUCGGGAGGAAUCCGAAGCUCGCACAAUCAAUAACACUGUGCCCGAGUCAAGGCAUAUCUACUGAGUGUCUUAAUCCAAUAUAUUUUUACCCUUUUUGCCUUUAUAUUUUUCUUCUCAAAAGACAAUACAAGGAGGUUUAACCUUCAGCUUGAUGUAAUAAGUCUGUGGUUACACCAUCGAGUGUAACAAAAAAGUAUCACGAAGCUCCAAAGUCGUUCCUAAGGGAAUGCAGAGCUAAGUUACCACCUAAGUGAAAGGUGAAAAAUCUCCAAAGUCGUUCCUAAGGGGAUGCAGAGCUAAUAUACCACCUAAGUGAAAGGUGAAGAAGCUCCAAAGUCGUUCCUAAGGGCAUGCAGAGCUUAAAUGCCACCUAAGUCAAAGGUGAAGAAGCUCCAAGUCGUUCCUAAGGGGAUGCAAAGCUUAGCUCCAAAGUCGUUCCUAAGGGGAUGCAGAGCUGAAAUACCACCUAAGAAAAAGG